CCGCACACACCUGCAGCUGAUCAAUUACCGACAGUUUCCUGACAACGAACACUAGCGUUAUUCACAUUUCAUAGAGUUGGACAUGAAAUAGAACUUUUACUAAAUGAGGGACAGAAAACUGGACUUCAACAAAAAAGUAAGUCAGUUUUUAUUUAUAUUAUAUUCGCUGUUUACCUGACUUUCUGCUGUCAAAUAGACCUUUUUCACAGUACGCGGAGGUUAGCAUUCUGCUCACUUCCGGUGUUAGCGUGUGGUGGAGCCACUUAGCAUCGCCCCUAGACGGCCAUUCAUUUUUCACGAUAUCAACAAGCUCGCGACUCGUUUUUUUGAAAAGUAAUGUAAAAUUUUAUGCUUUGUGCUGUUUUACUAACUCCUGUUCUUCAUGAUACUGUCUUAUACUUUACUUUUCGGGAAUUAUGUCUAAAACAGCACAAAGCAUAAAAUUUUACAUUACCUUUCCAAAAAAACGAGUCGCCACUCGCGAGCUCGUUGAUAUCAUAGACAUAAUAAAAGAUUUUAUUAUGUCUAUGGUUGAUAUCGUGAAAAAUGAAUGGCCGUCUUUUGGCCGUCACACGCUAACACCGGAAGUGAGCAUUCUGCUCACUUCCGCGUACUGUGAAAAAGGACUAUCACAGCCUCAGUUUAGUGUUUGUACCUGUGAAGUUGUUUGAGUUAGAGGUUUAAUAUCGCUCUUUGACUGUUUAAAUGCUGUUUAUUGUCUGCUUUAGUGUUUGAUGGCUGAAAAAGAGCCAGUUGAAGCAAAACUUUACAUUUCUUGGUUGUGUUGUCGCCUGUCAGUUGGUUCUUGGUCCUGAAGUUGUCUCUGUUGUGAGCUGUUGUAAUUUUUUCUUGCUUAUAUUUAGCUACAAACCAGUGUUUUGAAUAAGAGGUUAUAAAUUAUGUUUUUGAUUCAGGCUGUGAUAGUUUUUAUUGAACCAGUGUUUUAAGUAUGUUAAUGUUGCAUUCAGUGUCUUUUGCCUGAGAGUGAAUUUCUGCAUACGACUAAGACAUUGUGUCGCUGUUCACUCUAACCUUAUGUCUUCAAUAUUUUCAUGUUGGCCAAAAAGCGACCACGGAAAGAGCAGCCUAGUUGCCUUCAAUGUAAUGUUGCACAGCUUAUAAAACGUAUAUAUCCAAUAGAGCUGAGCGAUAAAAUGGAUUUCAAUUUCGAUCAUUAUUAUGGCUCCCUGCGAUCUUAAAAAUAUGAUAAUUUAGACUGAAUGACCGUAUGCUUCCUGAUGUGUUUGAGUCUAUAUUCUCUGAGUUUUCUGCAGCCUCACUGCGCCCCAGGAGAGACACCUGUACCUUAGCAUCCUUUUCAAAACCUCUACAAUAAAUGAUCCCCUCACAUGCAUUUUUGACAUCCCACAAUGCACCAGCGACAGUUUGAUGGUUAGAUGUCUGUUAUCAAUACAAUCAGGAGCAUCUUGCUGCCAAAUUGCCAACAGGUUUUGGCAGGUAACCGGUGAGGAGCUUUAUUCUCUGAACAACAGAGGAGAAAGGCGUCUUUGUGGAGUUGUCCGGACUAAAUUGACAAGGCCUUUUACAGCCUUUGAUACGGGGCCGGCUGCCUCACACAAUGGACGGCUUAUAAAUUUGCAGAUGUCGUCUGGAAAGCUCAAAUGUCAACGCUUUUCACCACAGCACCAGGGCCCUGCGAGAGGAAUAAUUGAUCGGUUCACCUUUUGUCUCUGGCCAAAUAUUCAUACAGUCAGGACGGGGAAUAAAAGGAGGCAAAGAAAAGACGAAAGAGCAUCUUCCACGGUCAGAGUGUGCAGACACUAUUCAUCUUUUAAAGUCUGGAAAUACAGACCAAAACAUGCUGUGUGCAGGCCGUCUCCUGCAAGUGCAAAUAAAACUAGUCAGGAUUUAAAGUCAGUCAGUCAAAAUCAACAGAAAACCCUGCAAACAUCCAGUUUCUGUGGAUUUAAUGUGUGGAAAAAAAGUCAGUCUGUAUUGGUUUUGUCAACAACAUACAUUUUAUUAUGACGUUUGUUACUGUCUCUGCUCUGCUGAGACAGGAGGCCCUAAUUGGUCGGACCAAUAAAGAUGGCAGCCUCCAUCUUACAUAGCCAGCUAACAAUAGAUAUGACAUUAUUUCACUAAAUCAUCACCGAUUUAUGUUAUUUUUGAGGGUUUGGAUCUAAACAGUCUAAAAAUAAACUGAUUUUCUCUUUGUGGGAUAGAAAAGCCUCUGGAUUUAACACCCAGGAGUUAUCAAAGUGUCAGUUUCCCUCUCUAAGGCUACGUUCACACUGCAGCUCAAUUCCGAUUGACGGAAAUAAAGAAUGUGAAAUUACGAAAUAUUCUGUGGUGAAUUUUGACGCGCCUAACUGUACACAUCAACCCGAUGCGAUUUUGCGUGUUUCCGGGGGGCAAAAGGAGGAGGCAGACUCUGUCCGUCUUAUAUACAGUCUAUGAUCAUAACCUGCAGUGUGAACGUAGCCUAACUCUGUGGUUGAUGUGUCAGGUCAUUGUUUUCUAACUGCAAGGCCAGAGUCGUUCUUGCUCUGUUUUUAUAACUCCGCCCUUCCACAAGCAUCAUUGCUGUCAGGUUUGCCGACGACUCCAUAAAUGACAACUCUUCUUCUCUCCAGAUUCAACUUUUUGUCCAACGACUGUCACCUUAAGUAAUGAAACACUAGAUUACCCUAAAUCAGUGAGAUGUGGUUUGAGCUUGUGGGCCAAAGUUUUGAGCUUUUAUCUGCUUAAAUCUGUCGUCCUGUCUCCCAAAGAGCCACUUUGUUGUGUAUAAACGUGUUUUCAUAUCAUAGAUCAGAAGUUGUUCAUGACAUCUUGGAAAAGUUGAGGUAUUUCAUGUAGUCUUGACCCUAAAUCUGAGACCUAAACUGUGUUGAACUAAUCAUUAUUCCCUCACGCAGUCUCUGACUAUAGACAGCUCUUUUGUAGAUGAAAUGACAGUGAGUCACUGAGUCUCUUUGUUUUUGGCGGAGCACCAACAGGUGUCUGUGUUUAGCUGCACAUUCAGCCUCCUCUGGGUCUGUACAGUACCUUUCAGUCUCUGUGCUGCGUUCAAUAGCCAGUGAUCAUUCAGAUUUGACUCGUAUUGUUGCAUUGUGCCUCCCUCCACUUUCUCUCUCUCUCUCCCUUCAAAGCCGCGCCGUUAAUUUCCAGCCUCUGCAAUUUUCCUCUCCAGUGGCAGAAAGGGAGCGAAAGAAAAGAGAAAGAAAAGAUGACAAAGACGACACAGGACUCCUCUCUUCUCCCUCGCUCGGCCUGUUAUUGUACGGAAAAAGCCAAGCAAUAAUUUUUCUCCGUCAUUGGUUUACUCCUAAAAGCCCGUUUGACGUUGGUCCUGAAAAGAAAGCAAUAAAGAAACCUUUUCAGCGGCGUUGAAAGAGCGAGAGACGCAGGAAUGAAUCCCUUUGGGACGCUGCGACCGGAGGGGCCUUUUUAUUGUCUUUGCUCUGCUAAUCAAAUGGAGCUGAAAUGAAAAUAGGGUUUUCUAUGAAAACAGGGGCCUUUGUUGGCUUUGGGAGGCUAGUAAUUCAUAAACAAUAAGCCGGCUCCUUUUGUUUGGGUUAUAAUAUAUUCCUGCUGCUCUGAAAGGGCUCUCUCUCUCUCUCUCUCUCUCUGCACACGCACACGCACGCUCACACACACACAUACACAGUGAAGUCGGGGUAAAAGCCAAAGCGAGGCAGCAGGCAGAGAGUAUAAAAGGAGGCAGAGAGGAAAGCUUUUCAUUCAUCGUGCUGGCUGAGAGUCAGCAGGAUGCUCCACUCUUCAGCCCGUCAUCCUUCACACCUCUCUCCACUCUUCAUCACUUUCUUCCUCUUUCAACCCUCCAAUAUGCUUUUUAGUGGAAGUCAAACUAAACUUCAGCCAACAGCCAGCCAACAGGUGUGUACUGAUCUGUUUCUCUGCAGCAAACUUGUCGUCUCUGAGGAUUUGGAGUUCAUGCACCAACCAAAGAGUGUACACAGUUUCUACUUUUCUUUCUUGCACUAAAUUUCUGCGAACAGAGAAGGAUUAGAGGUGUGUUUUUGGAGGUAAUGGAGCGUCACCGUAUCCCUUCUCUAGGAGAUGAGGACUCUUGGAGCUUAACUUCAGCCUGUGGAGUAAUUUGUGUGCACUUUUUGACACUUUAUGGCAAACACUGUGGAUAUCUGAGGAUCGAUUUUCAGCAAAUUUUCAUCGCAGGGAAUGAGCUGAGAGAUUUUUUUUGUGAUUCCUGGAGCUCCAUUCAUGUUCUUCUCCUCCUUUUCUUGUGUGACAAAACCACAGCUGCACCUUGGACCAAACUUUCCGGAUGUGUCAGUCUGAGUGAUGUGGAUAUUAAUGAAAAUAUCGGAUUGACCUGACAUGAUGUAAGUUCAGCAUUUUUCAUAAUCGAUACUAAAUACAUCACUGGAUUUCUGCAGUUUCUGCUUUUCUGCAAAAAUUAAAUAAAUAAAUAAAUAAAGACACUAAAUCAUCAGCUGUGAGCCGCAUGAUGAAGAAAGAAGUUGGAAGUUUGUAAUAUGAACAAUUUUCAUGAUGCAAAAACCUUUAUUUCUAUAUGUAGAAAUAUAGGUUUUUAUACCAUCAUGGGAAACUAAAACUCCUCAUUCUAGCAGCUUUGACUUGUAUGUUUCCAGUCUUUUUAAAAAGCCAGAUUCAGCUCAUUGUAGCAGUUGAUUUUGUGAGUUGUUAGAGAGAUCGAAGGGAGAGUUUUCUAAAAUCAGUUUGGAGUAUGGAGUUCAGGUUUUUGGGUUUUAAUGAAAAUAAUAGAUGAUGAAUUCCUGUAGAAGUGAGUCCACAUCAGCCUGUGCAGACUGUCAGGCUUUAUUUUUGACCUCACCAACCUCUCUGAAGGCUUUUUAUGUUGCUGACAUUCAGUAAGUGAUCACUGAGUAUUUGCUGCUGUCAUAGAACAUAAAAUUGUGCAUAAGGAGAUGAUAUUGGUCACAUUUUACAGUUUAAAAGAGUGUGACUGAUAGUGGUUCAGUACCUGCUGUGUUGUAUGAAGACUUUUCUGCAAACAGAAAUGUGUGCAGACAUUUGGGUAUGUUUGGGUGCUUUUCAUUCCUGUGUCAUGUGAUGCUAUGUUUGUGUUAGAAGGCGUCUGAGAUACACAGCUGUGAUGGUGGAGAGGUUUUCUCUGCUGCCCUAUAUAGGGGUGGGCAGUUUUUGGUUUUGCUUUAAGAGGUGCUUUUGUUUUGUCUGAUGUAAAAAGUUUUGUUGUUGCCCGCCUUACCCCCACAUCUUCUGCACAGUUUUAAAUCGCUGUAAUAUCUCCAAACUGCUGAAGUUGAAUCGUGGUUCUUGUCAUUGGUGCUUUGAGCUGGUCAUCUCUGUGUUUUCUUAUUUUUCUUCUGUUUUAAAUGUCCUUUGGUCUGUUUAUCAUUGUCCUCUCAGUAUUAUUGGCUGUAUGUCUUCCUCCUCUUCUUUUAUAUGCCAGGUACUAACAUGUGUUUAAGGUGCAUUAGUGCCCCCUUUAUAGUGUAACUGCAGGUUUAUAUCUUUUGGCCUUUUAGUGAAGACUGGUUGUUAGUCUAUAAAGAAACUUUAAACCAUGAUAAUUACCUCCGCCAAGGAGGUUAUGUUUUCAGUAGCGUUGUUUUGUUGGUUUGUCUGUUAGCAACUUUGCGGAGAAAGAAACUGACGGAUUGACCUGAAAUUUUCACCAGAGGUGCGUCUCAGCCCCAGGAGGAUCCCAUUACAUUUUGGUGGUGAUCCAGACAAAAUUCUGGAUACUGUGAUCCAGAACACACAAAAAUAAGGGUGUCGUUGGAAUUUUCAAUGCUGAAUGAUAACCAACGGGCGGCACAGUGGUGUAGUGGUUAGCACUGUCGCCUCACAACCAGAAGGUCCUGGGUUUGAAUCCGGGUCAGGGCAUUUCUUGUUUUAGGAACAUUAUGAACAGUGAACAUACCAGUUUAAACACAAAUAAAAGUUAAUAAAAGACACGUAACAGUAAAAGUUUUGGUGUGAAUCACAAUAUAAGGGGGGACAUGAGCUGCUUGGCGGAGUGCUGCGCUCUCCGAGUGCUUUUCUAGUUAUCAUAGUAAUCGUUUUCACCCUCAGCUGGAGUCUCACCCUCGAGUAAUGUAACUUCUUGAAAAAAACGCCCCUUUGGUUUCUGAUGAUCAAACAUUCAGCGCUUGCUCUUUAAAAGAAAGUAGGAGCUGCAAUAACUUCACAAUGAAAUAAAAAUUUCAACUUUCAUCCUGUAAAGUUGUUAUUUGGACGUCAUAAAUUCAGAACUUUUAUCUUUAAAAAUGAAUGACCUCAUUCUCUAUAAAAAUAUAUUCAAUCUCAUACAUAAUAAAUGUAAGACUUUAAUCUCCUUAUUUUAUAGCUUUAACCUGAAAUAUAUAACUCUUAUCUUAUUAGAGCUGUCAUUAAUUAAUGACUUUAAUGUCAUAAAUGCAGAGCUUUCAUCUCCUAAUAUUCAACCUUUAGUCAUGUUAUUUCUUUUUCUUCAAAACUUCAAAACUUUAAUCCUGUAAAAAUUUGGACUCAAACCUUGUAAAUCAGUGACUUUAAUUUCUUAUAUUUAAAGACUUUUGCUCCUAAAUUUGUGAGUUUAAUGUCUUUGAUUUAGGACUUCAGCCUCAUAAAUUUAUACUGUAACCUCAUAAAUUUGAGUUUUAUCUGUAAAGUUGUGUUUAUACCUUAAAUUUAUGACACAAAUGUAUUAACUUAGUCUCACAAAUUUAGGACUUCAUCAUUUUAAUUUACAACAUUCAUCUGGUUAAUUUAGGACUCAAAUCUCAUGCUGAAGUGUCUGCUGAAACCAGCUGAUAAAGUUUGGAGGUGAGAGGGAGGUUUUCAAAUAUUGGUACCUGAUACCUGAGCAGAACUGGAGGAAAGGUGUUUCUUUUCUGUCUAUUGUUUUGGAUGGAGAAACUCUACAGCAAGGACUUUACUUCGUUAAUGAGGACAAUGAAUAUGAACAGGGUUGAAUGUUAGUGCUGAUAUGUGAGGGCUUUACUACUUUCUGAAACUGUGCUUGUUUACAAUAUUCAGCCUUUCACUGGGACAGAAAAGCAAAGAUCAUGACACUCAGGCUUUACCAGGUAACAUCAAACUGAUACUCUAUCUUAACCACAGAGGAUGCUGGGAAAUGCAGUUUUGAUCCUGGGAGGACAUGACUGAUUUCAUCCAAAGGGGUGAACAGAAUCAACACAGCAUUAAAAACUCCUCCAUGAUUAAAUUCAAUGAAAUGAAAUAGGAGUUUUAAGCUUUACAGUUUAACUUUGGCUAGUAGAGGCACUCGCAUCACAGCUGGGUUGUUUGCAGUGGUCAGCUGUACAUGUAACUGCUCUAAAAUGUUUCCAGAAUUUGUAAAAACUAGUUUUUAGUUCAUACGGUUUUGUCUGGCUUUACUAGAUUUAGUUUAGAUUUGUUGUUGAAGGAUAAACAACAUGAACGUUUAACUUAAUGAGAUACAUUUCUUUGACUCGUGGUAAUACAGAGAAGAAAUGACAGUAUAUUGGGAUCUUCAUUUCAGUUAAUAGGGAGUCAGGACAAAGUUUGAUGAUGGACGGUGUUCAGGUUCAUCUACUAAUAAUCUUUGUCUGCGAUUUGUUUGACAUUUAACAAAUGGAUUGGUUUGUUAUAAACGCCAGAGAUGUAGUUAUGUUUCUGCAUGUUUACGGAUAAUUAUAACCAUGGACUUUCAUAUUAAAUUAAAAAAGGAGAUAGUAGAGCAAUACCUGCCAUAGCUGCACACAUAGACACAAAGUGAAAUUAAAUUAUCAGUGUUUUUGAUAUUAAACAUUUAAUAGUUAGAUAUUUUAUAGUUCUAUUUAAUACAUCUAUUAAAUAUAAAGGGGUAAGUUGACCCACAUGAUUAUUUAAACUUAAACUUAAAACUUAAACAAAUAAUGUAUAUAUACGGAUGAAAAAUAAUUUUAUAAGACAUUUCCCUUUUUCAAGUAGUCAAUUAUUUUCUUUGGGUUACUAAACAAUAUAAAACCAAUUAAAGUUUGUUUUUCAGAACCUUUUAAUAUUUGCAAUUAUUAAUAUAAUAUUGAAAACUUCUCUUGAAUGAGUGUAUUUAUCAAAAAUGAAAGAUCAUUCUGCUAAUUUGAGUAGCAAAGACCUAAUAAAAAUUAUACCAAGCAGAACCAAGUUGUCCAUAGUAUAUACAGUCUAUGUGUGCACACUUUAUUCAUUAGAGGUAGUGACUGUAAAAAGGUUAAAAUAAUAAUACUAAUAAUAUUAGUAUGAAGACCACCUCAUUGGAAGAAAAGACUUACAUUUUAGUCAUAAAUUUGAUAAGAAAAACGUCAUUAUUUAAGGGUGAGUGUAAAUUCUGUGUGUUAUUUUAGGGCACAGAUCAGAAGAGCCGCCAUGCAUCAAAACUAAAAUAAGAGACAGAUUAUCCAAUGAAGUUAUAAGAGUCAUAAAAACUUCACACUCAGUCUGAAAGCGUGUGAAGACGUCUGAAUUAGUAGUGUCAUAAAUAAAGUUCAUCCUGAAGAGGGUCAUUCUGUUCCAUCUGUUUAUUUUCAGCUGCUGAGUUGAACUUCACAAGAUGAUCCAGAUGAUGAAGAUGAUGAGGAUGAUGUUAUUAACAUGUAGAACCAUCUCCAGUGAGUAGGACAUCUUUUACAUGAUAAACCUUCAUUCUCUUUACUUUUAUUUCCAAAAUUUGUUUCUUAAAUAUUGUAAAAUCAAUCCUAACCUUUAAAUCUGUAGUAACACAAGUUUCUUCACGCACCUUUACAACUUUAGUCUCAUGAAAUUUGACCUAAUAGCCAAAGAUUUACAGCUUUAUGACCAAAAUGUUAAAAUUAAUGACUUUCAUAUUAUAAAUGUAAAACUAUUAAAAUCACAUUUUUCUCAUUUCGUUUUGAUUUUACCGCUCUCUUAUAUUUGCCGACUUUGUUCCUGCAAAUUUGACUUUAAUCUCGUCUCUAUAUCUCAUAAACUAGACUUUUUCUCUUGAUAAGUAAUGAUUUAAAUUUAGUCCUGUUAAUUUGUAAUGUAAUUUACAACUCUAAUCAUUUAUAUUUAUGGUUUUAGCAUCAUAUUUGAUCUUGGUAUUUGAAUAGUUAUAAUUUACAACCUUAUUUUUGUUACUUUAUAACUUUAUAGCUAAACAGUUUAACAAAUUUAUACACAUAAAUUUACAAUUUUACUUUAGCUUAAAUUUAGGGACUUAUUCCACCUUUUCUCAUCAGAUUCUUCAAACGUGUCUGUAUGGAUUCAUGACAUCUUUGUUGGGUCAGACUCUCUCUCUGCAGACUUUCACUUCCUGUUAGGUAUCACUGAGAGAAACUCAUCACUCUAUUUGUCACUAGAAAGAAAAUUGAGUUGCACAAAGAGCAACAUUUUCCUUCAAACUCCAGAAGCAGUUUGCCAUGUAUGAGCGCAGCAUUUUUUGUUCAUGUUUCUUUUUCAAUACGACACCCUAAACUUCCCUCAUCGCUUAUUUGAAACUGUCAGAUUUGGUUGCAGUUUUUCCCCAGAUGUAAUCUCAGAAGACUUCAUUGAAAGAAAUUAUGUUUAAUGUAGUUUGCUGAUGUUUGAAGCCUCAGAAGUCCAGUUUUCAGGGAUCCGUGAGAAGUUUAAAUCACAAUAACCCAGCUACAUAUGAAGAUCAGAAAAAAACAGGUUUAAUAUAUCAACCUACAUCUACAUGUUUUUGUUAAAAACUGAAGAAAAGUAGGUGCUGCAAGUCCUGAUAAAACCACUAGAUGACAGCAGAGCCAAACUAGAAAAUCACUCGGAGAGCGCAGACCUCCGCCAAGCAGCUCAUGUCCCCCUUAUAUUGUGAUUCACAGCAAAACUUUUACUGUUACGUAUCUUUUAUUAACUUUUAUUUGUGUUUAAACUGGUAUGUUCACUGUUCAUAAUGUUCCUAAAACAACAAAGCUCAUAUUAGAUACAUAAAUGCAUGAUUUAUUAUGCAAUAUUUGUAAGCGUACACUUCCUUGUAUCUUCAUUGGUUAUCUUUCAGCAUUGAAAAUUCCAAUGACACCCUUAUUUUUGUGUGUUCUGGAUCACAGUAUCCGGAAUUUUGUCUGGAUCAGGAUCAACCUUUGACACCUCAUAAAACUCAUUGAGAUCCUUUUGUGUCAUUUUUUACUAAAGACUCUGGACAUUUUUAUAGAGUUAAUGCAAAAAUUCCAAAAUUUGCCCUAUCUCACAAUGAUAAAGAAUCCUUCAAAAAAUUCCUGGAUCCAGAAGGCGAUCCGGAUCACCACCAAAAUGUAAUGGGAUCCUCCUGGGGCUGAGACGCAUCUCUGGUGAAAAUUUCAGGUCAAUCCGUCUGUAACUUUCUCCGUAAAGUUGCUAACAAACAAACAAACCAACGCUACCGAAAACAUAACCUCCAUAACAGAAGACUUUUCUUCACUUCUGAGAGAACUUCCAUCGUGUAUUUGUCUAAUUCUUGUGAAAAUAUCUCUUGACUCUUACACAUCUUUGAAAGUGGCGGCUAAUUCAAAGUUUCUUGACAUAAAUUUUGACAUCUUAAGUCACAAAUCAGAUACGAUUUGAAUUUGAAUUGAUUGAUAGUCUGAAAAAGUGACUGAAGAUACAAAAUCCCAUGCCUAAGGGUGCAAGACCAUUUUUAGAGUUGCCAAAUAUCAUGAUCUUUACAGUUUUACAUCAUGGCUAUUUAAAUGGGAAGACUUCAGACUUUGUUUUCUGCUACAAAAAUAAGCACAAAGUUAAUUUCUGGGAUGUUUCUCAGUGAGAAGGUGCAUUUACCUAAGGUGAUCAUUCAGUACGGUGGCCCCAGAGGUCAGUUGCAUAAAUAUUUCAACCAAAAAAAUUUUGAUGAACCACAAAAUUAUUUCCCAUCUUUUUGCAGCAUGACAUAAUAAUACAGUUGACCUCCAUGGCCACUGUAGUUCACGCCUCUGUGGUCGACUCCAAACCUGCUGAAAAAGAAAACUGUAAAACUGUUUCAUAUUAUUGCAAAUUGAGAAAGUGAUUCACAGUAAAAGAAAAACAGCUAUGGUCUUCUUUUCUUUAUUGUCCACUAGAGAGCGCUCUACAUCCACUCUAAAACACAGGGCGGCCUCUGAAACCUUGAAAAGUUCAGUUGCUCCUGUUGGUGAACAAACUGAGUUCAUCACCUGCAGAUUGAUGUUUUCACACCCCCACUGAGCAUGUGCAGAACUAUCUGAAGCUUUUGUAUUUAUCUGUAUUUGUAUUGGCGUUUGUGCGACAGGCUUUAAACUUAGUUAAACGUGUUUGUGUGACAUAAGCUGGAGGAGUGAGUUUGAUAUUUUGGACGUUACAUGGUUAAUUGCUCCUGAUCCAAAUCUGGUUAGAAAGCUCUCAGAUUUUCUGUCUCCUUCAUCUGGAAAAAUCUGCAGUCUGGUGUCAGAUUGAAAAUCGCACAUCAACCUGAAUGACUUUAAAAUUUCGCUUUUAAAAUCUUUGAUUUAAUUCAGGCUUUGUGUGGGAUGUUUUUUCAAUCCUUGAAUGAGGUCAGUUUGAUUUUUAUAAAAACGUUGGACCUGGAAAAAUGAAGGUUAAAGAAAAAUAUGAGACAGAUUGAUGCACAGCACAUCUUUAUUUGGUCUGGAUUCAAUUUCUGACUUUAAUGCUCUUUUAAUUCUGUCAAAUACAAUUAAAAUUUCUUGUGAUUUUCGCUCUUUUUUACACGAUUCUGUUUUUAAGUUUCAAUAUGAGAUGUAAUCAGUUCAUUAAGCCUAUAUCCCUUUGAUUCUCCUCUUAUAAGCCCCCCCAACAAUCUUUUAAUGUGUUUAAAUAAUUUCACUCAUUUUAAUCUCACUGCCUCACAUCUUUUUUUUUCAUCACUUUUUAUUUCCAAUAAUGAUAUCUUAUUUUUCAAAACUCUUUUUUAUUGGCUUUUUUUCCUCUUUAUUUACUAUGAUUCAUGAUUUAACUCCAUUACUGCUAAAAUAAUCAUCUAUUUCAUGACUUUAUUUGCAUUUCUUUUCAUUGACUUCUGGUUUUGUUUGAACUUUCUCGUCUUUCCUCUGUCUCGCCUCACCUUUUUAAAUCAUGAGUCCCUGCCUUUAUUCCAUCAAUCAAAGCACUUAGUUAAUAUUUGUUUCUGGAGGUGCUAAAUGGAAAAAUGUAGAACUAUUUAUAAGCAAAGUAUUCAUAGCAUGAAGAUGCGUUGAGAUCAGUUGUAAUGUUAAUGUUCAGUUUUUAAUUUUUAAUGUGAUAUAGGAUCUUGGAAGUUUGCUGAAGACUUUGCCGGUUUUUUUUUCUCGCUACAAACAAGUCCAAUUUGAUUUUUAUUUCCUAAUACCUAAAAUUACACAUUAAUUUGGCUGAAUGUGGCUCGCAUGUUUUACAUCCUUUUGGACCUUCAGGGCCACCAUGUGCUGUAUAAAGAUAGGAACAGACUGUUACUUCGAAUGUGGAGCCUUGGAUUUGAAAAGCUUUAAAUAUCUCUGCUCUGACAAAUAUUCUCGGUUUAUUGACUCCAUACAAACCUGUUUGAGUUGCCUCUUAUCAGAGUGAUUUUGUCCAAGUAUUCUCUCGCUGAAAAAAAUCACAUAAUCUCAUUUAAUUUUUGGAUUACACACUCAAAUCCCAUCCUGAGUCUUCUGAAUUUGCUUUCUUUCUGUUUUGAGUCUUUCCAUUGUUGCACUUUGAGGAAAUUGCUGUAAAAAAAUGAGUCAUCUGCUGUUUAAAAAGAUUGAUAUCUGGUUUUUGUUAGAGUCAAGUGCACUGGGGGAAAUGUUGGGCUGAAUUGAUGUUGUUACCUGUUGAAUAUCAGCUGUAAUCUUCAGAGCAGAGACCUAACAGUGUGUGUGUUCUUCUGUAGAUGUUUGAAUACAGGAAAGAAACCUGUUGAGAGCCCAAACAAGCAGAUCUACUGUACGCUCAAAUCAAACACGGCAGUACAGAGAUGGUUUCAGAAAUAAAAGCUGCAGACAUAAGUGCGUGCGGUGUUCAGAAGCGCUUUCAGAGUGAGCACAGGACCGGUGGGAUAUGAGAGCCUUCCCAUGGACUGAAUUGCCUCAAAGUGCCAGGCUGCUAUCAAAGCGCAUUAAUGUGAUGGAUAUCCGGCGUUCUGCAUUCAUUCUCCAUGCAGUGAAUGUGGGAGCUGACAAACACAGCGCUGUAAGAGGGCCUGCAGCUCUGAGCAGCUCUCUACCUCUAAAGCAGAGACAAAUAUAGAUGCGGCUCAAGAGCGUUUUAUGUAAAACACAAACAGACGUUUUUCUUUUAACCCAAUUUCUGUGAUUUCCUCUGAGAGAGCAGCUCGGUGCUCUUCAGUCCAUGUGAUCGACAACAGGGGAGUGCUACUCGCCCUCAGGCAGGGAGGAAAGAGUUCAUUUAACUUUAUCUUAUUCAUUUAUUUUGUUGCUUUAUUUCCCGAUAAAAGAUGAUUUUUUCUUGCGAUCCCUGCUAGCUGAUUUUGCCAAAAAGAAAAAAAAAAAAGGAAAUUCUAAAAUCUACCUGGCACAUCUGGUGCAUCUUCAACUCUUUCUGUUCUGUAGGAGGUCUCAGAGUGUCUUUUACCGCCAAAUGAACAUCUGCAAAUUCAGUUAUUUAUACCAGAAAACGUUGGAUUGGAUCAGAUUAGUUAAGCUGCAAAAGAAACAUGUGGCUCAACUGUAAAAAGAAAUCCGACCACAAACCAAAACAAGUGCUUCGUAAAAUCGAACAAGACUGGACAACGCUCUUUAACAUGUACAACAAUUAAACAUCAUAGAUUUGAUUUAGAAAUAACCCGAAUUCAAAUGUUUCUUAAAAAACAAAGCAAAGUGGGGAAAUAUGAAGACCAAGUUGGAAUGAGGUGGAAGUUUUAGAAACAAAAAUAGGCAGAAAUGCAUUACAGUAGAAGAUAAGACAUGUUAGAGACACUUCCACUAACUGGAGAGGUUUGCAUGAGGUGAAAUGAAGCGGUAAUCGAUACUGGCGCAGAAAAAGAUGCAGGGUUAGAAAUCUGAAUGCAGCUCCGUGACAUUUUUAUCACUGAAGGUCCACAUAAUUCAACCCCGUUCCUCCAGUUAAUGAGAGAAAACCUGUAAAUUAGCAUGAACUUCAAACUCCUUUCUGCUUCUCACCCUUCUAGAAAACCACUUUCCAUGAAUUUUCCAGACUUUACCUGAAGCAUUCUCUCAUUGGUCAUGGUGUUUUUGUGCAGAAAAUCAUCUUCCAUGAAUUUUCCAGACUUUACCUGAAGCAUUCUUGCAUGGGUCAUGGUGGUUUUGUGCAGAAAACCACUUUCCAUGAAUUUUCCAGACUUUACCUGAAGCAUUCUUGCAUGGGUCAUGGUGGUUUUGUGCAGAAAACCACUUUUCCAUGAAUUUUUCAGACUUUACCUGAUACAUUCUCGCAUUGGUCAUGGUGCUUUUUGUGCAGAAAAUCACCUUCCAUGAAUUUUCCAGACUUUACCUGAAGAAUUCUCACAUUGGUCAUUGUGUUUUUGUGCAGAAAACCACUUUCCAUGAAUUUUCCAGACUUUACCUGAAGCAUUCUUGCAUUGGUCAUGGUGAUUUUGUGCAGAAAAUUACCAAAAAGCUGGCUGGAAAAAGUGCAGGUCCACAUUUAGUUUAUUUGUGCAGCUCAUUCCAAAAACUUUAAAGUGAGGAAACUCCCCAUCUUGUUUACGCUCUUCCAAACACACCUGAUACUGAAAAAAAUUAGCUGUCACAUUUGAUGCUUCAGUCGAUUUCAAUCUCUGUUUUCAGCUUUUUCCAAAAUCUAUAAACGCAGCUCUUAACAUGGACCGAGAGCUUGAUAAGUGAGGGGUUAAAGGAGGUCUGGGCUCUGCAGGGCUUGGGUUAACUGCAGUGUCAAAGUGCCUUUUUGUCGUCUGAGGGGGUGGAAGGCAGCUGUUCCAAAGGGAUGCUUCAAAUCAGUGUUUUUAGGGAGGAAAAGUUGUUUUUGUAACCGAAGCUUUUAAGGCUCCGUCACCCUGAAAAAACAGACAUGUGGUUGUAUAUGUUGCUGUUGUGCGAUCAAAAUGCAUUCUGGGACUUAAAGCAGGCGCUAACCACAACAGAAAAGCCUCUCCAGCCAUGUAUCAUAGCUGUCUCACAACAAGCCUCGCCUCAAAAUAAUUUCUUAAUCCAUUAAUUGGCGUGGAGCGGCGUGCGGGGCAGGGCUUUUUGUUCAGUAUGUUUUUCAGAGAUGCAUACUAAUCAUAUAAAGUGAUCCUUUGUACUCAGGUUGACAGCAGCGACGAGGGCUUUUAGACGACACACACACACACACACACACAUACAUAUACACUCACACACAUGCAUAGAGGCAUGUGUCUGGGAGCGCCGCUGGCAGAACGAGUGUAUUAUUUUCCCUGAAGAGUGUUAUUUUCCUGUCAAGGCUUGAUGGCAACGUGCCAACAGAUGUGACAGCGAGCGAUCAUCCCUCCUUCAUACAGUACAGGGAGAGAGAGGGAGAGAGAGAGGGGAGGGACAGAUGAGGACGGAGACACUCUCUUAGUAUCCAUCCCUGCUUUUUCAUGCAAAUCGAUCGUAUAUUGAAUCUAAAAAUAUGAUAAAAUGUUUUUGGUGAAAAUUUCAAAGUUUUUCCAAAAGUCUGAAGUUUGAUGAAACAAAUUCAGGCGUCAUGUAUAAAUCUAUUACUUCAUGCACAUUAAGAUCGAAUAGUCGUGGUAAUUUUAGCCAGUAAGAUGUUUUAAAUAGAAAACAUCAUGUUAUGCAGGCCUUCAUAUCAUAUUCCACCAACUUAUUAAUUGGACUGUCUCUCUGUCAAACUAUCCGAGUGAUCCGUCUCAGUGCAUUAGGUGUGUUGGUCUUUGCUUUGAUAUCAUAUUUGUCUACUAAGGUGUGCAGCAGGGCUCUGUAUUAGGUCCGCUUUUGUUUACUAUUUAUGCAAAUUAACUGGGACGAAAUGUAUUAGAUGUAAGAUAUCUUCUCUGAACUCUUGCAGGAUGUGUUUGAUAUUCAGAUUUAACUACUGAAAAACUGCAAACCGAAUACUGCAUUUACUCCUAUUUUAGUGACCCUUCACUGGCUCCCAAUCCGCUUCCACAUUGAUUUUAAAAUUCUUUUAAUCGGUUUUAAAGCCCUCCCUGGUCUUGCCUCUCCUUACCUGUCCGAGCUCCUGUAUCACCACUCUGGCCAGCUACUGUUGAGCUCAAGUCUAGAGGUCACAGGGCCUUUCCAGCGGUCGCCCCAAGACUGUGGAACAGUUAACCUGCUGCCAUAUUAAAGCCCCUCAGACCUUAGGGUCUUUUAAAGCAUCUUUAAAGACCCACAUUUUCUCCCCUGCUUUUAAUAAAUGAGCACACAGGAAUCAGAGACACUGUAGCGUUUAUUCUUUUACUGUCUGUAUUUUAUUCUAUUGUUUUUAAUUUUAUUACCUUCGCCGCCAAGGAGGUUAUGUUUUCGGUAGCGCUGGUUUGUUUGUUUGUUUGUCUGUGAGCAACUUUAUGGAGAAAGCAACAGACGGAUUGACCUGAAAUUUUCACCAGAGGUGCGUCUCAGCCCCAGGAGGAUCCCAUUACAUUUUGGUGGUGAUCCAGACAAAAUUCUGGAUACUGUGAUCCAGAACACACAAAAAUAAGGGUGUGGUUGGAAUUUUCAAUGCUGAAAGAUAACCAAUGGGCGGCACAGUGGUGUAGUGGUUAGCACUGUCACCUCACAGCAAGAAGGUCCUGGGUUUGAAUCCGGGUCAGGGCAUUUCUUGUUUUAGGAACAUUAUGAACAGUGAACAUACCAGUUUAAACACAAAUAAAAGUUAAUAAAAGACACGUAACAGUAAAAGUUUUGGUGUGAAUCACAAUAUAAGGGGGGACAUGAGCUGCUUGGUGGAGGUCUGCGCUCUCCGAGUGAUUUUCUAGUUUUUAUUGAUAUCUAUUUAUUUACUUCUUUUAUUUAUCCCAUGUACAGCACUUUGUUUGACUGCUGUCUUUUUAAGGUCCUUUAUAAAUAAAUUUUGACUUGACUUUACUGUUGUAAAUGCAGAGAAAACCUGGCUCAUGUUGUUUUCAAAGGCAUGUUAUAAAAUGUGCCUGUGGUCAUCACUGCUACUGGAGGAGAACUAGAGGUUGUAAACACUUAAAUAUACCUGGCAUUGUGAAAGAGGACUUAAAUGAGGUGCAAAUUGAAACAAGUUGUGUUCUCAUUGUUGCUCUGUUAUUUUUCAACGUACUGGAUUAUGGUGAUCUCUGGGAUACAGCUUACAAUGCAUCCCUAGUUACCGUUUCUUAUGUGCCACUCUUGGCAGAGUGAGUUAGGAUAUGCCAUGUUUCAUUGCUCAGGAAGUGAACCCCUGAAAAUGGUCUAGUGUCUUAUUGCAGGCAGUGGACGCUUUAUGCACAGGGGUCAGUUUGCUUCAUGCUUUACUGAAGUUUUCUUCUGCACGGGUCAUUGCAAAAGUAAGAACUCGCAGCUAUUAAGUUGCUGCAUGAGUCAUGUGCGGAAAAUUUUGCAUUGCUUUAUGUGGAGUAUUCAUAUCUAAAAAAAAUAUUGAUGUCCGAAAAAAACGCUCUCUGUGUGUAAGGACCUUAAAUCUGUAUUCCUCUCUGAGUGAUCCGAUCUCCUGAGCCAGCACACAGCGCUGCACAGAUCAGCGCUGCUAUUCAGAGCUACCUGAUAAAUAACAGCCUCUGCAGAUCAGAUGAUAGUGUGUGUGUAAUGGCACUGUUCUCUUUUGUAAAGUCUGAAAGUAAACUGAUUCUCUCUGUUAUCUCUCUCUCUUUACCUCCGUCUCUCCCUCUGUGCAUCUUCAUUUACUUCUCCUCUGACUGAAAAACAAAGAAAAAGCAAAACAAAGCAGCAGAAGACAAAAGGGAGAGAAAGAGGAGCGUGUCAUUACGGGUUUUGUUUCUACAACGGCACAAUACCCUGACCACCCUCAAACGAUGGAGAGAGAGAGAUCCUCUGCAUGCAGUCGAGUCGCAGAGAGAGAGAGAGGGAGAGAGAGCGAGAGAGAGAGAGAGAGAGAGAGAGAAAAGGGAAAGGCAGUUUAAUUUAGAUAAUUAUCUCACAAAUUAACCACAAACUCCUUCCCUCUUAAUUACCUGUCUUAGGGAGCGGUGCAGGAAAACAAAAAGCCGAGCCGUGGAGGUCUUUGUUCAGGUCUUCUUGGGGGGUGUAAAUUGGUGGCUCCCCUGCUGAAAGGCCAGAUAAACCUUGGAGGGGACGACCAUUAAAGCAUUUGAUAGGCUAAUGGGGAAUACUGUUAGCAUCCGCGUUUGUAAUUGGACGUCAUAAAUCUGGAACAGGUGAUGGGGGAACAAAAGAGGGGUUUUGUGUGGGUGUCGAGGCCACGGCAUGACUUGUAAAUCCUUUCCCGGUUGAAUGGUGCUAUCUGAUGGUCCACGGAUCUCCAGCAUUGAUUCCUGUGAGUGUGUGGAGCAUUUAUACGUCCUCAGAAACACAAGCAAAUGUUCGUAUGAUCGGGGCUAAUAAAAGGCGCCGGUCUUAUCUGGCUGUCUGCUGGAGUUGAUUCUGUCAGUAGCGAUUAACCUUUCCCUGACUGUGAUGGCUCACCUGAUCAGUUUCAACUCUUGAAACAACUGGAAACCAAAGAUACAGAAGCUUUAAGCUGUUUGACACAAGGUGACAUUUGCACUUACAUUGAUGUGCAAGAAAAUGUAAUGGGGUUGAAUCGUUGACUUGCUGUGACUCUCCUUUGUAACUGAAACAAUCCUGUGUUCAAAACUCAGAACUAAGUAUUUUCAGUUUUUUUCAUUUCUGUCCUGAUUUCGAGAUUGUGUCACUUUGACUACAAGUCGUAGCCUCAGCUUGCUUCUGGUCAUCAUUUUGGACAACAGCAGUACAAACUAUCAGGCAGGAGGAGAGAGGAAAGCAGGGAGAGGAGCAGGAGGAGGCAGGUGUGUGUAUGUGUGUGUCUGAAAAGUCAAGGGACAGAAUGAGCUCAGCGAGAGAGGGGCUGUUGUGACCGUGAGUUCAAAUCAGCUUCUGGUUUAAAAAUAAGGAGAUAUGAUUAGAUAUAGGGCCGGGCGAUAUGGGAAAAAGUUCAUCAAGUUAUAUUUUUUUCAUAUCAGUCAUUUCAUAUCAGUCAUUUCAUAUCGAUACAUAUCACGAUUUAAGUAAAAAUCACAUAUCAAUCUUAAAUUUUCCUUGUUACUCUUAAAUGAAAUUUCACAAUGUUUAUUGGUAGCUUGUCUUUUGCAAUACGAUAAGCUACUGCAUCUUUGAGGUCUUUGUGUCUCUUCGAUGUUUUGUCGUGAGACAUUGCGCUAGAGAAAGCGGACUGAAUGAUCAGCUGUUUUGGCUGCACAGGCGCCAUGGGGGUUUGUAACCUUUUGCAUUGUGCAUGCUCUGCCACACUGCUUCAGGUGGUGAAAAAGAUCUGAGGUUUUCCCCGACUUUGUGAGAACAUGUACUCGACAUAAUUUACAGUGCUCAUUACUCUGCAUCAUGUCCAACCUCAAAAAACCAAAGUACCUCCACACCACCGACGUUUUCAUGCCAGUGUUGUCGAUGAUGUCGUCAUCUCUUGAGCCUUCAUCUGCAUUUCUGUCGGGGGUAGCACUCAUUUCCUUGUUUCUCACUAACAGUGUUGUCGGCUUCACAUGCUAUAGUUGCGUAUAUCUGCAAUUUGCUACUACGCAGUUGUUUGCUACUUGGUUCAAAUUCAGCACAUGAUUGGUUCAGUGUGAAGCGGACCUGGAGCAACUCCCCUUUUCAUUGGCUAUUCGUAUAGUCUACCAAAGCAGAAUGCAGACAAUUGAAAAGGAUAUUGACCAUGUUUUAUAUCAAUAUUGAGGGAAAUUAAUUUUCAAUACUGUUAUCAUUUUAUUGCCCAGCCCUAAUUAGACAUAAAUUAUCAUUCAUAACUCUUAAAGCCCAAGUCUUGAAGCUUUGAAGGAGGUUCUAUCAAAAGACGCACCUCUGGUGAAAAUUUCAGGUCAAUCCAUCUGUAACUUUCUCCGUAAAGUUGUUCACAGACAAACAAACAAACAAACAAACAAACCAACGCUACCAAAAACAUAACCUCCUUGGCGGAGGUAAAAACAUACUUUAAGUGAAAUCUGACUGACAAACAUGGUAAACAAAAAAAGCUAGGCUAAACACAUUAUUAUGAUAUUGCCUGUUUCAUUCCUCUCUGUUUUCUAUAUAGAUAUAGAUAUAGUCUGUAUAAUUGUACAGAUAUCAAGUGUGUACUGUUGUUUGUUUAGUGCAGGCCUCAUGAUGGUUAAUUUUGUCCUGGAUUUUUUUCUUGGUCAGUGUGGAGAGUGAAGUUCGGUGAUGUUAAAGCACAAACAGCCCACAGAGUUUUCACUGAAAUCAUUUAACUUCAUGAUUUUUUACUCUCAUGUGGACACUGAAUCAAAACAAGCAAACUUAAACAUUUAAAGCUCAUAUGACAACACUGUUAGUGCAAAUCUGCAGCCCUUUUCUCCACACCAGGUGUGAGAGCAUAAGAGCGCACACACACACGCACACACACACACUGAGUCCUGAUACUUCACACACACCCUCGGAGCUGCACCAAUAUUUGUGUUUGGCUUCUGUCACGUAUUUGUCCGAGUCCUCGUCUCUGCUCUCCACAUCCAACCGCCAGCAGGUGUGAACAACUCUUCUGCUGAGAGGGACGCACUCUGCUGCUCUCUCCUGUCACGCACACACACACUGUGAGGGCGGGGGAGGAGGGGGGGAGGGCAGGGGAGAGAUCAAUAGUAGUGAGUGUGGAGUUUGGAUAAUUACAGUUGUUAGCAGGCAGAGGAGAGCAGCUAUAGUGGCCUCUCCACUCACACUCUCUUAUCACUCUCUGGCCUGUCAUUACAGCUUUAAAUGCUGCUCAGUGUGUGUGUGUGUGUGUGUGUGUGUGUGUGUGUGUGUGUGUGUGUGUGUGUGUGUGUGUGUGUGUGUGUGUGUGUGUGUGUGUGUGUGUGUGUGUGUGUGAGAGAGAGAUUUUCACUACUCUUCUCUCUACACUUCUCUCAUUUCUCCUCUGCUUGUUUCUUUUUUAUUUUUUUAGAUAAAGUAUUUCCUCUCCUUCCUCUUCAGUCUUCUCCUAAACUCUCUCCCCUCACUUCCAUGUCUUCUCUGUGUUCAUCUGUUUACAAAUAUUACAUCAAAAAUCAUUUUCUAGGUAUAAGUCUGAGAAGUGUUUUGACAUCGGUUUGUAGUAUAUUUGUAGUCUGAGGAGUUUUGACCAAUUAGGAUUCAGCAGGAUUUAGUAUUUUAAGGAAAAUCUUGAUCACAACAUCACAACAAAGUUUUUUUUUUAAAUUUAAUUCCGCUUGAGUGAUACCUUAGUAUAACUUAAUAUUUACAGGAAAACUGAGACUCCCAAAAAGAAAUAAAUGGAUAUAAAUCACAAAUCAAUCACAACAAAUCAGAUUCUUUAACAGAUAAAUGUCUCUGAAAUGAUUCAGAGGGAAGCCUCUUUAUGAUUUACUAAUUACAGUAAAACUGAGACCCCUUAAAUCAUUGGAGGGAUGGAUAAUAUUGAUUAGUAAUAGUGUAGAGCAAAGCCCAUGGAUUACUUUCUACUUAAAAUGAUGAUACUUUUUCCUCCGUGCACUGUGAAUGUUUACAUGUUGUGUUCAAUAAAAAAAUGAAAACAUAUAAUUUCUGUGCAGUAUUAGUUUAAGCAGAAUGUGUUUGUCUAUUGUUGUGACUUAGAUGAAGAUCAGAACACAUUUUUUGCCCAAUUAAUGCAGAAAGCAAAGUAGUCUUAAAGGGUUCACAUACUUUUUCUUGUAACUGUAUAACAUCCCUGCCUCAGAUUUGACCUUGUAGAAAGACAAGCUCUCAGAACAGAGUCAUACCACUAAAUCUAACUUGUCAUGUGCAAAUAAUAACCCACUGUGACUGAACUGACAACAUUUCUUUGUUACUUUUUAUCUCUCUAAACUUUUUUUCCAUCUCCUUUUAACACCUCUUACGUAUCUUUGUCUCUUCUUUCACCUUUCUCCUUUCUUUCACAGCUUCUUUUGUCCUUGUCUUUCUUUCCCUCUUUUUUUCUCAUCUUUUUUUAUUAUAUCCUCCAUUCUCUCCCUGUCCUCACCCUUUUUCUCUGUCUUCCCCUCCUUUAUGCCCUCUCUACCCUCCAGUAAUCUUUCUACAUCUCUUUUUCCUCUUGCCUCUCCUCUCCUCUCCUCUCAGUGAAUCACCUCCUUGUUGUUUGCUCGUCCUCCAAGAACCUCUCUCACCUCCGCCCUGUUGAAACUUAUUUCUUCUGUCCUCUUCUCUUUUAUUUCCUUUCAUACAGCAGAAUUUUCAAACUUUGCUUCAGUAAAUAAAAAGCUCUCUGCCAAGCUCAGACAGUCCUUGGCAGGUUUUAAAGGUGUACACUUGAGUAUGAACCUGCUUGAUCCCUCUGAGGAGGCUGAGGGUCUCUGUUCAAGUUUCCUGAGAAGAAAAAAGAAAAGAUCUUACAGGAGAGUUAGCUUUAUUGGUUUGUGGUAGAGCUUUUUGUCUAACUCAUCAACAGCUUCCUAGGUCUUGUGACACUUCCAAGUGUCAAAUCAUCGACAUACAUUCUUCGUGUACUUAAUUUUAAAGAGAACUGAGCAUAGAGCAUCAAAUUUGGUCGACCACUCUUUGUUUCACACUUUUAGAUUUCAUGAAUAUAAAGCUAUAUAAAAAGUAACACCUACAAGUAGGGCUGGCCAAUAUCGAUAUAAAACAUGGUCAAUAUACUUUUUGAUAGUCGGCAUACUGCCAUGUUUUGGUAGACUAUAUGAAUAGCCAAUGAAAAGGGGAGUUGCUCCGGGUCCACGCCGUGCUGAACCAAUCAUGUGCUGAAUUAGAACCAAGUAGCAAACAACUGCGUAGUAGCAGGCAGCAGCUACACGCAACCACAGCAAUUCUUUUAUUUCAUUUUUUUUUACUAUUAUUAUUAUUUUUUUUAUCUAACAACAAAAUAGAGUGACAACAAAAACAACAACAAAAAAUUUAAAAAAAUACUUUUGUGAGGGAGGGGAGGGGAAAGGAAUAUAUGUAUAAUAGAAAAUAAAAAGAUUAAAUUAAAUUAAAAAUUAAAAAAAAGAUCUUAAUUGGAUUGCAUUGAAAUAUAUAUAAUAAUAAUAACUAUAUAUAUAUAUAUAUAUAUACAUACACACAUUAUUAUGUGUUAUUAUUGUUGUCGUCAUCAUUGUCAUUUGUUUAUUGUUAUUAUUAUUAUUGCAGGUAUUACUAUUGUUGUUAUUAUUGAUGCUUUUGCCGUUGUUGUAUCGUCGCUGUUGUGCCGGUGAUUCGGGGGGAUUGUGUGCGUGUGUGUGUGUGUGUGUGUGUGUGUGGGGGUAUGUGUAUAUAUAUAUAUAUAUAUAUGCAACCAUAGCACUUUAACAGGUGAAGCCGACAGCACUGUAGGUGAGAAAAAAAGAAAAUGAGUGCUACCCCCAGCAGAAAUGCAGAUGAAGGCUCAACAGAUGAUGAUAUCAAAGACAAAACUGGCAGGAAAAGGUCGGUGGUGUGGAGGUAUUUUGGUUUUUUGAGGUCGGAAAUGAAGCAGAGUAAUGUGCACUGCAAAUUAUGUCGAGUACAUGUUCUCACAAAGUCGGGGAAUACCUCAAAUCUUUUUCAUCACAUCAAGCAGCGCCACGCGGCAGAGCACGAACAGCGUUGUUUUCGUCAACGUCAUCGUCAACGAAAAAAACACUGCAGAAUAUAUGUUUGGUGUUUGACUGACGAAAUGCUCAUGAAUUUAGCAACUCUGUUCGUCGUCCACCACUAACAUUUUCAUCUAGUCUCGUCUCAUCAACGUAAACACACAUUCUUCUUGUCACAUUUUAGUCAUCUAAGACUUAUGUUUAGCUCGUCAACGUCACGUCGUUGAAGAGACACAAAGACCUCACAGAUGCAGUAGAUUAUUGUAUUGCAAAAGACAUGAUACCAAUAAGCACUGUUAAAUUUCAUUUAAGAGUAACAGGGAACUUUUAAGAUUGAUGUGUGAUUUUUUUAUAUCGUGAUAUGUAUCGAUAUGAAAAAAUAUAUUGUGAUAAUUUUUUUUCCAUAUUGCCCAGCCCUACCCACAAGCUGUGCCUACAUUUAUAUAUCAGUCAGUCAGAGUAGGACACCAAUAUGAGAUAGAUAAGAAGUUUUUGGAGCUGCUCAUCAUGCUAAGCUACUCUGCAAGAGUCCCAGAAUGAAAGAUGAAAAAAGGAAUAACGGGUCUUCUUCAAGUGUUGUUAUUUCUCGGUGAAGUUUGGAAGAAGUAAGAGUUCAAUGACAGGUUUUAAAAAAUACAGUAGAUGUCAGAUAAAGCUGUCGGAUCACGGUCGAGGAUUCUGAUGUGGAGACGAUAUUGUUACGUACGGGGAUUUGAAGUUUGUUUGAGAAUCAUGCCACAUGAGGGGAAAGACAUUUGUGGGGGAAGGUUGAAUGAAAGUGAACUCAUUUGUUGCUGUUUAGCUAAUUUGCUGUUUUGUCUCUCUCCUAGUUUAAUUUAAAUUGAAGAUUGUUCAGUUUGGUUGACUGUGACCCCACAUUUCUGCCUUUUUUCCUGAUCAUGGGUCCUUGUUAUGCUAUUUUAGUUUUUUUCUUGAACUCCUAUUUUUUGUAUCUCUUCCUCAGUUAGUCUUUCUCUUUCAUCUCUCUCCUUUCUCAUCUCUCUUCCAUCAUCAAUAAUCUCGUCUUCGUCGUCUUAUUUUGCUGUCUCUCCUCUCCUCACAUCCUCUCAUCUCCACUCAUACACUAAUUUCUCUUUAUCUCCUAUCUCCUUUUCUGCCUCUCCUCUCCAUUCUUUGUUUCCUCCUUCCCUCCUUUUUUUUGACACCGGCAUCUCUGCCAAGAAGAGGAUUUUACUCCGUCAGAUCCACGCUCUAAUUUCUCUCUGAGAGGUUUUCACUGUCCAGCCAGACGGGAUUUUCUUAGUUGUUGAGUCUUAACAUGCAACACUGAAAUAGGCCUGGAGAAACUGGAGUUAAAUCCCCUUCAGAUCACUGCACACUCGCACAAACACACACAGACACACAGUUAGUGUUUUGUUGAUUUGCACUGAUGUAGAGGAUUCUUGUCAGACAUAAGAAGGAGAUGAGAAUGAUGGAGAGAAGGAUUAGAUGAGCGAAAAACAACAGCGGUUUGUCCCCUGCGGGCUGUUUGCUCUGAUUUAGAUGGCGCAGGAUUAGCUGAGGAUGAGGAGAUCAGGGUGCCGUGUGACUCAGUGUGUGUUUGUGUGUGUGUGUGAGGAGAAGUGGGCUGCUGAUACGUCGACGCUCGAGGCGAAGCUGUCAGAUAUUCGACCAAUUUUCUUGUUGCGAUCCGUAGGUGGUGCAACAUAUACCAUGAAGGUUGCACAAACACUCUUACACACUCUUACACACACACCAUAUCCAGCGCCUCGAAACACAAGUGAAGUUUUAAAAAUUUAACUCCACUGAAAUUUUAAGUUCUUGUCUUCCUUUCACUACGAAAAACUCAAAUCUUAGUCUGUGGUUUUGUCUUAUUUCGAACAAAAAGUGUCUGUUUGGCUUAAUUUGAGCCACAUUCACCUGACGAGUCCCUGACAAGUCCAUAAAAUGAUACGUAAUAAGGUAACCUUUAAAGAAAUUGUUGUAAAGUCUAUUAACUGCUGUUUAAAUUAGGUCUAUCACUGUAGGGCUCUUUACUGUAAUGUUUUCAGGGACUCAAAAUUAUAAUCAGAGCUGGAAAAGCCUUAUGUGACUGCACUUUGAAGCAACCCCCAAACUUUUUGAACUUGUUCAACAUUUAGACACAAAAAUGUAAAAACUUGAUGGUAGUAAACCUGCAGAUGAUGUGAAAACCAUGUGAAUCUGGUCUUAUGAAACAGACUGUCAGCUGUCUCUCAAACCUUGUGUGUGUGUGUGUGUGUGUGUGUGUGUGUGUGUGUGUGUGUGUGUGUGUGUGUGUGUGUGUGUGUGUGUGUGUGAGAGGAGUAUCACAAUGAGACAGGAAAUCACUGCAAGGAUAAAAUUCUCUCCCUCUCUCCUCUCAUAGAAAAACACUCACAAAUAACCGGCUAAUCUCUGCCUCUGCCCGCGUGCCAUUCAAGGCUCCCUCCAAUUAAAAAGCAUGGGGGACUCGAACCCGCCAUCUUAUUUAUCAUAUUAAUUAGAAAGUCCCCCCGACAACAAAGAGAGGCGUACAGCUGUGUGGCAGCGGAGAGGCCUGGGAAAUGAAGGCUGGUUUGAUUUGUUGUCUUGCUAAUGUGACACCUAUUAUACAGGUUAGGCCUCAGAUACAGCAGCAGAUGGUGAUUCAGAGUCUGUGCUAAAUACAGCAGCUUCAAAGAGCUGCUCUGAGGAGGGGUUGUAUUUAGUAUAUUACAAAUUAAUGUAUUUCAUAUCAGUAACUCAUCGGUCAUGAAGCCUUGGUCCCCAUCAAUCAUCACCCUCCCUCUGAAUGAUGCUGUUCUUCAGGUCUGACGCUGUAACUGCAAAAAUGAAUAACCAUGAAAAGCCAACUGUGGAGCGUGGUAGGCUGCUGUUAUAACCUCAUCUUAUUCCACAUUAUGUUGGGACAGAAACAUAGCGACUACUCUGGUGCUUUACUUUUAUGGGAACAUUUCAGCCUUCCUCAGGUGAACUGCCUCAGCUUUAAAAACCUCGAGUGAUUGGGGGUUCAGACUUGUUGUUAUCUUUGUAAUAUUUGUGCACUUUGUUCUCCGACACGUAAACAGCCGGUCAGCCAUGUUGGAUAUACCGGUGAAUCUGACGUCGCAACAACAUGAAAAAUGUUUGGUCAGAAGUGGACACACAGUAUGCGAAACUUCAGAAAAUUCAACCGUGAUCUGAAAAAAUAAAAGGCCGCAAUAUCGCAGGACGGGAAAACGUCGCUGAUGUAAACGCUUGUAUUGACAGGAUACAGGUUUGAAAAAAAUAUUGACGUCCGAAAUAAUCGCACGAAAAAAACUCCUUUUUUCCUCUAGUAGAAGAUGUCUCAGGAUCAUGAGGACAUUAAUGUUCAAGUUUUACAUUUUUUCAUUCCUAUUACAGGGAGAUGUUUGUGUGUGCAACACUUUAUUUUUGCUAGUUACACCAGUUUAACAUUGACAGGAGUCUCAGGACAUCAUCUGUCUGAUGUCAUGUCCUGAGGCCCCUCCCAUCUGAGUGAGAUUUGUGAACACGCAAAUCUAUGAAGUUGUAGAAGAAGAGCUCCUGAAAAUCUUAAGAUAUCUUCACAAGAGCAUGCGAGAAAAAGCCUGAAUUCUGAAGCUGGUGGUCUGACUGUAAAGAUGACUCAUACAUUUAAAAAAUCUUAGCAUGACGUCCCUCACUGCUAACUGUGUAAAACAAAUAGUUUUUCAGUUCAGAAACCUCUCUGAUGUGUUGAGUUUGCUAAAGAUGCUAAAAGAGAGAAAGAGAGAGAGGGAGAAAGAGAGAGACGGAGGAGGUGAAGAGCUUUAAGAGUGAUAGAGAGAGAGAGCGGUGGGGUGUGGAAGUGGGGGUGACGUGCUCUGUAAUCAUGGGUCUAUUAGUCUGCUCUCUUUAUGACUGAUGGAGCUGGAGCGCUGCCUUAUGGAAGAUAGUCGCUCAGCAUAUUUAACAGCUGACAGGUGUGUGUUUGUGUGUGUGUGUGGGCAUGUAUGCUUGUGUGUGUGUUGUUUAUGGAUCUCAGUAUUAUGAGCUUUGUUUCUGUGUGUGCUGAAAAGUAGAGUAUGGUCUAGUUUGAUUUGACAGACUUACUUCAGUCCAGUUCAUUAGAACCUCUGAUCACUUCUUACCUUUUGUAAUAUCUGUCAUUAGCUGUCAUUGCCUCUUUAAAUGAAGCUGUCAUGUAUUUUAUUACUGAUAAGUGCCUGUGAAGUGAGUUUUUUGGUAUUAAUAAGACAGAUUAAAAUUAAUGUCUUUGUCUUUUUAUGAUAAACAAAAGCAAGCAAGAACACAGCUGACAAGAGUGGUGAUUGUGAAUAAUAGACCUUUUUCACAGUACGCGGAAGUUAGCGUUCUGCUCACUUCCGGUAUUAGCGUGUGGUGGAGCCACUUAGCAUCGCCCAUAGACGGCCAUUCAUUUUUCACGAUAUUAACAAGCUCACGACUCGUUUUUUUGAAUGUAAAAUUUUAUGCUUUGUGCUGUUUAACUAACUCGUGUUCUUCAUAAUACUGUCCGGAUUUUGUAAUUUACUUUUCGGGAAUUAUGAUUAAUAGGUCUGGAAAUUUUCUGAUGAUGGUAACCAUUGCUCUUCAGUAAUGACCUAUUAUUCCCGAAAAGUAAAGUACAAAAUCCGGACAGUAUUAUGAAGAACAGGAGUUAGUAAAACAGCACUAAGCAUAAAAUUUUACUUUACCUUUCACAAAAACGAGUCGCGAGCUUGUUAAUAUCGUGAAAAAUGAAUGGCCGUCUACGGGCGAUGCUAAGCGGCUCCGCCACACGCUAACACCGGAAGUGAGCAGAAUGCUUACUUCCGCGUACUGUGAUAAAGGUCUAUUGUUUGGAUGUUUAAAUAGAUCUCACUUGGAUGGUUGACAUUGGACUGAGGUACAAGGACUGUUUCAGGAUUUAAAAUGUUGUUGCUUUUGUCAGCUAUUAAUAGAUGGAAGAUGCACAGAGAUUCAUAACCCAUAGAUAACUGGCUGAGUAAAAAAGUAACUUGAAAUUUUCUAAAUGACAUGCUUAAACCUUUGGCUUGCAGUGGUGCUGAGGACUAUUGCUCAGUAAUGACAGACUCCUGUGUCAAAUAGUCUGAAAUUGGUCUUACUUGUUAAAGGGACUCUUUGCCAAAUUCAUUUGCCUUUUACGCUGUCAGUUUCUUUUAAACCAAGAAUAAGAGUGUCCUUUGAGCUUGGCCUCUCAUAAGUGAGCAGAAAAAACUGAAGGAUAUGCAGAGCGACACUGUCCAUGGUGCUGAAAGUGAAGCUGCUGCUUUCAGCUGUCCAUGGUGCUGAAACAGAUGAGUACACUGUGUAGAUCUCCAUUUAUCACAGAACCUGUGGCUAUAUUCAAAGUGAAACCGAAUCUUAUCUACGCAUUUUAUUUCUGAAAAUAUCGCAAAAAUCGGUGCGUUUUGGUCGAUUACCAAUGAGCCUCAAAUGCGCAAAAACUGUCUGAUUUAAUCGGCUAGCUGAUAAAUCGGUUGGGCCCUUAUGUUCACAAAGCUUUUUAAUGCAGCUCUAGUUUCUUAUAGGGGAAGAAAUUAGAGAUGCAACAAUUCAUUUGUUUGCUUUAUCUGGCCAAAGAAACACUUAAGAGUUUUUUUCCUAGUUCAGACCACAUCAUUGCAAAGAUAUCUUGCAGGGAAAACACAAGAGACGUAAACACCGCAGUUUAUUAAUAAAUGCUUUUAGACUUCUACUUUUCAGUUUUAUCUGAAGGCAUGUGUGUCAGUGUCAGCAGUGAGCAGGAAGAGGAGGCAGGAAAACAGAGAUAAACAGAGAGGACGAAAGUGAUGAAAGAUGAAGAGAAGGACACUGAGGAGUGAAACAGAUGAUGAUAAAUGAGUGGAGGAGAUCUCAGCGUUAAAACAAGCCUCUCACUCUGUCUCCUCAUAAAGUGUUUGUCUCUCCAGCCAAAAGCUGUUUAGAUUUGAUGGACACUGUGAAGAGUGUGUGUGUGUGUGUGUGUGUGUGUGUGUGUGUGUGUGUGUGUGUGUGUGAGAGAGAGAGUGUGUGUGUCAGUCCAGCCAUCUGGUAACCAGGGCAUUGUUUACUCUGUCACUGCUCAAUAUUUACCCAUCCAUCUCUCGUCCCACUGCAAACCACAAGUGUGUGUGUUCACAGUGAACUCAGGGUGUGUUUUUUUGUGGGUUAAACACUAUUUAAAUAAAGCUGUUCAUGUUUAAACAAAUUUCAUUCUAACUUGUAGAUUAACUUUUCCAUAUUUUUUUGUAUUUUCCUAUAUUGGUAAUAAGCUUUUGGACCGACAGCCUAAUUACUGUUUGAGUUCAGGUAAAGUUAUGAACAGGCGGAUGAAAAUGUAAUCAGUUUGGUCUCUUGUGUAGAAUUCCUGACAUCCACAUAUUGAUGUAAAUUUAAAAAUUUUAAAAACUCAGGCACCAAAUUCACUUGAUGAUGUGACACAAAACCAAUCAGUGUGAGAUUUUCUGACUUUAUGAAUCUUCAAACUUCUUCCAAAAAGCUUUUUUUAACUGUAUGCAAACAUAAUUACAGGCUAACAUGCAAAAGCAGUUUUUUUAUUUGCAUUCCUGACAAUUUCCAAAAUUGUUUCAGACUUUUCAGCCCUUAAUUUGAAUUCGUCUUAGUUUGUGCAUCCAUCAGCAAUUAAUACUGUUUUUCUUGGCCCUCUGUCCCCUCAGAUUGUAUCUUAAAGGUGGGGUAGGCAGGAUCUGAGGAAGUGCCAGUCCCUCUCUGCUCCAACAAGCCCCGCCCACAAACAGAAGCUCGCGCUCGUCCGUAUUGUUCCAAUUAAAUUCAAAUAUAUUGCAGAUAAAUACUUCAGAUAAUUACAAAUGGGGCCCAGUCAAGGUGAAAGUCAAAAGCAUUGGUGCUACUGUAGAUGCCAACAGACUACCAGCAAACACAAUGUUUGCAGGACUUCUAUAACGAGGAUAAAGUGACAUAGUCCAGGACCCGAGGUCAACAGUUUAGCGAUGGCGCUACAACACGCUACAGCAGGUCGGUUUGACAAGAAACACUUCUGUUACAGACACUUGUCUUACUUUGUUAAAGCGGUUUACCUGUCCAGCAGAAAGGUUACAGGGUCACCAAGAUCCCCAAGCGUCCCCCAUCAUUGUUGACCCGGCUUUUUAGCUCUUGUCCGGUCUACCUCCGUUUUAAUCGCCUUAUUCCUCCAGAGUCUCCGGUAUUUACUUUGUAUUCUUGCUUGUGUCGGCAGUCGUGGCCAAAGGAGGAUUCAGACCAUUUUCCGAACUUUCUGGUUGGUUUCUACUGUCCGAUAUUGUCGCACGCUAACUUUGUUUGGGCUCCUGAACGACACGGGGGGCAGCGUCUGCCUCACAACCAACCAAACCAAAUUUUAUAAUGUUGACUACACAGACACAACAAAACACAGCGAUAUCGUAAUAUUACCAAAUGUCAUCAAUAACAAAUAGCUAUUGACUGAUAUCAAAAGCUUUUUUGUAUAAACACCACAAAAAAAGAUGCUUCUUUAACCCCACCUUUAAUCCAGCGUAGUGUCACUCAAAGAUCAUUCAAACUUUCCUUCAUAGCUUCUUUUAUACAAUAACUCAGGGCCAUGAAUUAGAGCCUGAACCAUUACUGACAUUCGACACCCUUCACAUAUCAGAUGUGUUGUGGAAAAAACUAUCAUGGUGAAGUGGAAUGACCCAUCUCAAGCAAACCUAGAAGAGGUGACAGGCAUUUCUGGUGUACUCUAUCUGUAAUUCUUUGUUUGGCCGCUGCAGAAAAGGAUGCAUGAUGGCUCUGCUUUCUACUUCCACAAACAUGUCAACAUGGAGAUUCUUACUCUUGAGAUGCUUUCACUGUGCUGCAGCAGACUAAAUGCUCAGCUUUGUCAAACAGAGAGCAGAGCACUUAUCAGAGGCGGAGAUAUCUCUGCAGCCACAGAUCGCCAUCUCUGUUUCACUCUCCCUCCAUCUACGUCUACUUUCUCGCUCUCUCAUCUCAACCUGUUGUUGUUCUUCUCUAUGUCCUCUCCCUCCAUCCCCCUCGUCUCUGAUCUUCUGCUGCCGUCUAAGCUUCAAAGGUGGUGAAGAGGUUUGCCAUCUCAUCUUCCUCGCCACAGAACCCUUCAUCUUCUUCAAACAGCAGAGUGCAAAGGCUAACGGAGGGUUUCAGACAUCCUCUAUUCUGUUGCUCUGUGUCUCUCUGCAGAGACACUUUGACAGAAAUGCUCUCUGGGUGAAGACAGGGCUGAUCUUCAAAUUGACCUCAGACCCUCUCACUCUGAUCCAGUUUAUAUUUUAUAAUUCACGUUGUUUCUGCUAGUUUGGUUUCAGCGAUAGUUUCCUGAAAAUGACAGUCUGCCACCUGGUACCACAGUAUUAGAGCAUGGUGGACAACUGUUUUACCGUGGUCGUGACGUCCUGUGAGAACUUUUCUGCUCACAGCCAAAUUGAAGAAAAUAAAAAGAAGAAAACCAUCUGAGGGUAGAUGUAAAUUUGGCACCGAAUAGAUCCCAGUGAAACACAACAAUUUAAAGGGAAGUUACUGUUAAGUUAUCAAGUUGGAGGAACUCACAUUGGUUUUAAAAAAUUCCAGUUCCAAAAAAAAGUGAACGUUUAUACUAGGGCCAGACCAAUAUGGAUUUUUUUGGGGGCCGAUACCGAUUAUUAGGGGGGAAAAAAUCAGAUUACCAAUUAAUCGGCCGAUUUUUUCAAUUUAAAAGUUAUAGUAUAUAUAUAUAUAUAUAUAUAUUGUAGAUAUCAACAGUAUACUUUAUACCGUAGAUGUACUGUAGGCUACUGCUCUUCACGCCGACAGGAAGACCGACUGAUCAAACUGAUCAAAUAGCUCAGUCACUAAUGUGUACUGUUGUUUAUUCUACCGUCACUGGCACGGCUAACAGUGUAGCAAGGCUAAUAGCAGGUGGCUAACUCUAACUUUAGCUUGCAUAUUACAUGGUGAUUCACCGUUAACUCGGCGUGACCGAGACCAGCACAGCGGGGAACAUGGUGAAGUGGUUUGAACUGAAACUUGUUGACUUAUUGUGUAUUUCACAAACUGGUUUAUUUACCGUUGAGGCGGACCACUCUCCUCCGUGCGUCCCUGAGCUGCCUGCUUCAGAUCCGUCACUCUGCUGUGCUGUGAGGUAGUUAGUGGAUGAAGAUUGUCAUGAGGUCGCUGCGCCAUCUACAGGAUAAGUGGGGGAACUUUUCAAAUGGCAGAACAUUUUCAAAGUGAAACCGAAUCUCAUUCUCCGCAUUUCAUUUCUGAAAAUAUUGGUGAAAAUCGUCAAGUUUUGGCCGAUUACCUCAAACGGGCUUAAAUUGGCCGAUUUAAUCUGUUGACGCACCUCCCUUCCUACUGGCUCACUCAAUAAAAAUGCAGUAAAAGAUGAAGUUCAAAUAUUGGGUCCAUAAAAUUUUUUUAAUUAAACCAAUAAAGGCUGUAAAAUGUCUUACAGAUCUUAAAAAGGAGAAUUAAAAUAAAAGCAGUAGCUCAUCAGUGAAAAGUCAAGUUCUUUCUUAAAUCUGUAACUCACACCUAACUGUUUUAUUCGGGAAAUAUAAUGUCAGACUUGAAUUUUAAUUACAAGGAUGAGCGAUAUAAAAGACCCAGUCCGUUUAACCUUAUUAAUACAUUUAUCUAUGUAUUUGUGUAGGAUUAAACGGGAUUAUACAACAUGUUUUCAUGCUAAACCUCUUGGGUGUGAUGCACCAGAGGGCCACAUGCUAAACACACACUCUCACACACACACAUUCCUCAUCUCAGUGCGAGCAGACUGACUGAGUAGUCUCACUAAAGGCUUUUUAAUAGACUGCUUUGUGUGGGAGGGGGGACUCUGGGUGACGGGUCGAGGUCUCGGGGGAGACUUAGAUUGGGGGUGGGGGGAUAAACGGCUCAUUGAAAACCCAACAAAGCAGAGAAUCUAUGUUAGCUUCACUGCUGAAACUACAAUAAUUAUUCAAAACAACAACAACAAAAUCAUGAUGAGAUGAAAAAGACUCCAGUCUGCCUGCUCCAUGGCUUAAGACUUGGAGGUGCACAGUACAACUUUAAAUUUGAACUGGCUAACUUCUACUACUUUGCUUUCCAAAAGAGCAACCUGUUGUUAAAAAUGAUGCCAAUGUGUAGUUUUAAAAGACUGCAGUUCCUAGAGUGUCCACUAGAGACCUGAAGAAAAGUAAUACUGUGUCUACAGAGCCCAAGGCUGCACGAGUUAGGCUCUCACUUCUCUCCUUUCUUGGGGUGGAGAGAUGGAAGAAGUGAGAGGAGAAGGAGGAGACAGGGUUGUGUUUUGGUAUGAAUUUAAUAUGUAAACGAUCAGCCGGUCAGCCAUGUUGAAUAUACCGGUGAAUCUGACGUCGCAGGUGGACACACAGUAUGCAAAACUUUUUUAGGGUUCAAAAAAAAAUAUUGACGUCCGAAAUAACCGCACGAAAAAAAAGCUUCCGGUAGGUAAGGACCUUAAGUUUUGGUGUUUUAAAGGGCCGUUUAUUAAAGCUUGUUUAAUUAUUGGAUUUCUAUUUGAUGCGUAUUUUAAUUUUUUGUUUUGUUUUGUUUUUAUGGAGAGAUAUGGCAGGAAAUCAAAAGCUGGUUGUAGCAUGAGAAAUAGCUGUUGCUGAUGAGUUAUAUUAGGAAACAGGGCAUGUAAACUGAGCUUUUCAUUUGGGUUCGAGGUUUUAGUACCCUACAUAUCUAUUUCCAGAUGUCCUGUUGUCCAAUGCUGUGUCCAGAGCAGAUGUCAUUUACAUAAAUAUGAUAUAAACACCUCUUUAGCGGUGAAUUUGAGAGCAGUUUUGAGGAUUUUCUUUUUCUAAAUUACAAACUGAGGUUGUAACUUUUUGUCAGCCUAAUGACUUGUCAAAAUGUUCCAUCCUGAUUAGACAUAGGUGUGAAAAUAAACAGGAACAUGCAGCCACUUUCUAAAACUGGAAUAGUUGGGGGAGAUUCGACUGGUCCAGAAGCUCCAGUUUCAGGUCAUCAGAAGGUGACAUGUUUGACUGCAUCAUCUCGGGGAAGGCGAGAUGUUUGGCUCUGGCGCGUGUUUCCCGUCCCCUCUCUGCUGCAGAGAGUGUGAAUGAAGACGUUUAUUACAGCGGAGACACAGAGGAUUAGCACAGGGCUUAAACCAUUCUCAUGGUAAUGCGUGGAGCUGGGAGCGCGCAGAUAAACACAAACACUCACCUUAUCGAAACACCCAGACCUGAAAGACUACUCCUUAACAGCAACCACAGACCGGCUGAGAGACGCCGCAGACAACAGGAAGCAGACUCAGAGUGAGGAAGAUGUCAGUUUGUGGAGGCAGAUUACGGCCUCUUUCAAAAAUAAUGUCUGGACAAUAAAAUCAUUUAAGGUACAUCCAUCACACUCAGAGGAAGGUGGGAGGCCAUUGUCAAAGCUUAGGCUAAAAAACAACAACACAUGGACCUCAGUUCAGGGCUGCAGGACUGGACAUUUAGAGUGAUAUGUGGUUUAAGUUUUUAGGUAAGGUCCCCAUGCAAGAAUAAUGAAGCGUUAGGAUCUUCUUCACAAGUUAAACCUGAAACACCAGGAGACCUUUUUGUUGCCUUUUUUAUAUGAAAACUUGGGACAGUCUCAGCAGAUGACUGUCUAACAUAAAUCUGGUUCCGCUCAAAGUUUCUGCCCUUUAAAGAAAGUUUUUCCUCUCCUUCAACUUGGUAAAAGCGGCGAAGUGUUACACUCAUGGUAGAUUGAGAUGGAUCAGAGUGGGUUUGAUUUUAUGAGAUGUGACAAUGGUUGGACAUGGACAAGGUUGGACAAGUGAUACUUUAGGUUAGUGCAUGCAAUGAGAGCUUACCUGUGCCAACAUUACUGUAUGAAAAAGGUGUCAAUUUUCUAAUUACCUCCGCCAAGGAGGUUUUGUUUUCGGUAGCGUUGAUUUGUUUGUUUGUUUGUCUGUUAGCAACUUUACGGAGAAAGUUACAGACGGGAAAUUUUCCCCAGAGGUGCGUCUCAGCCCCAGGAGGAUCUUUAUCGUUGUGAGAUAGGGCAAAUUUGGAAUUUUUGCAUUUAACUCGAUAAAAAUGUCCAGAGUGUUUAGUAAAAAAUGACACAAAAGGAUCUCAAUGACUUUAUGAGGUGUCAAAGGUUGAUCCUGAUCCAGACAAAAUUCUGGAUACUGUGAUCCAGAACACACAAAAAUAAGGGUGUCGUUGGAAUUUUCAAUGCUGAAAGAUAACCAAUGGGCGGCACAGUGGUGUAGAUAGGCGGCACAGUGGUGUAGUGGUUAGCACUGUCGCCUCACAGCAAGAAGGUCCUGGGUUUGAAUCCCGGUCAGGGCAUUUCUUGUUUAAGGGGGGACAUGAGCUCCUUGGCGGAGGUCUGCGCUCUCCGAGUGCUUUUCUAGUAUUGGUAUAGCUCUUCACAAACAUCUCUGUCUUGUAGAGGUUUAAUCAGCAGACUGUUUUCUCUCAUAAAGUGGUUGUAAUGUGCGCUAAAAUGUUUACAUGAUGGAGCAGAGAGGACAGCUUACUCUCUGCCAUCAUAAUCCACGGUAUCGUCUCUGCUCCAGGCCAUCCUCAGCGCUCACUCGUACCUUCUUCACAUUGUUGUCCGACAACAAUCUCAGCUCACAAAUCCAUGAACCUUCAAAUCUUCUCUCUUGGCGUUGGGUUUGUUGUUUUGUGUUUUGGCUCCUUGAAGAGGAAAUGGGGAAGAAGCUGAGCUCUUGGGAUUUUUUUUUUCUGAUCCCUCUUUUCAAUGAACUCUUCAUCUUUAAACAUCAGGGUAACAGCAGAUCAUGGAGUGAGGAAGACUCCAAGAUUUGUCUGCCAUCGUCGUCUGAAAAAGAGGAGUGAAGUGCGUGCAAUUCAGAGUCUGACACUGAUGACUCUACAGAGCCGUGAGUUUAUAUUUGAUGCCCUGAAACAGUCUGGCGCCAACACUGAUCGUAUUUACAACUCGACUGAUUUUAAGGGGCAAGUCUAGGUCACAUCUGGAGUCUCUCAAGGACAAGUUCACGUCAGGGUUUUGGGACCAACAUUAACGUUUAACCUCUGCAGUAUCCUUGCCAGAACUAUGAGGUAUGGACACAUGCUCUUUCUCCUCCUCCCUCCUCUUCCUCUCCCCCACAGUGACAGAGAUGUAGCUUCCAGAUCUCUCCCCUGCCACCUCUGAUUAGAGCCGGCGUGGGUGAGACACACCUGUACAGCUGAUGGGAGACAAUGCGGCCGCUUCCUCCCAGAGAUUGAUUUUCUCCAUUAAAACGGGCCCUUUGUCUAAAAACCCUGCACCCCUUUUGUUAUGCUAAAGAGAAGAUGGAAGAUUUCCAAUUCAAUUUGGGCUGAGACGAGGGCCGGUCAGCUAUAUGGGCGGCCAUUGUUCUGGCUGAGCCCGCUGGGACGACACUAGCGUCUCCCAAACGCCAAUUAAGCUGGACGGAGAGACGGACAGGGGGAUAAUUGACAGGCAGGAGAAAGGCAGCCGUCUUCCUCUCUGUCUCAUCAUUGAAAAAGAAAAUCAAAGAGAAGGAGCAGCAGAGGGGAGGAAAAGUGAGGGAUGAGAGGGAGAACAAGCAGGAGAGGAGUAAUAACCUGUAAUAUGCUGCCCAGAGCAAAUUCAGAUUACAAGAAGUGUUUAGCUCACGGACGCGACUUUGACCCGGGAGGCCGAGUAAAGACAAAGAGAGCCGUGAUUGAAAUCGGAACUUUGGUUUAAUGAUGAUUGAUUUCAUAUUUGAGAAAAUAAGGCCAAGUCUUCUCAGAAAUGACACGUCCUUAAAGAGCGCGUUUUACAUUAACUUUCAUUAUCUUCAUCCUUCAUCAUUAACCUGUCACAGGUCCACUCCUGUUUUAAUCACUUAAGAUGCAUCUAAUUAAGGGUAAUUUAAGGCAAACUCUUUAAUACUUUCACACUCAUCUCAGAGGAUGUCUUAAGAAAAGGUGGACUUGUCAUCUCUGUUUUAUCAGUAAGCUGUUUUAGGGCAGCCUGAGCAUACCAACAACUGAUAUAGUCUGUUUUGAGGUAAGAGAGUCCAUUCAAGACAGUCAGAUUCUUCACUUCUGUCAGUGAGACGGGUCUGUGUCACGUAUCUGAUGUAGGACAGCGUCUUAAAGGGACAUGAGACCAUAGUCUACCUACACACAUCCAAAACCAACUCUUAUUUAUUUACUUUUUUGACACCGAAUAUACCGAUACGGGCAAAAUGAUGUCCGUUAUUGUUGUAAAUUUUGGUAUCGAUAAAUAUUCAGUUUAUCGCCCAGUCCUAUGAUGAAGUAAAUGGUAUCCUAUCUUGAUUUUAGUGUUGGUGGAUGUACAACAAAGGGCAUAGUCUGAACCUCAUGAGGGUAUAGGGAUUACACAUCUUGGGACUCAGUGCUUUUUAUUCAAAGUUUGAUAAAAUAAUAGAUUUUCUCCCCGCAAAAACGUUUAGCAGAGGUGGGGGCUUGACGACUCGACUUGAGACUCGACUUGGACUUGAGUCCCGUUUUUGACUUGCUUGAUGUUCAUAAAAUGACUUGGACUUGCUUGGGACUUGAUUGCUAAAGACUUGAGAGCAAAGACUUGAGACUCGACUUGGACUUGCAUAUAAGGACUUUCCCCCACCUCUGCCAUUUAGAUUGUGUAAAGGAAUGCUAGGAUGUUUUUUUUAGGUCUGUUUCCCUCCUUUCUGAUGAAAGGUUUGGUCUGUUGGGGAUGCUUGACUCCAUCUUACCCUUUUACCCUCUGAGGGUACCCAGAGUCUAAACUCUGUUUUAUACAUUUUUUUGCUACAUUUGUUUGUGGUUCUUUUCUUUGUUUUGUUGUAUGAUUGGUUAUUAAGGUACCCCUUCUUUUUAUUUUUGCAUCAUUUUACCAACUUUAUUCUGAAUUAUUGAGUGACCAAACGUCCUCUUAUACCCAGACAUGUCACCUUUUUGGGGGGCUGUCCGACCUGUCCAGGAGGAGUUUAUAAAAUCCUUCAAAUGUCCGAGGUUUUGUGUGGAAGUUGGACUAACUGAGUUAAAAGCGCUUAAAAACACUCGACCCGACCUGAAAAACCCUCAAAAUUUUGUGUGCGACUCUUCCCCACAUAGUAGUGUCCUCUUUUUUGGGGGAUUCAGAAUAUUGUCACCCUAGAAUUAUUUCUGAGAUUCUCUGGUCAGGGUCAGAACUCAGACUCAAAAGUGUACCUUUGUCUACGUCAGACCAUAAGGUUCAGGUUUGGGAUUUGAGAACCAAACAAUCUGCAGAGGUGAAUCAGUCUAAUAAGAACAGUGAAAUCCAGCUUGCAACAAGUCUUUGUCAGGGAUUGCUGCUGGAUAUGCUUUGUCAUGCCUCUGUUCAAUCAGGAUCAGUGCUCAAGCUUUUAAUUAAAGGGUUAUUACGCAGACUUUAAGUCAAACAUCCACCUGUGCAUGAAAAGCACCUUUUUAACAUUUCCUUACUGACAAAUCCAAUUAGCUCUUUCCUCAGCUGCUUUCAUAUAUGAGACCUGAGCUGAGAGGCUUGAUUUGGGCUCAGAAAGGCUGGAAUUCCUGGUUUUAAACCCAGAGAUGAUUACAGUGAUACAGACACAAAGACGUUCAGUACCUGCUCUCCUUCAUUUCUCCACAGAGAGCUUUGUGAAUGAAUUAAAUUCACCAUAGACUGGAUACCUGCUCACUCUCAGUGGGAGCCUCAUAACUCUGUGAAUUAUAUCUCUCCAAAUGCGUUUUUAUCCGUCUGGUAUCUGAAGAGAGGUGUAUUGAUAUGUCACCUGAUAACGCGUAACAAAUUGUAAAAUCACAUGAAUCUUUUUGGGAUUGAAACCUGUAUCUUGGUCACUUUUUUUAAUCUCAUUUUUAUGCUGUAAGUCAACUCAAACUAUAUGCACCCUGUCAUUGACUUGUACUGUACAUAUCUGCAAAAAUAACAUGUUUUUCUCCACUUUCUCUCUUCCAAACCAAUUUUUUUUUUUUUUGGUGUUUCUUACUGUUUCUCCUUCAAAUCAUAAUUUCUCUCGCUUUUAUCCCUCCACCCCUCCUUUUUCACUUUCCCUCUCUCUGCUGGCUUGUGACAGACGGCCUAAUAGGAUUUAAUAAGCCCCAUUUGCAUGUCAGCCUUUUAAAUUUUCUGUAAGAAAGAAAGGCAAAAGGAGGGACGGGGGGGUGGAGAAGGAGGGAGGGAGAGAGGGCGUGAAGGAAAAGAAAGAAAGAGAGGAAGAAAGGAGGGCGGGAUUGGAGUGAGCGUGACGGCGGACGAUGAUUUAAAGACCCUUUUCCUCUUUUGAUUCAUGUAGAGAAGCAUCAGAACUGCCAAUAUCUGCAUUUUUCCUGGACUUGUCCAUCAUGAUUCUCUGGCAGAGCGAGCAGAGAUCUGAUUUCAGUGCGGGGAAAAUAGCUCAUUAUUUUUUUAUUGGCAUUUUUUGGUCUGUAUGUUGUUCCAGUUUGUCUCGAACACGACAAAUAUCACAUUUUGUUGGAAAUUUUAUUUUCAGUGAGAGCUGGCAACUUCACGUCACUUUCACUAAGUGGCUUUUGUGCUUUUGUUUGGGGUUUUUGAAGGUGGAGUGCAACAAAAAGGUCAAAAAUUCAUCACUGUAGACAACGAGAUAUCGAGUAAUACAGGACAAUCAAUUUCAGCCACUUCACAGAGCUCCUCUCUGGUCAUUUGAUGUUCAAAAUGGUUGAAUGUUCUCACUAUGAAACACAACAGGUACAGCUUUUUACUAAUAACUCUCUUCUUCAAAUGUUGGUCAGGGAUUUAACCUCUUUCCCCUCAAAACAGUGACAUUUUUAUUGAACGUUAGUUUUUUUGGAGGUGAAAUCAGUACAUCGUGUCAAGCCAAAGUUUGAAAAAAGAGGAGGCACAUGACAGAGCAGCUAAGUAAGAUCUUAUCGAAUCUUAUUGAAUUUCCUUUCGGGGAUCAAUAAAGUUCUUCUCAUCUUAUCUUAUCUUAUCUUAGUUUCUCAAUAUCUUUCGGGAGCCAUUUUUAUGGAAAGGGUUCUGCAAAACUUAUAGAAUAGAAUAGAAUAGAAUAGAAUAGAAUGCUCUUUAUUGUCAUUAUACAAACAUUGUACAACGAGAUUGGAGAGGGUCUCCCAUUCAGUGCAAGUAAAAAGUAAAAGUAAAGGUUUAAAAUAUAAAAUAUAAAUAUAUAUACGGAAAAGAUGCAAUAGAGUGUUGAAACAUUGUUGUUAAAUAGAUUCCACACAGUGGACAGUAGCAGCGACGGUAAAAAAACUUAUUGCACAGUAGGUAUGGCUAUGUAAAGAUGAAUACAACAGUGUUACAUGCCGGAGUUCAGGGUGGUGAUGGCUAUGGGGAAAAAGCUAUUUCUCAGUCUAUUCGUUCUUGCUUUGAGACAUCUGUAGCGCCUGCCAGAGGGCAACAGCUCAAACAGCUGAGAACCAGGAUGUGAAGUGUCUGCAGUGAUGUCACAGGCUCUGCUGAGACACCGGGAGGUGUAGAUGUCCAUCAUGGACGGUAGAGGACAGCCAACGAUCCUCUGUGCUGCUCUGAAUGUUCUCUGAAGCCUCGUUCUGUCAGCCUCAGUGCAGCUCCCGUACCAGGUGGAGAUGCAGUACGUCAGCAGGCUCUCGAUGGCUGAGCAGUAGAAGGCCAGCAGCAGCUUACUGUCCGAGUUGUUCCUCCUGAGGUCUCUCAGGUGGUGUAGACGCUGCUGAGCCUUCUUGAUGACAGUUGUGUGUCCAGGAGAGGUCAUCGGAGAUCUGGACUCCCAGGAACCUGAAUGUGUGGACUAAAGUAUUAAAGUUAAUGAAAAAUUAACUUUAAUACUUUAUGGGAAUCAUGUGACCCACGGGAAUUCCCAAAAAAUGUCAUCCUCUAGUUUAUAUCGCCCAGCCCUAUUUCUUACAGGAGCUUAAACUUCAGCCAUGCAGGUUGCAGCUCCAACAAAUGCAUGUAGUCCUCUAUGGUUUCACACUACAUCAAGAUUGUUGUUGAUGUAAUCUUUGUCAAUCUUUUGUUCAUGAUGAAUUACUGUUAUGUUUUUUUUUGCAAAAAAGUGUCACUGAGUAGAUCGAGACCUGCUAUAUAUGGUUUAAUGUUAAUUGUACAAUUUGGCAUAGGUUUAAUAUUUGAAUUGUUGAUAGCUGGAAAAUCUCAAUUUUUUUGUUUUAAUCAUGAGAAUUAAUUUUUUCCGCAAAGAGUUGAAAUUUUUUGGGACGGUGUUUUUUGCUCCUCCAGCUCUGGAAUGAAGAGAGAAAUGUUAGGCAAUAACAGUGUGUGUGUGUUUGUGUGUGUGUGUGAUGGGGAGGCUGUCGCUCUGUAAGGAGGAUAAAAGGUCCAGCCAAAAACCAUGAGAGUCACACACACACACAUCUCCUCUCACACUCACACACUCGGUAAUCCCCAUGUUGGUAGCUGAUGUUUAUUGGCGUGUAAUAGGAUCAGGAUGAGGCAGCGUCAAUAUCAGAGCAAACAUCUCACACCCUCUCUCUCUCUCUCUCUCUCUCUCUCUCUCUCACACACACACACACACUCACACACACACACUCAGCCGCUGAUCAAACAUAGCCCAGGAAACAUUGUGAUCCAGGAGAGAUGAGAGGACUAAUCCUUUUAGCCUUCUAAGAAGACUCUCCUCCUCCUCCUCCUCCUCCUCUUCGUCUCUUUCUCUCCCCGGCUCGCUUCCUCAAUCAUUCUUCUGUUACUUUUUUUUUUUUUGCUUGACAACAUUGUUUCCCCUCUCUCUGUGCCACUUUCACUGACAGGGACAGGGCUAAAGAGAGAGAGAGAGAGAGUCUGAGCUAAAUAUACCCGCUGUGUGUUUGUGUUAAGAGCAGAUUGAUCUGCUUGGUUUGCUCAGAGAUUAGACCUGAUAAAUCCUCCUUUUUAAACUGAACCAGCCCUCAUCAGCCUCCUCCCUCCCACACUGCAUUCAUGUGUGUGUGUGUGUGUGUGUGUGUGUGUGUGUGUGUGUGUGUGUGUGUGUGUGUGUGUGUGUGUGUGUGUGUGUGUGUGUGCCAUCAUCCCUACAGGACUGAACCAUCAGAAUUUAGAGUUUUAGUUUGGGCUAUUUAAAUUUGAAAGGAUGAAACCACUUUUGGGGGCACCACAGAAUCAUGGCUGAUAACCCAAUAUUUGAUGCAAAGUCAAGAUUUGUCUCCUCCUAAUUACAGAAAAUCAUGAUUAAUAUUUUCUCUUUUGAUUGUAUGAAGAAACUAGAAAAGCACUCGGAGAGCGCAGACCUCCGCCAAGCAGCUCAUGUCCCCCCUUAUAUUGUGAUUCACACCAAAACUUUUACUGUUACGUGUCUUUUAUGAACUUUUAUUUGUGUUUAAACUGGUAUGUUCACUGUUCAUAAUGUUCCUAAAACAAGAAAUGCCCUGACCCGGAUUCAAACCCAGGACCUUCUUGCUGUGAGGCGACAGUGCUAACCACUACACCACUGUACCACCUAUCUACACCACUGUGCCGCCCAUUGGUUAUCUUUCAGCAUUGAAAAUUCCAACGACACCCUUAUUUUUGUGUGUUCUGGAUCACAGUAUCCGGAAUUUUGUCUGGAUCAGGAUCAACCUUUGACACCUCAUAAAACUCAUUGAGAUCCUUUUGUGUCAUUUUUUACUAAAGACUCUGGACAUUUUUAUCGAGUUAAAUGCAAAAAUUCCAAAAUUUGCCCUAUCUCACAAUGAUGAAGAAUCCUUCAAAAAAUUCCUGGAUCCAGAAGGCGAUCCGGAUCACCACCAAAAUGUAAUGGGAUCCUCCUGGGGCUGAGACACACCUCUGGUGAAAAUUUCAGGUCAAUCCGUCUGUAACUUUCUCCGUAAAGUUGGUAACAAACAAACAAACCAACGCUACUGAAAACAUAACCUCCUUGGCGGAGGUAAAAAUGUGCUCAACUUUCAAGUCAUUCAUUUUUUAGACUUCCCUCUCGAUAGGAAGACGAGUUACCCUCCCUUAGUAUCUAUCCGGUAACUACACUGGAUUGAAACAUGGCAUUUUCAUGGUAACAAUCUGAUGAAUUCAGUGGGGGUUUGGGGGCUGCGAGCUGAGCUGAUUCUCACUCUAGUUCAAUUGCUGACUUGUUUUUCUGGAUUAAUUUGUAUAGAAGAAAAUGAGACGGAGUAGUAAUGGCCACUGGAAUUGAAUCCAGUAAUUGUUAAAAACACUUAAGCAAAUUAAUAAACAAAACUUUAACUGGUGUUGGGGGGCUGUGAGCUGAGCGAGCUGACUUUUAUUUUAGCCAAUUUUGACAUGCAAGUUGAAUAUUCUUUUUUGCCAAACAAAUGUAAAUCAGUUCAGUAAUUAAAAUCGUUUAGUGCUCUAAAACAUCGUCUCUUCCAGACACUUGCAGUCAGGUUCAGAGUCCUAUGAGCUGAGCAGACCUCAGCUCACCAGUUGACUGUAUUUCUCUGGAUUGACGCAUAAUAGAACUCUAUUUUAUAUACAACCGUGCCGUCAGAUGCAUGUUCGGAAUGACUGGUCAGAAGCAUUAAAUAAGCAUGUAAUGCAAAGGUUUACAUGUACUCCCACUGCAGGAGUACACAUGCUUGUGAACAUGUGUGUAUGUCUUCAAACAGAGCUGUGAGUGCUUAAUGAAUUUACUCUGCUCUGAUUGGAAAUUAAUUAAAACAGCCUCAAACAGACAGCCGCCCACAGGGAGCCCCAGCAACACACUGACAGACAGAUUACUGCUCCGAGGGGGAGGAAGGGGGAGAGACAAGGGGGGGGUCCAGAACUAUCAGGUGCACCUUCUGCAACCCCACAUGCCAUGAGUUAUAAGCACCGUCUACUUGUUGUCAAAUUUAGAAACUGUGCUCUGUGGAUUUCAGCUGAAUUAUCUGUUACUAUAGUCUAAAGUUUAAACAAUAUACUGAAAAAAAAAAUAGCUAAGCUCUUUAGUUUUGUUAUCAGUGUCACAAGCCUCCAGACUGUAUUUCUUAUUGUAGUUCUCUUGGAUUUGUAAGGUCAAAUGAAACUCUUUACACCAAGGUAUACGUGCAUAACUCUAAGGCUUACAUUAACCAAACAUUUCCAGGGCAAAUCUACUUCAAUUAUUUGUUCAUUUUCUUUUAAAUGAAGUUAAAAAAAGCUGCAGGGACCAAAACAGGAUUUGUGUACCAGGUUAUGAACAUGUUAAUUUCUGCCAUAAAGUUGGUCAUUGUCAAAAAGGGGACCCAAUAGGGAUUGACUCACUUUCGGAGCCAGCCUCUAGUGGACAUUUGAGGAACUUCAUGUUCCUGAAGGCUGUCAGUAACUACUAUUAAAUGUGUAAAUAUCUUCGCAUUUGAAAGUGUCUCAAGCUGAUGAUAAUAAAAAAAUAUACAUCAGUGUAAAGUUUCUUAAAGUUAAAACAUUUUUACAUCUGAAUGAACACAAACAUUAGUUAUUUUCAUGUGUUUGAGCAGUUUUUAAGGUUGAUGUCAGUCCAGCUUAUUAAACUGUGAAUGUAAAUAAAAUGAACCGAAGUAUUAGAUUAAUCCCUAUGACAGCUGAAACUGAAUGCACAUCUAUGAAUGAUUUUCCUCCAGCGAGACAAGUGUGAAUGAGACGAGACAAGUAAUAAGACAGACAAACAACAGACACGUCAAUAGUGACAAGUUACUGUACUGAAAGAGGACAAAUCUGACCGCGUCCUUUCACAUUAUCACAUUGUCCUUUCAAUCAGAGAAUUUGAAAACCUCCUCCUUCACAUGCAUGGAUGCCUUUUGAUAGGAUUAAUACCAUUAAAUAACCAAAUGACUCACACAAGUCUUCGCUGAAAUACUUUAAAUCCUCGUCUUUAUCCGAGCUUCUCUCUUUGCAGACCCCAAACAUACAAAACUGUCACUGGAUCACUUUGACACCAGAAGUAAAAACACUAAUCAUGACAGAAAAAUAGUAGUAGUUUAUUUGUCCCAUAGGGAAAUUGAAUUGCAGAAGAUCACACAUUUGGCAUUUCAUCAAGAACAGUACAGAUAAAAAAAAUAAAACAGCAUGUAAACAACUUUCACACAGAAUUAACAGUAAAAAUAAGUAACAUCAUAAUCACACUUCCUAAGUCUCACCUUUAACCUGAUCAGACCAGCUGAGCAGGCUUUAGGUGACUAACUAUGUGUUGGGUCUAAAACCUGCAACAAAUGACUCAAACACAAAGAAGAGAAAGACAAUGGUAUCAGAUUUCUUACUCGCGAGGAGAACGGACAGAGAUACGUUCAAUUACAAUCUCCUCCCGCUCUAAAGUCUAUCUUGUCGUCUCCUCUCUUUUUAUUAUCCUUAGGGUGGUCCCUACUUACAUGACGCUGCAUACACUAAAGGGUGGGGAAUCAAUCUGCUGCAGCGUAUUCACUUACAUAACACAUAAUUAUACUAGAGUAAAUAUGUGCAGACUUCUUCUGGAGAUGUCAAGAUGACCGCUGACAUUUCACAGUCUCCUUUGUGGUGGUUAACUGUUCACAGCGGAGACAGGUACCCAUCUGCUUACAGGAAGAAGGCGAGCUCAGAGAUGUAAGAAAAACACACGAGUUGCAAAGCAGAAGCUGAGUAAAGCUACUGAUAAUUUCUAUAAACUUUUAUACACAUUACCCUAACACUAUGGCUAUUUGGUAUUUAGGCAUUUAACGUUUUUCCUGUCCUGUCUCUGUAGAUGUCUUCCAUACAUGGUAGAGUAGUGCCCAGUAACUUACUGGAUAUGGAUAUAAUUUGUCUAACCCUCUUUUUCUGUGCCUCUGUGGCAUUGCCAAACCAGCAAGUAACACAAAAAGAAAGAAUCCAUUUGGAGCAUUCUCCUUUCAACAGUAAAAGACAGAAGUUUCUUUAAGUGGAACAUUCUUUGUUGAGACUUGGUACCAAUCCAAUCCAUUUUAUUUAUAUAGCACGAUUUAAACAAACACAAGGUUUCCAAAGUGCUGCACAGCAAGAUAAAAAUACAGUAAGUAACAGAAUAGAAGCACAAUAAAACAAUGAAGAUAAAAUAAAAUGAGAUGAAAACACAGUACAAUCAAAUAAAAAGCAAAUAAAAGACAAUAAAAAUGAAAUCAACCUUCUACUGAGUGUUAAAAGCCAAGGAGAAGAGAUGGGUCUUAAAAACAGACAGAGAGGAGGCCUGUCUGAUCUGCUGAGGCAGGUUAUUCCAGAGUUUAGGAGCAGCGGAUCAGCUGAUCUGAGAGAGCGGGACGGAGUGUAAAAAUGUAGAAGCUCAGAGAGGUACGGCGGGGCAAGACCGUUGAGGGAUUUAAAAGCAAAUAAAAGAAUUUUAAAAUGAACCCUAAAACGUAAAGGCAGCCAGUGGAGUGAAGCUAAAAUACAAGAGCAUGCUGGGAUUGAGCUGAUUUACGACAGAGAAGCAGAUUUAAUAUUUUAGUAUUUGUUUCUCUCCUCUCAGAUUCCCUGUUUGGACUCAUCGGUGCUGUCUAAGAGGACUCUCUCUUUCAGAUCAUACCAUUUCUUCAAAAGCUACGAACAGACCACAAGGUAAGACAGCUGGUUGUUCCUGAACCUGCAUGGUUUUGACUUUGACUUUCAUAAGCAUUUUUAUUUUCAUUUCUUAGUGGGCGUAAAUCACUAAAACUCUGAAAUAACUACCUUUAAAAUGUCUAUAAGAUUACUUCUGCAUCAAGGAAACCCCACAAACACAACCCAAGUUUCUUUUCUUUUUAAUUGAAGUAGUUUCAUCUUUAAAUUAAUUCUCUGACGUGAGCAUGUAGUAAAAAAACGAGGCCAGAGCUGAAGUUUCUGCUCCACGUGAUGCUCUGCUGCAGACGUUGAAGCUAAAAGCAUCAGGACUCCACCUGUUGCUGCGUCAGAGCUCUUCCUCCUCCGGUUCAGGAAGUGUUAACUGGCGAGGCUCGCUCAGGCAGACAAUGAUGUUAAAGACUAAUUGACGAGCACUUUAAAUAAGUCCUAAUUAGAGCACGGCUGGUAAUAAUUGGGCAGGCAGUCUGAGCACUAAUUAGCGUUAAAAAUAAGCCUGCUAUGUGCAUGUGUGUGUGUGUGUGUGCAUGUGUGUGUGUGUGUGCAUGUGUGUGUGUGUUACGGUGUGGAUGAAUGAUCUCUGCAGGGGGGCUGAUGAAGAAGCAGACGGAGUGAGAGAGGGAGAAAGGGGGAGAUAAAAUGCCGCCCCUCCUCGCUCUUUUGUGGUGGCGUGCAGUCUGUGGGUGGCCCCCUCUCUGCACGAGGUGGAGGGCAGGUGUUAUAUCUGUGUGUGUGUGUGUGUGUGUGUGUGUGUGUGUGAGUGAACUUGCUCCUAACAGGACUAAUUGAUUCUGUACCCUCUCCUUUUCCUGCCCAGUCUUUCCCUCUCUCGCACACUCUGUUUUUUCUCCUCCGCUCGGCCUCUAAUUGCAGAGAGGCAGCUAGGAAACAGCAGUAAUAGAUUUGCCACCUGCUGCACAGACACAUUAGUAACACACUCGAAUGACUUGUUUGCCUCUCUCUCUCUCUCCCUGCUGUUGUCUCUUCAUUGUUUACAGCGAGUCCUUUCAGCCAGCGACCCAGGUGUACUGAUCCCCCAUCUGGAUAUCAGCCAGCCUGCAUGUUAAAAAUACUACCAGGUGGCACUCCUCUUAAUGUAUGAGAUAUGUUUUCGCCAUAUUUCUUCGCUGUGACUCUGUUGAGUUAGUAGAGCUUGAGUCAUGCACUUUAUUUCUGAGGAGAGCUUUUAGCAGCUGUGUUGUCAACUAUCGGUGAGAAGCUCUGAACUUCGUUUCGGUCCAUUUCUCGUUUCUAUUCAUGUAAUUUACUGUAACUUUUAUUUUAAAAAGCGGUUAUUUUGAAUUCGAUGCUGGAAACAUGGGGAGAUAGUUGAUAUGGGAUCAUGUUUCUUAAUAUGUGUCAUCAGCUCUUCUCCUACCAACACUCUGUAAACAUUAGUGAGUCCAGGAGACCAGUUUCUGUACUCUGACAGUGAGAUAUUGUCCCAUUCUUGCCUGAUAGAGGAAGACUAGAGUCUCCUUUAUCCUACUUUUUUUGUCUUGAGGUACAAAAUAUUUUUAGUGGGUGUCAAGGUCCUUACACACCGGGGCUGAUGCGAAUAUAGAAUGUGAAAUUACGAAAUAUUCGGCAGAGAAUUUUGACAGGUGCUAGUCCGGCCUCCUUUGCCUCUGAUUGGCAAGGAAAUCUGGAAACGUCAUCACACGCUCAAGCCAAAUGGUCAGCACUUAUAGCAAGUCAGAGGCGAUAAGAUAAGCACAUGAAACUAUGCUAACAACCGUUAGCUUACGGCGACCGGUUGAUUGUUUACGUGUUGGAGAACAGAGUGAUUUUUGAUAAAAGACACAAACAUUACAAAGAUAACACCCGGAGGACAACAUAGUGUCGGAUCUCUCAUAUGACGAUGGUUUGUGCGCUUUAACAGUUUGAUAAACGUCUUUGUUUUAACUUUCAUCUGUGCUAAGUAACUUUAGCUCGUAAGCUAACCUGUUCAGAUACAACAUACCAUAUGUAUUUUCACUGUAAACUCAAACUCAAUCACAGCGUUUCUGUCACAGCACCAUUAGGUCUCAGUUGCGUUGUUCCCGGUGUGUAAGGAACGUAACUGUGAACACGGCGCUCAGAUGUUUUUAAGAGUAAAAUACUUUGUCAUGCGGCGAUUACAACUGGUAUAGCUAACAAUAACUAACAAUGGCUAACAGUAGGCGUCUAUCUUAGUUUUCUGACUUGUUUACUGGAACGCUGUCGACUCGGGUGUAACAUCAUUCCCAGCUUCGACAGCCGACUUCCGAGGUAACAAGAACGCAGCGUGAGACCUACUGGAAAAGAAAGUUAGUAUGAAUGUCAUAGUCUCUUUCCUGGAGAUAAAUGUGUGUGGAUGAUAAAAUGACUUGGACUAAUCUGAAUAUGGUCGUUCUUUUUUGUUAAUAUUUGAUCUAAUCUGUUAUCUUUAGUCUCGUUGGCUUAUCUUUUUAAGCUUCUACCCACAUUGCCAAAACUACAACCAAAUGGUUUGAUAUCCAAAAAGAAUGUAAAAUUUCCAUCUCUCAGACCAUACAACAUUUUUUUUCAAUUCCUCUCAAUCCAUCCUAAAACAAAUGGUUAUUGGGAGUGAUUUUGAACCCAUGCAGUGAUUUCCACUAUAGAGUCAUGUCUGUUUUCAACUUAGUACUGCUUAAGGACUUAAAGAUUACAGCCAUCCACUCUUGUUUUUAUCCCUUUUUGUACAGAGAUUUUCUCUUUUGAUGAUAUGAACCUGCCAUUAAACCUCAAACAUCGAAACUGUCGACAGAAUGUGGAAUCUGCUCUUUCAAAAGGGAGUGAUCUUGAGACAUAUCGAGCUGUUCUGAAAGACCCAUUUUCUUCAAGUUUAUGAGUAUUUUGAACUGUGAUCAGUGGUGAGGUCUGCUUUUCAAGUCCAAGAACUUGAAGUCGUGUCCUCUCUGUGUAACCGCAGCAGGAUUCAUCACUCACUCAGACUUAAAAUUAAAAAUUAUUUGAACCACUAAUUAAUGGCACAGCAGAGCCAGUCUGAAAUGAACUGUCUGGUUUGGAACAUGCCAGCUGUGCAGUUGUUGGUCUCUAAUUGCUGGUUAAUUAAUUAAACAUCCAGCGGAUUAGAGGAAUUAUGGGCAAUUGUCCUUUAACAACUCUUAACAAGGUCUUGAUUAUGGCCUCAGCUGUAUCCUGUGGCUCAAAUGAUCCUUCAAUUAGUGAUGGAAAGCUCUAGAAGAGACACAUUUGAGGAUGAGAUGAUGAAUAUGAGAUGCAAAGGUACUUUUUUUUCCAUUUCGCAGCAGCAAACUUUUUAUUCCUUUUUUUUAACAUUAACACAUUUCCAAUAUGGGAGUAAAAGGGUUUCUACAAGACCUUGUCCAGCUACAGGGUCAUUGGUGUUAGGUUUCAGUUUUUCAACUAAUGAGAAUGUUUUUAUUCAACAGCAGUCCACAGCAAUUUCAAUUUUUAUAAGAUUUAAAAAACACAUUUAUACUAUUAUUCUACUUGGUGCAUUCAACUGAUUACCUCCACAAAGGAGGUUAUGUUUUUGGUUGUGUUGGUUUGUUUGUUUGUUUGUCAGCAACUUUACUUAAAAAGUUACAGACGGAUUGACCUGAAAUUUUCACCAGAGGUGCGUCUCAGCCCCAGGAGGAUCCCAUUAAAUUUUGGUGGUGAUCCGGACAAAAUUCUGGAUACUGUGAUCCAGAACACACAAAAAUAAGGGUGUCGUUGGAAUUUUCAAUGCUGAAAGAUAACCAAUGGAUGGCACAGUGGCGUAGAUAGGCAGUACAGUGGUGUAGAUAGGCAGUACAGUGGUGUAGAUGGGCGGCACAGUGGUGUAGAUAGGCGGCACAGCGGUGUAGAUGGGCGGCACAGUGGUGUAGAUAGGCGGCACAGUGGUGUAGAUAGGCGGUACAGUGGUGUAGUGAUUAGCACUGUCGCCUCACAGCAAGAAGGUCCUGGGUUCCAAUCCAGGUCAGGGCAUUUCUUGUUUUAGGAACAUUAUGAAUAGUGAACAUACCAGUUUAAACACAAAUAAAAGUUAAUAAAAGACACGUAACAGUAAAAGUUUUGGUGUGAAUCACAAUAUAAGGGGGGACAUGAGCUGCUUGGCGGAGGUCUGCGCUCUCCGAGUGCUUUUCUCGUUUUUGUUAUGUUGUAAUUUUGAAGUAAAGCUGCAGUUUGUUCUACAACUUUUUCCUGCAAUUCCAACUUCACUGCACUAUAAUAAACUGGGGUGUUUUUGAGCUCUAAUAGGGCCUCAUACUUCCAGCUGCAUUCAUGUAUAAAACCGGUCGUAUUUCAGGACUCUGACACAUGGUGACGGGAAGAUUUCUCCAGCCUCUGCAGCCCUGUCACAGAGAUAAACGUUGUAGAUUUCCCAUCAUACACACAUGCACGCACACACACAUACACUGGUUGUAUGGAGAUAGGAAGGUGGCUGACAUUUGUGGAGCCCCGGGUGAGGACAUGGCCUUUUCUCCUCAUUUCUCCCGGCCAAUCACCCAGACUGAAAGGGGACGAAGAUAAGGCCUUUUGUUUGGCCUGACAAUGUCCCACUGAUACUGCCGUGGGAGACCAUUCAGUGUGCGAGUCUGUGUGUGUGUGUCUGCGUCUAUAUGUGUGUGUGCAUGCUGGGUCCCGUCCCUUAAAGACAGGGAGCCCCUCAGAGAAGUCAUUACAGGAGCAUUAUUCUCAUCAGAGCUGCCUCCAGACACUAAACUUCUACAUGCCCACGAUCACAGAGCUGAGGACAAGAUGGCGCACAAGAUCAGACUUUAAACUCAAAGUCCUGUGAGGAAUUUAUGAUCCUGUUUUUUGCAUAAGUUAACCACUGCCUAGAAGAAAGAGUUGUCCUUUUAGCUCAAAAGCUUUGAUAUGUUCAUAAAUUCAUAGAAAAUGUUGUCCUACACCCCGAACAAAUCAGAGCUGUUGUCACUUUGGUUUGAUGACAAAAAGGAGCUGGGCUGUGAGCUACUGUUGAGCUGGAGUACAUUUUUCCCCUCUGUGUUGAAACCAUUAUUCUCUUUUUUUACAUUGAGGCUGCCAUGACAGUGACUGACAGCUGACAGCGAGCACACGACUGCUGCAGAGUACGAUUUGCACUGCCUGGUUGCCUUGACGUCUGAACAAUGCGACUCAAAUCUGACAGAAUUCUCCUUCCAAGAUGUUUUAUUUUAUUUCAUGUGCAGUUUUCUGUAUCACUGAAGCAGAAAGAAACGCAGGAAGGGUCAGGUGAAUUUGAACUUAGGGCCACAACCUUAUUGUCUGUGUUAGAAAGAUAAGCCAACUAGACUAAAGAUAACAGAUUAGAUCAAAUAUGAACAAAAAAGAACGACCAUCUUCGGAUUUAUCUCCAGGAAAGAGACUAUGACGUUCAUACUAACUUUCUUUUCCAGUAGGUCUUACGCUGCGUUCUUGUUACCUCAUAAGUCGGGUGUUGAAGCUGGGAAUGACGUUACACCCGAGUUGACGGUGUUCCAGUGAACAAGUCAGAAAACUAAGAUAGACGCCUACUGUUAGCCGUUGUUAGUUAUUGCUAGCUAUACCAGUUGUAAACGGCGCAUGACAUAGUAUUUAACUCUUACAAACACCUAAGCACCGUGUUCACAGUUACGUUCCUUACACACCGGGAACUAAGAAAAUAUAGGACGCGAAAUUAUGAAAUAUUCGGGGCGAAUUUUGACGCGCCUGACUGUACUCAUCAAGCACGAUGUGAUUUUGUGGCUUUCCAGGGGGGAAAAAAUACCCGCGGACAUACAGGGUAUUCUUUACGUUUGUUUUGCCCUUUUGGGGUUAAUUUCAGCCUCUCAAGUGAACCUUGUUUUAUGCAAUUACAUCCACCAGUCAGCCAGCUCACAGACGCGUCUGCUGCGCCCAAUACUUUAAUUGGAGAGCAAUCGUAACGUUAACGUUAGGCGUUUUAAAGUUCGCCAGAAGCCUAAGUUUUGGGACAAACCCGGUCGGACCAGCAAGUGGUGGGACAACUUCGUUAGAGGGGCUGUGCCUGCAGAUGACACUGUCACAUGGACCCGACAAAAUGGCGUAGCUUCCGCAAGCAAUGCAUGACGCAUCACGCUGUUACGAUUCAUCGGCCAAUCAGGUAGCUUUGUUCCUGAAUUUUUUUUAAGCGGCACCAGAUAGGAUUGAGUUUGAACUAACUUGAGUUGAGAACUAACACGUGUGGACAGAUACAUUUAUUUAGACGAGAGGACAAAAAUAUCCUGAUAAAUAGGAUUGGGUAUCGUUUGAUUUUGAACGAUUCCGAUUCCAAUUUCGAUUCCUCAUUUCGAUUCCGAUUCCUAUCGAUUCUCUAAUUUGAUUCUUUUAAAAGGCAGGAUAUCAAAAAGAAAAAAGAAAAAAAAGCAUGGUUUGAAUGAGGGUGCUAACCGGGGCUCUUCUUUUUGGAUGAAAUUUCUGAACUUCUCCAUGAAUUUUUAAAUCCUAUGAACUUUUUAAGAACUUUACUAUGAAUUUCUCACAGAGCUAUUUUCAACCAGUAUAUAAAUAUCAUUUUUUGUUUUCAGGUCGUUUGUCUAUGAAAAAGUACAAGGGCUAACGUUAGGUGGAUAUUUAAGUUUACUCACCGUACACAGUUCAAUUUGUUUACCGCUUCAAAGUUAACAGAAGUAAUUUAUUGUUUCACUUAUCUGAUCCUGACUGGUUAGCGGAAGACAGGUGUUGUGCUGUAGAAUGCACCCCUGCCAUAGAAUGCCUCCCCUCCACUGAUUAGCUUCUUAGUGGAAGAAAUAUGAUCUCAUAUUUAAUAAAACACGGGUAUUAGAUCAUGAAAACGUGUCAAAUGGAGCAGUAAACUUUCGUUUUGUUUGUAUGUGUCUCAAAAAUGCACACAUAAAGGUGUACUUGGGUAUAUAAACUGUACAGUAAGCUGUUAAUGUAGAGAACAUUAUAUUUUCCGGACAGUAAAUAUUCCGAAUCAGAGGGCUAUUGUUUUCGGCAUAUCGGAAUAGCCUGAAUGAAAUCAUUAAAGGCACACGCUUUAGAUUCCGUCCAACGGUAAGAAAAACUUGGAUUGUUUCGCCUCGUUGUGUACUUUCAACCGCGCUCCCGUCAGGGGUGCAUUCUACGACACAACACCGGCGAAGCGCGUCAAAGACGAGCACUCGGGUAUUUCUCCUCCAUGAAUCCUGAGGUGUUUAAUCAUGUUGGUCGUUUACCCUCCUUUGCAUGAUAUAACUGUAUUGCUAAUGUUGCAUUGAGAUAAGAGUUCAUUCUUCCUGCUAAAGUUAGCCAAACUUUUGACCAACGAAGAAGAAGCUGCCGAACACCAACGAGGACGGAGCGUAUGAGACGAAGAGAGGAGAGAGACAGAGAGAGAUUGUAACCCACAGCGGCUGCAUUGCUGUGGGUUGCAAUGUACUUUCUCUCUCUGUCUCUCUCCUCUCUCUGUGUGGCUUCGUCUCAUACGCUCCGUCCUCAUUGGUGUUAAGCGGCUUCUUCUUCGUUGAUUUUCGGCGGCUAUUUCUUCCGGUCGGCGGACUCUGGCAUCGAAACUUGGAAUCGAAAUUUUAAUAUUUGAACGAUACCGGAAGAAUCGAAGUUUUAGUCCCGAUUCCCAUCGAUUCUCGAUUCUCGAUUCCCAACCCUGCUGAUAAAUAAAUAUCUAUAUACGUGUAGUCCAGGCCUGAGUCGGGGCCAGUACCAGAUAAGCACAUUAAACUAUAAUCUAUAAACGUAAGGUAACAACAGAGACCUAAUGGUGCUGUGACAGCAACACGACUGAGUUUGAGACAGUGAAAAUACAUAUGGUAUGUUGUAUCUGAACAGGUUAGCUUACGAGCUUAAGUUACUUAGCACAGAUGAAAGUUAAAACAAAGACGUUUAUCAAACUGUUAAAGCAUCGUCAUAUGAGAAAUCCGACGCUAUGACUCUCCACAAGUUGUCCUUCAGGUCACAUUGAACGGACCUGAAUAGUUUGCUGACCAUGAUAUAACCGUAAUUGUCAUACAGCAUGACUUAAACUCCGUGGAUAAUCUCUCUGUGGGAUAUUUAUCUAGAAAAAGAUGAAAAACACCAGCUGAAGGCUAUACCAGAGCUUCUUGGGCUUCACUAACAUCCCAGCAGAUCUACAGGCUCAUCACCUCCGUUCAAUGUAAAGAAACCUCUUUUGCUGUGUCAAAUUCAGAGCACUAGUAAGUCUAUCUAAAUCAUGCGGAUUCAUCCAGUUUAAGAAGAAAAUGGCGACCAAAGAAAACUCGAUCAACUGAUGCUGAGAAUCAAAAAAGAAAAAAACGAACUUGAAAUCCAGAUCAUGAUCCUGAUCUUGACUAAACCUCUCCAACAUCCGUGCUCUGGACACCAUGUUUGGGAGAUGUCAUCCCAUAUCGUGUGGAUAGCUGGAUAUUAUAUUGUUAGCAGUAAAUGGUGUUAAGAUAGUGUCAGGUGGGAGGGGGAGUGCUCUCAUUUAAGAUGAUAUCUCUCUGGGAAAAAAGGGGCAGCAGCCAAAUGCAGCAGGUUUGAUAAUUUUGUCAAAUUGCCAGCAGCACUUUGAGGCCUCUCUGCAGAACAUCUUAAAGAAGACCUGCUGUAAUAUAUGAAACCAUCUUCAUAAUGUAUCAGGACUGAAUGGCUGCAAUGCCACUUAAGGUAGUGGUGCUGUAAUUGGUGCUCAAAAAAUCUUAAUAGUAUCAUAUAUCCUGAGCUGGGCUUUUAAAAGGAUCUAUUGUGAGGUUUUGCCUUGAUCUCUUACGCUCACACACACGCACGCACGCACACAUAAACACACACACACACACACACACUCACACAGGAUAAUGCAUUCAAGCCAUCAUUUCAUCGUAGAAAUCCCCGGCGUAUCGGGACACCACAUGCUGUAAUGAUCGUCUGUAAAUGGCUCGGUUGGACCGCUAACUUGUGUAAAUAGUGCAGGCUGAGACUAAUGUACUGUCUUGUAAUAGGGGGAAAUUGCGCACCUAUUACAGCUAGACCCUCACAGAGAGGAGGAGGAGGAGGAGGAGAGAGGAAAAGGAGGUGGAAGAAGAGGAGGAGAAGAGAAAUAAGAAAAAAGGGGAAUUAAUGAGGAAGAUGAAAGAAAAUCAGUGGAGGGAGAAAAGAAAAGUUUGAGUGUGUGUGAGGAGACUUUUGAAGCUCAACAGGAGGGCGUUAUUUGUGUUGUGGUAAAAGCUGAAUGAUGAAUGUAAUAUUUUUGUAUUUCUCUGGAUUUGCGCCCAAUAUCAACUUUGGGACAUGGUUGAUAGGAACAGUUUUUAAUUGUUUACAAAUCAUUCAGAGCCUCUUUUGAAUCAAAAAUAAUAAUAAUAAUGCAUCAGAUUUCAUAUAGCGCUUUAUCAGAGACCCUCAAAGCGCUUUACAUUGGAUACAUCAUUCAUUCGCUCACACAGUCACACUUUGGUGGUGGUGGAAACGUGGCUGCCAUUCUGCGCCUACGGCCUCUCCGACCACCACCAUACAACACUCACAAUCAUACACCAGUGGAGGACACACACUGGGAGCAAGGUGGGUUAAGUGUCUUGCUCAAGGACACAACGGACAGACUUGGAUUAGGGGGGAAUCGAACCGCCAACCUUCCGGUCAUUGGACGACAGCUCUACCUCCUGAGCUACUGCCGCCCCACGAAAUAGUGGAGAGACAACAUGUAAACUGUUGAUACCGGACAUGUCAGGACUGCAGUCAGGCUGGUUUAGCAGCGAGACUCUUCUACAACAGAGUUUGUCAUUUUCUUGCUGAAAUAUGAAGGUCCUCUUUGUCUGGAUGGCAGCAGAUGUUGCUCCUAAACCGGUAGUGGAGCCUUCACAGAUGUAGAAGAUACCCAUGACAUGGACUCUGAUGAUCCCCAGACCAUCAGGGAUGCUGGCUUUGAACUGGGAGCUGAUAACAAGCUGGGUGGUCCCUCUCUUCCUGAGAGAGAAGGAGGAUGGGACAUGUGUGAUUUCCAAAAGCAAUGUCAUAUUUUGAUUCAUCAGACCAUAGGACAGUUUUUCACCUCAGUCCAUCUUAAAUGAGCCCAGGUCCAGAGAAGCCUCUGGUGUUUCUGGAUUUUGUUUCCACCUGGUUUCCUCUUUGCAGUUUUCAUCCUGUAUUUGUUUUGAUCGUCUCCCCUUUAACAUUGAGAUUUCUCCAGAUCCUCUGAAUCUAAAUUCACUCAUUCUCUUACAGAGUGGUGAACCUCUUCUCAUCUUUCCUUCUGAAAGACUCAGCCUCUCUGAAUGUCCUUUUUACACCCAGUCAUGGUACUAACCUGUUUUUUUUUUUUUUUAGCAUUACAACUUUGUAUGAACCUGUUGCUGAAUCACAUUUAAAGAAAUAUCAACACCAGUCCCUAAAGGUCCUUACACACCGGGAACGAAGCAAAUAUACAACAUGAAAUUAUGAAAUAUUCUGAGGUGAAUUUUGACACGCUUGACUAUAAAUCAAGCACGAUGCGAUUUUGUGAGAAGACUGAGCCAACAGCAGACGGAGUGUUUUUCAGUUCUGAUUAGACUCUAGUGUUGAGAAGUCUGUCUGUCAUGAUAGCAUGAACUGAGUCGGGGCCAGUACCAGAUAAGAACAUUAAACUAUAAUCCAUAAACGUGAAGUAACAACCGACUGAGUUUGAGACAGUGAAAAUACAUAUGGUAUGUUGUAUCUGAACAGGUUAGCUUACGAGCUAAAGUUACUUAGCACAGAUGAAAGUUAAAACAAAGUCGUUUAUCAAACUGUUAAAGCACACAAACCAUCGUCAUAUGAGAAAUCCAACGCCAUGACUCUCCACAAGUUGUCCUUCAGGUCGUUAUCUUUGUAAUGUUUGUGUCUUUUAUCAAAAAUCACUCUGUUCUCCGACACGUAAACAAUCAGCUGGUCGGUCAUGUUGAAUAUACCGGUGAAUCUGACAUUGCAACAUCACGAAAUCUGAUUGGUCAGAAGUGGACACACAGUAUGUGAAACUGAAGAAAAUUUGACUGUGAUACGAAAAAAUAAAUGCCGCAAUAUCACAGGACGGGAAAAUGUUGCUGACGUGAACGCUUGUAUUAACAGGAUACAGGUUAGAAAAAAAAAUAUUGACAUACGAAAUAAUCGCACGUAAAAAACGCUCCCGGUGUGAAAGGACCUGAAGUAUUAAAAAAUGUCUUUUUUGGGACACUAACUUGUGGUACUCCAGAUGUUUAAGCUGCUUGUUUGUUGCAGUUUGAGCUUAGGUUAGCAUUUGCUCAUUUUCAUUGUUUGCAGUCAUGCAUCUAAAGUCAAAAUCAAGAAACCUUAAGGUUGUAGAUGUGGGUGCUUUUCAAUGCCCUCUCGCUAAUAAUAUGUAAAGAAACCAAAGAAACGUCUGCUAAUUGAAGGUGUUGUGAUAAAAUAUGAAUGAAAGCUCUGAUAACAGGCUUACAGCCGUUAAUGAAACAGAUGAAAACAGAGUGUCAUUCAUGGUGUUUGAGUUCAUGUGAAUCACACUGAAGUGAAGUAUGAGGCUUUUUAAAUCUGCCUUUUAAAUCGGGGUUUGUUUGCAGACAGAAACCCCUCUCUUAUAGGUGUUUUGUCACGUUGUUGUUGUUUAAGGGAAUUAAUUGAAACUCUGCAGAGCCGGCUCUAAUACACGCUCAUUUCCUUUAGCUACUGUUAAGCGUAAAUUGGCAAACCUCUGCAUAAUGUGUUUGUGUGAAUAGACAGUUUAGAUCGUUGUUUGUUGGAAAUAUUUGUUUGCUCAGUUAUUGUGUUCAUGCAGACGAAUAUGAAGCCUGUCUCUUUAUGCUGCUUCAUUUCUUCUUAGUUGUUUGCUAUUAUGAUAACAAGGAUCCAUUUGAUGUCAGCAGGCCUUUUAUCUUCAAAUGAGCCAUUUAAAUGUCAUUACUCUGUGUGUAUUUUUGUGUGUGUAUGCGCGUGAUCAUUCCUCUUACACGGCCCAUUCAUGUCUCGUCAUUUCUUCUACAAGGAGAAAUUACCAGCAUUCACUCGGAUUCUGCAGCAGCUACUAUUUUCACUUUUUAUUGUUCAGUGGCAUAAAUUUGAGCUUUUGUGCGUCUCUGUCCUCACUUGUUUACUGUUCAAAUAUCAGGCCAAAAUGACGACACAAAGAUUAUUAGAGUCAUUAACAUGGUAAACAUUUGUUUUGUCCUUUUUUUUCAAUUAAAAAUUAUCCAUUUAGCAUUGACCAACAUUAAUGAUGUUUGUGAUAAAAAACCUUUUUAUACCUCUUGGAUCGACACAUUGACAGUAAUCAGAAAUAUAAUUCCCUUCAGGGAGGAGGUGUUCACCAAAGCCUGAAGCUGACUUGAGUGAAGGUCUUUACACACCGGGGCCAACGCGAAUAUAAAAUGCGAAAUUAGGAAAUAUUAAGAGGUGAAUUUUGCAUCCCGGGGAAGACUUUUCCCGGGGAAAGUCCCGCCUCCUUCACCUCAGAUUGGCUAGAAAAGCUGGAAACAUCAUCACACGUUCAAGCCAAAUGGUCAACACUUACAGCCAAUCAGAGGUGAUACGAUAAGCACAUGAAACUAUGGUAACAACCGUUAGCUGACAUUGGUACAGAUGAAAGUUAAAACAAAGACGUUUAGCAAACUGUUAAAGCGCACAAACCAUCGACAUAUGAGAAAUCCGACGCUAUGUUGUCCUUCAGGUCGUUAUCUUUGUAAUGUUUGUGUCUUUUAUCAAAAAUCACUCUGUUCUCCGACACGUAAACAAUCAGCUGGUCGGCCAUGUUGGAUAUACCAGUGAAUCUGACGUCGCAACAACACGCAAUCUGAUUGUGAACGCUUGUAUUGACAGGAUACGGGUUUGAAAAAAGAUAUUGACGUCCGAAAGACUUCGAUGUACAAAAACUAAAAGUUAAGUUACUCUUUAAUAACUAUUGCAGCAGUCACACUCACACUCUUUAAGUCACGUUUUCCUGAGUCAUUGGACCAUUUUUUUCGACAUCUUUAAAAGUGCAUGAACUUGAUUUGUUGAUCUACAUCUCAUGCCACCUCUGUCUAUUUCCUGGAGUGGCAGAUAAGCCAUAGGGCAGCUCUCCCAGUGCUCUAUGGGUAAUUUAGGACAUCCCAUCUGGCAGGUUGAGUUGACAGGGCCUCUGUCUCUGCAGCAGUUCUCUGUAAUUUGCUUGUUUUCUUCUCUGCCAUAGAGCUGACAGACUGCAGGAGUAUUCCUCUCUCUCUCUCUCUAACUCUUUCUCUUGCUCGCUCGCCCUUUUUCUAAGUGUGCUCUCUCUCCUUUUGUUGUCAUUGUGUUAUUCAGCUCAGCUCUGUGGCCUCUGAGUCAAGAAGAAAAACACAGGCUGCAGGCAGCAUAGAAAUCAACCCUACUCUGUCAAAGUGAAGAAAUCUAACACAGCGAUGAAAACACAGUCCUCCAGCAAACACCCGGGGCCUGUUCUACCAAGCAGGAUUACUGCUUAGCGAGGUAACUUGAAGGGUAGGUUAGGGGUUUCCUGCUCUUCUUAGCGAAGUGAGUCUCCAUGGCAACGUACGCUGAACGGCUAACCUGCUCCGGGGCAGGUUAAGUUCCAGAUUGAACUCACAGAGUAUAAAAACCCCACCCACUGACCAAUGAGCUCUCUCGAAAAAUGGCUUGUCCGUUCUUGGAGGAUCCUACAGAUUUCGGUGCUCGUAUUGUCCGAGGAGCACUCCGGCGCGUGAGAGUUUUCAGGGACUGCACGGACGCACUUCCUUUUCCGGAUGACCACCUUUAUGAAAGAGAAAAUUCUGGAUACUGUGAUCCAGAACACACAAAAAUAAGGGUGUCGUUGGAAUUUUCAAUGCUGAAAGAUAACCAAUGGGCGGCACAGUGGUGUAGUGGUUAGCACUGUCGCCUCACAGCAAGAAGGUCCUGGGUUUGAAUCCGGGUCAGGGCAUUUCUUGUUUUAGGAACAUUAUGAACAGUGAACAUACCAGUUUAAACACAAAUAAAAGUUCAUUAAAGACACGUAACAGUAAAAGUUUUGGUGUGAAUCACAAUAUAAGGGGGGACAUGAGCUGCUUGGUGGAGGUCUGCGCUCUCCGAGUGCUUUUCUAGUAUUAACAAUGUUUCUGUCAAACACAAAGAUAUACAAUCUAAACCUAAAACUGACAAUGACCAGGGCAAAAUAGGUUAAAAUCCUUAAAAUUAGCCACACCAUUCAUGCAUUUUGGUGUUAUUGUACGAGUUGCUUUUACACCUAAUUCACUCUUUUAAUGCUGAUGCAUCUCCAGUUUUCUAGAAAUCUUGCAGCAGCACUUAAAUGAUAGGUUAUGCCAUUUUAUGUAAUAUAUGUACGACAAACUCACACCCAAGACAUAAACAGAGUUUAGGAAAAGCUUUUAUCCUUUUAUAAAGUGGUAAAUUCCCUCGUUUCAUGUUGUGGUUUUAAAUCUUCUUGCAGCGUUUUGUGAACAGAACGAUCCGACUGUGAUGAAUUUACGAGAAAAAGGAGUGUUGGACAUAAGCUUUAAGUGCGUGCGCACUGUACAGUGUGUGUGUGUGCAUGUGUGUCAAAAGAACUUUGACAAACAGCUCCCCUGUUUACCAUGGCGACGCCGCGGCCUGUGUUCUCCUGUCUCUACAGCAACCAAGGUCCUGGGCUCUCUGAUUGGCUGAGCUGUUGAACUCACAGUGAGAGACAAAAGAGAAGGACCCGGCUCUGCUAAUUUCUUAUCACCGAAUCCCAUUAGGCUCAGGGCUUUUUUUCAUUAACACACACAAAAGUAAAGUGGAAAUCACCGUAUUCAGCCGGCUCAGCCCCCACUGAGAGCCUGGCCAGACCCCCCACAAACAUCACCCUGCUGGGAUUAAUACCAGAGGAAGAAAGUGACAAAAUACAAGCCUCAUUACCACAAAAAUACUUAUACCUUUCUGACAAAAUACAUGGAACAAAUGAGACUUUAAUGGGUAGAAGUGAUAAACACCAUUUAAAUCAGUGAUACAUGUAGGUUUUUAAGAGUCAUGUUAUCAAAACAUAUCCAAAUACUGAGUUCACCAAUCGUAAUAUAUUAUAUGCUGUCAUAUGUACAUCCAAUUAUGAUCACCUUUGGCUUUGAGGAAAGAACAAAUAAAAGGUACCGUGAUUAAAUGUAGAUACAAAAUAAAACCAAAAGCCUCGUUUUGUUUGCCAAAUCAAGGCUUCCAAUUUAUACAGCAAUUACCUUGAAUAACAGACAUUCCUUGCUAACCUAGCUAGCAUCAGAGAAUAACUUGUUGCUGGCAAAGCCUUCCCUUUUCUCCAACCUCAUCCUUUCAGGAUUUCUAGCUCCAAAUUUAAAGAUGGUGACAGCCAAAGAAACAAAUAUAAGGAAUACAUGUUUUUUUCGCUUGUAUUUCUGAGUGUGGAAGGUGGAAUGUACAGGGUAAGUUUCCACUGAAAAAAGGGCUUCUGCUGUCCCAGGUGUCUCUUUAACAUCUCUCUGCAAACCCUUAUCUUCCUUCCCUCGAUCUCUUCUCUACCUAACAUGUCUUUCCAAAGCAGAGCAGGGGGAGGUAAAGCAUACAGCCAAGGAGGUUAUGUUUUCGGUAGCGUUGGUUUGUUUGUUUGUCUGUUAGCAACUUUUCGGGGAAAGUUACAGACAGAUUGACCUGAAAUUUCCCCCAAAAGUUCGUCUCAGCCCCAGGAGGAUCCCAUUACAUUUUGGUGGUGAUCCGAACAAAAUUCUGGAUACUGUGAUCCAGAACACACAAAAAUAAGGGUGUCGUUGGAAUUUUCAAUGCUGAAAGAUAACCAAUGGGCGGCACAGUGGUGUAGAUAGGCGGCACAGUGGUGUAGUGGUUAGCACUGUCGCCUCACAGCAAGAAGGUCCUGGGUUUGAAUCCGGGUCAGGGCAUUUCUUGUUUUAGGAACAUUUUGAACAAAUAAAAGUUAAUAAAAGACACGUAACAGUAAAAGUUUUGCUGUGAAUCACAAUAUAAGGGGGGACAUGAGCUGCUUGGCGGAGGUCUGCGCUCUCCGAGUGCUUUUCUGGUUAAGGAUACCCAUUAGCUGAAGCCAUAGCAAUCAACUAGUCUUCCUGGUUUCUUCAUAACACGAGCAAGUGCAAACCGUGUACAAAAUACAAUAUCACGAUAAAAAUUAUACAAUCAAUAUUCAAAAAGGUUAAAAACCAGAAACUCAAUCUGGCAAACAAAAUACAGUAAAAAACAUCCACAGAGAGAGAGACAGACAAAAAAAAAACCACAUACAUACAUAAACAAAGCAUAAACAAAAAACACAUCACAGAUUCAAAUAUUGUUUGAUGAAUUAUCAAGACCCAACCUAAGAUGGGAUUUGGCCCAUCUCAUCGAACAUGAGUCUAACACAGUAUGUGAAAAUUCAACCGUGAUACGAAAAAAUAAAUGCCGCAAUAUCGCAGGACGGAAAAACGUCACUGAUGUGAAUGCUUGUAUUGACAGGAUAGGGGUCCUGUGUGUAAGGACCUUAACCCAAAAGGUGUGAUUUUAGACAAACAGACUUCACGUCCUCGCUCUGCCUUUCCUGUCUUCUCUAGAACAUCUCUCUAAAGACACUUGACUGUUUCCUCUCUUUGCAUCAAGUGCGGGACGUGGGGGUAGCAGAGUGUACAACCUAACAUCACGGGGGUGAGGUGUAGCUUAUGCCGGUAAAACACUUUCUAUUGAACUCCACAUACAGAGAAUUUCACAGUAAUACAGAGUAAACUGAUGAAUACCUUCAGAGUCUUUUUGACACUUCGACCUGUUCAGUCUUUAUGUCAGCUCUACGCUCUCCAUCUUUCACCUGUCACCAUUCCUCUACUGCUCCUGACAGGAGGUGGUGGUUACACAUAUAUGCUCCUGUGUGUGUGUGUGUGUGUGUGUGUGUGUGUGUGUGAUAACGGCCUGUAUGAAGCCGGAUUGACAGACAAAGGCCUAAUCGCUCCUCGGCUCCGGCAGCCAAACAGCUCAGAGGAAGUAUUGACCCAAAAGCACCAUAAUCCCCUUCACCUAACGCGGGCAAUUUCAUGUAAUACCUGUAAUAACACGCGUUUAGCUCCAAGUAGUCGUCAAAAGAGCGCCGAGCAUCUGAUUUUAAGAGGUGAGCGCUUUGAAUAAAAGAGACCUGAAGAGUGUAUCAAUCUGUAAUAACAACAUCACGGCCCUGGACUGGCUUUUCUUUUCAAAAUCUCCUCGUCUCUCCCUCUUUGUGUCUAAAUGUGCAGCUCCGGUGACAUCCAGACUUGUUUUAAAGAAACAUAUGGAGGCUCAGAUGGUAAAGAAAAGCCAUGUCAAGCACAGGUUCUCAUUUUCCUUUAGUUCACAUGUGGAUAUCUGACAUUUGAAAUGCCUGAAGGUUGAGGUUAGAUACUGUUUGUGCCUCACUUGUCAGUUUUAUGCUCUCUGCUGUCAGUAGGGGUUUUGUACCAGUGUUGCGAAAAUCGUGGAAACAGCAGAGGCACGGAGGCUGGGAUUUCCUCAGAAGUUGACAGAAAGAAAGGAUCGUUAACACUCGAGAGUUUUUUAACCAAAGAUGAAGUAAAAUUUUGGGUAACGUGCACAAUUUACGCCGUCUUAUACUACCCUCAGACCAGGACUCUUCUACUACAGAGUCAUGCUGUUGUAAUCCCUGUUGUCAGAAUGUGGUUUGUCAUAGUCUCGCAGAAAAAGUCCCUGAAAAAGUCAUUGUCUGGAUCUCAACAGAUGUUGCUCCUAAAUCUGUAGAUAUGCAGCAUUUUUGUCCCAUUGCCAAAAUUUUCAAAAUAAGUUGCUGGAACUGAUUUUAGAAUGAGAAUAUAUGUUUCUGGGAACGCCCUAAAUUAACAGUUUUCUGGGGAAGUAUCCACAGAUCACUACGCUCAGUGUUUAAUACUCAAAUACCCCCUGAUUUCGCUACCUUGUUUCUAGGAAGGGUUGAAUGCCUGAGCCAGUUGAGAGAUACAAAACUAAUAUCUGAUGAUCCCGUGCCAGUCCUCCGCCCAAGCUGGGAGACUGGCACGGGAUAGUCUUGGAGAUCUUUAGAAUGGAAAAGCUCACAUACCAGAUAAGAAAACAGGAGGAUAAAUUUUAUCAAAUUUGGAACAAAUGGAUAACGCAUAUCGCCCCUCUAAGUGCAGAUUUCAUAUGAUCCCGCUGGCUCCCCUGCUCUAAUGUAGAGUGCUUUUACAGAAAAUCUGAGUUUCUCUUUUUUUUUUUUUUUUUUUUUUUCUUGUUACCCUCACUCAGCACAUUUGUAAAUAUUUUCGUUUGGUGGUUUCUUAUUUAAAUUUUUUUUUUAAAUGUAUUUAUUUAUUUUUAGUUUAUUUAUUUAUUUUUGGUGCUGUUUUUUUUUUUUAAUUUAUGUAUUUUUCAUUUAUUUAUUUAUUUUAGGUUCUGUUUUAUUUAUUUAUUUUUCAUUUAUUUAUUUAUUUAUUUUUGGUGCUGUUUUUUAUUUUUUUUUUAUUUUUUUAUUUUUUCAUUUAUUUUUUUUAUUUUAGGUUCUUGGUUGCACAGUGGAAGUCAGGAUGUUGAUCUUCCUCCCAAGAAUAUGCCCUCGACGGGGGAAAGGUUAAGGACACUGACUAUAAUGGACAUGGGGAAGGACGCAAUCUACCCAAGAUGUUGGUUAAAAACAACAUGGAAUAUCGUUUCUGUUGAUGUUGUUUCUCUUUAAUAAAGAAAUAAUUAUAAAAAAAAAGAGAAUAAAGCUGUGAAAUUGCUCAUUUUCAAUGACUAAUAUGCUGUUUUGCACCUUUUUCAUUUAAAUUAAGAUUUCAAAUGAUUUGCAAUCCAUCAAAUUCUGCUGUUAUCAACAUUUAACACAACUCAACGUCUUAUUUUGAAUGGUGUUCUUCAAAUUUCUGCUGUUUUGGGGGUUUUUAUGCACAAGAAGUAAGAAACUCUUCAAAUGUUUUCUUUGAAUAGUUUAGAUUCUCAUUUCUGAUGCAACCCUGGAAAGCCUGGAGAAUUCACAUGCAGGCUUUCUGACACAUUAGCCAGCAUCUUUCUGGCUUCAGCUGCAGAAAUUUAACCGGAGCCUGAAUAUGCGUUGCAUCAUUCUCAUCCCCGAGUUUAAAUCGACCCUGUUUUUUUUUUUUUUGCACCAUGCAUUAAAUUUCUCCCCCUAUUUAUAGGAGACAAAUUUCUUUGGCAGUGGAUAAAACUUUCAACGGUAAUGAUUCAUCAGAGCUGGAGCCCGCAUACUUUCAGGCUGUGUGUUUUGCUGCUGCACACUGAGUGUGUAUAAUGUGAGGCUUAGCCAGGAGGAGAAGUGGUGCAGAUGAUGGAGCAGGUGGUAUUUUCUGUUUGUGCUGGCCUACAAAUACAAAAAAAUGACAGGACAGAUGGAGUAACAAUCAUUCAGAGCAGGUUUAAAAUAUUACUGCCACACUGUUAAGUCCGAUAAAUGAGAAGUUUAAUCAGAAACCUUAUCAGUGACAUCGCCUCGAUCAUAGCAGUCUGCGUUUACACUCUUAAACACACCUUUUUUAAGGCGGAUUUGUUCCAUGUGUCUGAUAUAAAUCAACCUGCUCGUCCUCACAAUAAAACACACACUGCACUCACACACCCUUCCUGCGUGUGUGUGUGUGAGAGUCAGAUAGUAAGAGGCCUCUAUCAUCAAUCUGCAUAUUAGCGCUGGACCGUCCCUUUAAUUUCCUACAGCGGACGAUAACCAUCACGUCGUCUCUGCCUCUCACAGACUCAGACUUUAUAAGUGUGUGUGCGGCUCUGUUUGUGUGUGAAGAGGUUGUUGGCUCACGCAUGUAUUGAUCUGCUAUUGAUUUAGGUUUAAGUGAAAUGAUGUGUGAGAUAUUAAAAGCAUCGACGAGGGAGCGGAGAGGACAAACAAGCCGUCUGAGGAGAUCAGAAACAUCAUUCAAUCAUUUAAAAUCAUUACUCGACCAAAACAAACAUUAUCUCUACAUUAUUAGCUCCCACAGGUGAUUGACUGUGUGUGUGUGUGUGUGUGUGUGUGUGUGUGUGUGUGUGUGUUUUUCAAUGUUAGUGUUUGCUCUGCGUGUCACUCAGGUGCACCCGUCAGCUCCAGAGCAAUGAUUGUUUCACCUUAAUUAACUCUGUGAGGUCCAGGUAUGUGGCCUCGCUGCAGCCUGCGUGAAUGUGCGUGAGUGUGUGUGUGUGUGUGAGUGUGUGUGUGUUUGCAUUCAGUUGUAGCACAUUGCUAGCAAGAGACGAAUGCUAAUCUCCGUCGUGCCAUUAUUCCCAGAGACCUUGGGUGAGACGAGGAGAUGGAGGUAGAUAACGAGGGGAGAAAGAGACGAUGCAGGGAGGAAGGUUAUGAAUGAAGCUUUUGUGAGUGUGUGUGUGUGUGAGGAGAAAGAGUGUGUGUGCAUUAGUGGUAGAAAAGAAAGGUAAAGCAAAUUAGAAGUAUGAGAGGAAGAAGCAAAGAGGGGCGUUACAUGUGGUUUGCAUUGUGCGUCUUCAUUUCUUCAAGGCCAGAGAGAGACAAAGAUGUUUCUGUCUUCAGAAUGUAUACUGAGUGCAAAACAAGGUUACGGUGAGGUGAUAUGAAGGUUUAGCUGAGCCACAAGUCCGUUUAGGAGGAGGGAAGAGUUGGCGAAGGCGAUUGUAUCAUCGUCAAAAAGCAGGUUUGCUGCGUAAGAUGUUAAUAAAAACUGAAUUUGAUGGUUUGCAAGUCAUUGAAAGCCGACAUUUUUAAUCGGGAAUAGAUCUAUGACGACUACUGUCCCAUGGCCUUACGAUACUACGCCACAGACUUGUUAUCAGCUCAGAGUUCAAAGACAGAAUCUGGGGGAUCAUAUUGGGACAGGAUGGAUCUGCAGUAGAAGAGUCCUGCUGCUAAUCUGCCCUGACUUGUCGACCAUUAAAAACAGCUUUAAAUGUGGUGCGAAUCAUCAAAGUUGGUUUUAACCGAUAAUCUACACACACCCCAGCUAAAAAACAUAAAUGACACGAGGGAAGAAUAUGUCUGGAUUCUGGAGUCCACCCUUUGUUAAUGACACCUCCAUCUCAACGCCAGUAAGACAAAAGAGAUGGUUGUGGAUUUCUGCAGGAGGAGGACACCUCAGACUGUUCCAGUGAACAUCCAGGGUCUGGACAUCGAGAUGGUGGAGUCUUACAGGUUCCUGGGUGUCCACCUCAACAAUAAACUGGACUGGUCAACCAACACAGACGUCCUGUACAAGUAAGGGCCAAAGUCGUCUCCACCUGCUGAGGAGACUGAGGUCUUUUGGAGUGUGCAGGACUCUGCUCAGGACUUUCUAUGACUCUGUGGUAGCAUCUGCACUUUUCUAUGCAGUGGUCUGAAGGCCAGUUCUGUCCUGGACUGUUCUUUGGACUCCCUGGAGGUGGUGGGUGAGAGGAGGAUGUUUACAAAGCUUGUAUCCAUCAUGGACAAUCCCUCUCGCCGACUGCACCAGACUGUGGGGGCUUUAAGCAGCUCCUUCAGCAGCAGACUGAGACUUCCACCUUCCUACCGCAGAUCAUUCUUGCGGAAGAAGAAUUUUAGAGGUAAAAUGAAAAAUUCAUAUUUUGGUCUGAAAAAAAACCCCGACAUAGUAUACUAUGACGAAAGUUUCAGAUUUUAGGCUGAAAAAAAAAUUCAGAUUUUAAGAUGAAAAAACAUGCCAUAGUAUUGUCUGAUCACAUUGCCAUAGAAUAGGAUGUUAAAAAUGUAAUAUUUUAUAUGUUUUAUAUGUUAUAUUUUAUAAGUUCUUAAUAUUAGGAUCUUUAUUUUUAUAACUGCAUUUUUGCACUUUCUUUGUCUGUGAUGCUGCUGUGACAAAAUUUCCCCCAUGGGGGAUCAAUAAAGGAAUAUUCUAUUCUUCUAUUCUAUUCUAUAAAAAGUCUGUUUUCCGUUUUUAAACCCAUAAAUAAAUAAAAACCUCCCUCUGUUCAAAGCUGUAGGCAGAGUAAAGGGAAGAAAAGAGUCAUGUCUCUCUUCAACGACCUCAUCUUUUAUCUAUUUCAUUCUUUUGAGCUUUAUUUUCUUUUCAUUCAUGAAAAAAUUUUAUAUCCCUUAAAGAAAGCUGCAUGAGUUUUCAACAGAUCAAACGGAAAACCUCUGUCUGUGUUCUUUGUUUUCCUUUCGCCUCGAUUUUUCUCACAUUUCUUGAAAAAUUUUUUAAAAAAUUCAGGUGCUCCCCUUUUCUUUGUUGUAGUCCAGUGUGAAUUCUAGUAACCCAAAUCUUCUGGUAUUUUCCUGUUUUCCAGGUCAGAGAUGAUCAUGGUGUCUGCGCUGAAGUUGACACAAAUACCUCAGAAAAAAUCCAGUCCUGUGCCUGAUGUGAACCCUGUAUCUGAAGGUAAGAGAUGCCAGAGAUUUUUCAUGAAAUGAACCCUCUGAGUUUGUCCUAAUAAGCGCUCUCAUUGUCCGUCUUUGUCGCUUUAUAAAAGUGAAAUUUCAAGAUCUGCUCUAAGUCAUAAAUGUGAAAGACAUUACAUCCUUCUGUGGUCAAGCUCUGCUUAGAUUCUCGCUCUAUCAAAAGUUCUUUCUUUUCCUUCCAUAUACGCUUAUACUGUGGACAAGUGUGUAUGAGUGUGUGUCUUUCAAUGAGAUAAACACUUGAGCUGCAGAUUCAGCGCAGAAAGGAAAUCUAUAAUGUUUAAUACCAAGGUCAGAGUCAUUGUUUCUCCCUCUCUGCCUGCUCGCUCCAGCACAAUACGACUACUUUCUCCUCCUCGGUGAAGAAAAGUUUCCAAUCAAACACUGCAGCUGGAGGUGAAGAGUCAGUCCCUCCAUCUGCAGCUCAAAUCAGCGGCUAAUAACUCAACGUCCUUUCACUGAGAGAUUCUUUAGUGGUGGUUGGAUGUGGGAGAAAUUUCUGCACGUUUUGUUUGACUGAAAGCUAAAACUUCUUCUAUAGUGAGUUUGAACUUUGGAAACACAGACACAGAAAACUAUGCCUUGAAGGACGGGGUCGGUGAUAUUUGUAUUUUUGUUUCAAAAAUUCCAAUUAAAGAACCAAAACUAACAAUAAAUUUAGCUGACAUGUUGCUCAGUGCCACAGACCUCAGGUUUUAUUCAAAACAGUUUAUUCUCAGUUUUCUAAGGCCCCAACGACACGAAUGUGGAUAUAUUUCAAACCGCACAUAUUUAUGUCGGAUUAGGCCUCCCUACCACACCAAAACGGGAGUUUGGAACACUCAAACCGGAUAAAUCUGAAUCUGAAAAAACAGGUGGAGAAAUUUUUUUUAAGUGGCACUAGAUAGGAUUGAGUUUGAAGCCUACGUGUGGACGCAGAUAUUUUUGAGAACUAACACGUGUGGACAGAUACAUUUAUUUAGACGGGAGUACAAAAAUAAGUUUGCCUUCUCCAGCUGCCUAAUAUGGUAAAAGCUAGAUUUCACUACGGAGCUAGAUUGCCUGUCGAAUUUAAAAUCACUGUCCAUCUUAAAACCCAAAUUUGAGACGGUUGGCUUUAAAUAGUCUGCUAAAAUACCCCAGUCUACAAUCAGCUGAUUGGCCAUGUUGGAUAUACCGGUGAAUCUGACGUCGCAACAACACGAAAUCUGAUCGGUCAGAAGUGGGAACAUAGUACACAAAUUCGGCCGUGAUACGAAAAAAAUAAAUGCCGCAAUAUCGCAGGACAGGAGAACAUCGCUGAUGUGAACGCUUGUAUUAACAGGAUACGGGUUCGAAAAAAUAUAUUGACGUCCGAAAUAAUCACAAUAAAAAAACGUUCCUGGUGUGAAAGGACUUUUAGACUCACCUGGAUCAAACGGACAUAAGUUACACGACGAUCUUUUUUUUUUUUUUGAGGGUUCAUCUCACUGAAGUACGCCAGAGUGCAGCUUUCUGAUAACUGUUUACAGAGAAACUGAGACUCAGAUGAACAGGCGCCCCUUUUUGGGAUGUUAUGUACAGAAUCAGAAAUGAUUCUGAUUCUCUUCUGACCCCCUAAUACAAUACUCCUUGCUGUACUUUGUUGUAGUACUCAUCAGCUGGAGUUACUCCACCUCUACUGCUGUAUUUUUUCCCAUUUCAUGAAUCAGUCAUGUUUGAUUUCAACACCUUGUAUUAGGAGUUGCCCAUUUGUCUUCCACAAGGCCCAGUAUCUUUCAUUUGUCUCUUUUGUGUUCCAUUUUCCACCUGAUAGAGUCAGAGAGAGCUGAGUUUAGUCCCCUCGGCCCCCCUCCUCACCCCUUCCUCCCCCUGUUGUCCUCCUGUCAUGCUCCUGAUCCCUCCAUCGCUGUCAUGUCACAGCUUUUAUCCCGUCACCCUGAGAGCGCGCGCCUCCUUAUUGUCCUGCUGCUCUCUGCUCUGAUUAGGGUCAGGGGGUCAACCGGGGACUCAUCAUUAGCUGAGAGCGUGCACGUGCAUACAUGUGCAGGUGAACAUGUGUGCACGACAUAAUAAGGUGCUUCAGUGAUCGAGAAAGAGGGGAAAUUUGCAGAGAGGGAACAAAGACUUUGAAGAACAAAUGAAGAAAGUGUGUGAGGAAUUCAGUUUUGUACAUUUAUCAGAUUAUUCGAGGUUUUUUUGCUUAAAUACAGAAAAAAAACGAGUCAUUUCAGCUUGAAAUCUUUGACGUGUGCCUGAGAUAUGAGCGACAAAAUCAAAAGAAAUAAAGAAAUUCCUUCUUCUAAGUUUGCAAAUGAAUGUUAAGCAGAAAAAAAAUGUUAAUAAAUAAAAAUCCUGGUGAGAUUGUAAAUCAGUGAUGCCAAGUCAUGUAGGACUUUAUAUACAGUCAAUGGUGGGUCCUUCUUUUUACAGAUUUUUAACCUGAAUUUAAAAAGUUUCUGUCACUUGGUGAGGGGUGUCUCGUCCUGGUUUUUCUGUCUUGUCAUUUUCAUGUUUUAUUUUGAAAAAUAACUCUCCUCUCGUUUCAGGUCACUUGCCCUUCCUCUCGUGUCUCCGGUCUGACGUCUCCCCUGAUUCCUGGUUGUUUCCACCUGUUCCCCAUUAACCCCAUGUGUCUUAUAGUCGGCGUCUCCCUUUGUCCUGUACCAGUGUCUCGUUUAUUCGUGUUCCUCCAGCCUUCAUGUCCACCGCCGUGCCCGAUAACCAUGUUUGUAUUUUGGAUAAUCCUUGAUUCCUCUUUAGAAGAGUGAUUUUCUGUUGUAGUUUUUCCUCUUUAGUUUCUAGUCUUGGUUUGUUUUGUUUCUGUGUUUUGUCUGUUUGCCAUCAGUAGAGAUAUAGAAGGUUUUCAUAGCAAAAUAAAGCGUUUGUUGAUCUUUGAACCUCUGCGUCUGAGUCCUCCCUUAAGCCCAGGCCUGACAGUUUCUAACUUUGUGUCAGGUUUAUUUGAAUAUGUUGCUGUAUGUGAUCAUUUCAGAUGCUCGGGCUGCUGUAAAACUCAAAUGCUGCAGACAGAGGGUCUUUUCACCAAAAAUAUAAAACACUGAGAAACAACAACACAUUUUGCGGUGGCUGCAUGUGUCUGCAUAUGGCAGCCGCGGUGGCAAAUGUGGAGUUUCUUCCCUUGCUCCUGGAUGAGCCGUCUUCACUGUUGAUGGUCAAUGAUGAGGUGACUUUUUUUCAUUUUAAUAAACCACAACAUGAUUAGAAUAACUUUAAACCCAUGCUCUAUAAGGUGUGCUACUGUGUGUUUCAGACAUUCAGUGGAAACACAGCCCUGCACAUCAUCAGCUCUUUGAGGAGCCUCGACACAAAAAGGAGCUGACCCCGGGACAAGGGAGUGUCCUGCCGUCCCAAAUAAUAAUGCAUCAGAUUUCAUAUAGCGCUUUAUCACAGACCCUCAAAGCGCUUUACAUUGGAUACAUCAUUCAUUCGCUCACACAGUCACACUUUGGUGGUGGUAAGCUACCUUAAUAGUCACAGCUGCCCUUGGGGGGCGGAAACGUGGCUGCCAUUUUGUGCCUACGGCCUCUCCGACCACCACCACACAACACUCACAAUCAUACACCAGUGGAGGACACACACUGGGAGCAAGGUGGGUUAAGUGUCUUGACCAAGGACACAAUGGGAUAGGGAUAGGGGGGAAUCGAACCGCCAACCUUCCAGUUAUUGAACGACCGCUCUACCGCCUGAGCUACUGCCGCCCAGAUGGACCUGUAGGUGAAAUCGUAUGGUGUGUAUAUAUGUCAAUAAUACUGCAGUCAACUCCUUUUUCCCCCUGGGAUAUUUGUUCACAGUGAUAGUCUGGAUUGACUCUUUUUUUCAGGUGCAGAGGAUCCUUAAAGGGAAGUACUGCCGAGCUUAAAUCAAGUUCAGAAACGCUGUCAGUCAGACAUUCAUACUAUAAUUCUGUUUCCUCAGUCAGUUUUCUUAUCCUCUGAGUAAAGGGAAAAUGUCUAGAAUGUCCAGUGUCUAGAAUGGAGAGUGAAAGAGGAAACAAACACAGUACUCCUGUGUCUCCACAUAGCUCAGUGGGUAAGGAGACUGACUAGGACUCCCAAGGUCGUGGGUUCAAGCCAAGUCCAGGUCCAGGUGAAAUUUUAAAGUCUUGUGUGUAAAAAGAAGAGGGAAAUAGGAAACAAACAGUGUUCUCUCAUGUGUCCACAUAGCUCAGAGGAUAAGAAGACAGGCUGGCACUCCUAAGGUUGGGGCUUCAAGCCUUAUCAGGGGCAAAGUGAAUUUUAAAGUCUUGUGUCUAAAAAGUAGAGUGAAAGAGGAAAAAAAUGCUAAACUGCUCACUGUCCACAUGGCUCAGAGGGUAAGAAGACAGACUAGGGCUCCUGAGGUUGCCGGUUCAAGCCCUUAUCAGGGCUGAGGUGAAUUUUAAAGUCUAGUGUCUACAGAGGAUACUCAAAUAGGAAAAAAACGCAAAGCACCUGUAUGUCUGUGUGGCGCAGAGGAUAAGGAUGCUGGCCUUGCACUCAGAAAGUCGUGGGUUCAAACCUUAUCCCUGACAAGUUUAAAAGUCCAGGAGCCAAAGUACCAGGAUAAAAGGGCGCGACGUUCUACUCAAUUGGUAUCCCGUGGCACAGGGGGUAUGCAACUGACACCCAAAUACCAAAUGCUGGUCAGGCGGGCAGCCCUAGUUCAAUACCCACGCGGCACGCAGGAGAUCCUGAAGCAAAUCCUGGGGAACCAGGCCCUGGGGGGCGGUGUUUCCUGAGAGCUAAAACAGGGGGGUUAUGAAGCAUGUGAACUUUUGAAGAAACCACGUCAUAAUAUUUUAGCGGGAAAAUGAAAAAUUCAUAUUUUGGUCCAAAAAAAAACGACAUAGUAUAUGUCGAAAAUUUCAGAUUUUAGAGUGAAAAUAAAAUUCUGUUUUUGGGAUGAAAAAACAUGCCAUAGUAUUGUCUGAUCAAAUUGCCAUUGAAUAGGAUGUUAAAAAUGUAAUAUUUUAGCGGGAAAAUGAAAAAUUCAUAUUUUGGUCCGAAAUAAAAAACGACAUAGUAUACUAUGUCAAAAAUUUCAGAUUUUAGAGUGAAAAUAAAAUUGUGUUUUUGGGAUGAAAAAACAUGCCAUAGUAUUGUCUGAUCAAAUUGCCAUAGAAUAGGAUGUUAAAAAUGUAAUAUUUUAGCGGGAAAAUGAAAAAUUCAUAUUUUGGUCCGAAAUAAAAAACGACAUAGUAUACUAUGUCAAAAAUUUCAGAUUUUAGAGUGAAAAUAAAAUUCAGAUUUUAGGAUGACAAAACAUGCCAUAGUAUUGUCUGAUAAAAUUGCCAUAGAAUAGGAUGUUAAAAAUGUAAUAUUUUAGCGGGAAAAUAAAAAAUUCAUAUUUUGGUCGGAAAAAAAACGACAAGGUAUACUAUGUCGAAAAUUUCGGAUUUUAGAGUGAAAAAAAAAUUCAGAUUUUAGGAUGACAAAACAUGCCAUAGUAUUGUCUGAUCAAAUUGCCAUAGAAUAGGAUGUUAAAAAUGUAAUAUUUUAGCGGGAAAAUGAAAGAUUCAUAUUUUGGUCCGAAAAAAAAACGACAUAGUAUACUAUGUCGAAAAUUUUAGAUUUUAGGCUGAAAAAAAAAAAUUCAGAUUUUAGGCUGAAAAAAAAAUUCAGAUUUUAGGAUGAAAAAACAUGCCAUAGUAUUGUCUGAUCAAAUUGCCAUGGAAUAGGAUGUUAAAAAUGUAAUUUUUCAGUGGGAAAAUGAAAAAUUCAUAUUUUGGUCCGAAAAAAAACAACAUAGUAUACUAUGUCGAAAAUUUCAGAUUUUAGAGUGAAAAUAAAAUUCAGAUUUUAGGAUGAAAAAAAAUGCCAUAGUAUUGUCUGAUCAAAUUGCCAUAGAAUAGGAUGUUAAACAUGUAAUAUUUUAGCGGGAAAAUAAAAAAUUCAUAUUUUGGUCCGAAAAAAAAACGACAUAGUACACUAUGUCGAAAAUUUCAGAUUUUAGAGUGAAAAUAAAAUUCAGUUUUUGGGAUGAAAAAACAUGCCAUAGUAUUGUCUGAUCAAAUUGCUAUAGAAUAGGAUGUAAAAAAAGCUAUAUUUUAGAGAGAAAAUGAAAGAAUCAUAUUUUGGUGCAAUAAAAAAAAAAAAAGACAUAGUAUACUAUGACCAAGAUUUCAGAUAUUUAGGCUGAAAAAAAAAUUCAGAUUUUAGGAUGGAAAAACAUGUCAGAGUUUUGUCUGAUCAAAUUGCCAUAGAAUAGGAUGUUAAAAAUGUAAUAUUUUAGCGGGAAAAUGAAAAAUUCAUAUUUUGGUCCCAAAUAAAAAACGACAUAGUAUACUAUGUCGAAAAUUUCCGAUUUUAGGCAGAAAAAAAAUUCAGAUUUUAGGAUGAAAAAACAUGCCAUAGUAUUGUCUGAUCAAAUUGCCAUAGAAUAGGAUGUUAAAAAUGUAAUAUUUCAGCGGGAAAAUGAAAAAUUCAUAUUUUGGUCCGAAAUAAAAAACGACAUAGUAUACUAUGUCGAAAAUUUCAGAUUUUAGAGUGAAAAUAAAAUUCUGUUUUUGGGAUGAAAAAACAUGCCAUAGUAUUGUCUGAUCAAAUUGCUAUAUAAUAGGAUGCUAAAAAUGUAAUAUUUUAGCGUCAAAAUGAAAAAUUCAUAUUUUGGUACAAAAAAAACAACAUAGUGUACUAUGUCGAAAAUUUCAGAUUUUAGAGUGAAAAUAAAAUUCAGAUUUUAGGAUGAAAAAACAUGCCAUAGUGUUGUCUGAUCAAAUUGCCAUAGAAUAGGAUGUUAAAAAUGUAAUAUUAUAGCGGGAAAAUGAAAAAUUCAUAUUUUGGUCCGAAAAAAAAACGACAUAGUAUACUAUGUCGAAAAUUUCAGAUUUUAGAGUGAAAAUAAAAUUCUGAUUUUGGGAUGAAAAAACAUGUCAGAAUUUUGUCUGAUCAAAUUGCCAUAGAAUAGGAUGUUAAAAAUGUAAUAUUUUAGCGGGAAAAUGAAAAAUUCAUAUUUUGGUCCGAAAAAAAAACGACAUAGUAUACUAUGUCGAAAAUUUCAAAUUUUAGAAUGAAAAUAAAAUUCUGUUUUUGGGAUGAAAAAACAUGCCAUAGUAUUGUCUGAUCAAAUUGCCAUAUAAUAGGAUGCUAUAAAUGUAAUAUUCUAGCGGGAAAAUGAAAAAUUCAUAUUUUGGUACGAAAAAAAACAACAUAGUGUACUAUGUCGAAAAUUUCAGAUUUUAGAGUGAAAAUAAAAUUCAGAUUUUAGGAUGACAAAACAUGCCAUAGUAUUGUCUGAUCAAAUUGCCAUAAAAUAGGAUGUUAAAAAUGUAAUAUUUUAGCGGGAAAAUGAAAGAUUCAUAUUUUGGUCCGAAAAAAAACGACAUAGUAUACUUUGUCGAAAAUUUUAGAUUUUAGGCUGAAAAAAAAAAAUUCAGAUUUUAGGCUGAAAAAAUAAUUCAGAUUUUAGGAUGAAAAAACAUGCCAUAGUAUUGUCUGAUCAAAUUGCCAUAGAAUAGGAUGUUAAAAAUGUUAUAUUUUAGCGGGAAAAUGAAAAAUUCAUAUUUUGGUCCGAAAAAUAAACGACAUAGUAUACUAUGUCGAAAAUUUCGGAUUUUAGAGUGAAAAUAAAAUUCAGAUUUAAGGAUGACAAAACAUGUCAUAGUAUUGUCUGAUCAAAUUGCCAUAGAAUAGGAUGUUAAAAAUGUAAUAUUUUAGCGGGAAAAUGAAAAAUUCAUAUUUUGGUCCGAAAAAAAACGACAUAGUAUACUAUGUCGAAAAUUUCGGAUUUUAGAGUGAAAAUAAAAUUCAGAUUUUAGGAUGAAAAAACAUGCCAUAGUAUUGUCUGAUCAAAUUGCCAUAGAAUAGGAUGUUAAAAAUGUAAUAUUUUAGCGGGAAAGAUGAAAAAUUCAUAUUUUGGUCCGAAAAAAAAACGACAUAGUAUACUAUGUCGAAAAUUUCAGAUUUUAGGCUGAAAAAAGAAUUCAGAUUUUAGGAUGAAAAAACAUGCCAUAGUAUUGUCUGAUCAAAUUGCCAUAGAAUAGGAUGUUAAAAAUGUAAUAUUUUAGCGGGAAAAUGAAAAAUUCAUAUUUUGGUCCGAAAAAAAAAAAUAGUAUACUAUGUCGAAAAUUUCAGAUUUUAGAGUGAAAAUAAAAUUCAGAUUUUAGGAUGAAAAAACAUGCCAUAGUAUUGUCUGAUCAAAUUGCCAUAGAAUAGGAUGUUAAAAAUGUAAUAUUUUAGCGGGAAAAUGAAAAAUUCAUAUUUUGGUCCGAAAAAAAACGACAUAGUAUACUAUGUCGAAAAUUUCAGAUUUUAGAGUGAAAAUAAAAUUCAGAUUUUAGGAUGAAAAAACAUGUCAUAGUAUUGUCUGAUCAAAUUGCCAUAGAAUAGGAUGUUAAAAAUGUAAUAUUUUAGCGGGAAAAUGAAAAAUUCAUAUUUUGGUCCGAAAUAAAAAACGACAUAGUAUACUAUGUCGAAAAUUUCAGAUUUUAGGCUGAAAAAAGAAUUCAGAUUUUAGGAUGAAAAAACAUGCCAUAGUAUUGUCUGAUCAAAUUGCCAUAGAAUAGGAUGUUAAAAAUGUAAUAUUUUAGCAGGAAAAUGAAAAAUUCAUAUUUUGGUUCGAAAAAAAAAAACGACAUAGUAUACUAUGUCGAAAAUUUCAGAUUUUAGGCUGAAAAAAAAAUUCAGAUUUUAGGAUGAAAAAACAUGCCAUAGUACUGUCUGAUCAAAUUGCCAUAGAAUAGGAUGUUGAAAAUGUAAUAUUUUAGCGGGAAAAUAAAAAAUUCAUAUUUUGGUCGGAAAAAAAACGACAUAGUAUACUAUGUCGAAAAUUUCAGAUUUUAGGCUGAAAAUAAAAUUCAGAUUUUAGGAUGAAAAAACAUGCCAUAGUAUUGUCUGAUCAAAUUGCCAUAGAAUAGGAUGUUAAAAAUGUAAUAUUUUAGCGGGAAAAAUGAAAAAUUCAUAUUUUGGUCCGAAAUAAAAAACGACAUAGUAUACUAUGUCGAAAAUUUCAGAUUUUAGGCUGAAAAAAUAAUUCAGAUUUUAGGAUGAAAAAACAUGCCAUAGUAUUGUCUGAUCAAAUUGCCAUAGAAUAGGAUGUUAAAAAUGUAAUAUUUUAGCGGGAAAAUGAAAAAUUCAUAUUUUGUUCCGAAAUAAAAAACGACAUAGUAUACUAUAUCGAAAAUUUCAGAUUUUAGGCUGAAAAAAGAAUUCAGAUUUUAGGAUGAAAAAACAUGCCAUAGUAUUGUCUGAUCAAAUUGCCAUAGAAUAGGAUGCUAAAAAUGUAAUAUUUUAGUGGGAAAAUGAAAAAUUCAUAUUUUGGUACGAAAAAAAACAUCAUAGUAUACUAUGUCGAAAAUUUCAGAUUUUAGGCUGAAAAAAUAAUUCAGAUUUUAGGAUGAAAAAACAUGCCAUAGUAUUGUCUGAUCAAAUUGCCAUAGAAUAGGAUGCUAAAAAUGUAAUAUUUUAGUGGGAAAAUGAAAAAUUCAUAUUUUGGUACGAAAAAAAACAUCAUAGUAUACUAUGUCGAAAAUUUCAGAUUUUAGGCUGAAAAAAAAAUUCAGAUUUUAGGAUGAAAAAACAUGCCAUAGUAUUGUCUGAUCAAAUUGCCAUAGAAUAGGAUGUUAAAAAUGUAAUAUUUUAGCGGGAAAAUGAAAAAUUCAUAUUUUGGUCCAAAAAAAACGACAUGGUAUACUAUGUCGAAAAUUUCAGAUUUUAGGCUGAAAAAAAAAUUCAGAUUUUAGGAUGAAAAAACAUGCCAUAGUAUUGUCUGAUCAAAUUGCUAUAGAAUAGGAUGUUAAAAAUGUAAUAUUUUACCGGGAAAAUAAAAAAUUCAUAUUUUGAUCGGAAAAAAAACGACAUAGUAUACUAUGUGGAAAAUUUCAGAUUUUAGGCUGAAAAAAGAAGUCAGAUUUUAGGAUGAAAAAACAUGCCAUAGUAUUGUCUGAUCAAAUUGCCAUAGAAUCGGAUUUUAAAAAUGUAAUAUUUUAGCGGGAAAAUAAAAAAUUCAUAUUUUGGUCCGAAAAAAAAACCCCACAUGGUAUACUAUGUCGAAAAUUUCGGAUUUUAGAGUGAAAAUAAAAUUCAGAUUUUAGGAUGAAAAAACAUGUCAUAGUAUUGUCUGAUCAAAUUGCCAUAGAAUAGGAUGUUAAAAAUGUAAUAUUUUAGCGGGAAAAUGAAAAAUUCAUAUUUUGGUCCGAAAAAAAACGACAUAGUAUACUAUGUCGAAAAUUUCAGAUUUUAUAGUGAAAAUAAAAUUCAGAUUUUAGGAUGAAAAAACAUGCCAUAGUAUUGUCUGAUCAAAUUGCCAUAGAAUAGGAUGUUAAAAAUGUAAUAUUUUAGCGGGAAAAAUGAAAAAUUCAUAUUUUGGUCCGAAAAAAAAACCCCACAUGGUAUACUAUGUCGAAAAUUUCGGAUUUUAGAGUGAAAAUAAAAUUCAGAUUUUAGGAUGAAAAAACAUGUCAUAGUAUUGUCUGAUCAAAUUGCCAUAGAAUAGGAUGUUAAAAAUGUAAUAUUUUAGCGGGAAAAUGAAAAAUUCAUAUUUUGGUCCGAAAAAAAACGACAUAGUAUACUAUGUCGAAAAUUUCAGAUUUUAGGCUGAAAAAAUAAUUCAGAUUUUAGGAUGAAAAAACAUGCCAUAGUAUUGUCUGAUCAAAUUGCCAUAGAAUAGGAUGUUAAAAAUGUAAUAUUUUAGCGGGAAAAUGAAAAAUUCAUAUUUUGGUCCGAAAAAAAAACGACAUAGUAUACUAUGUCGAAAAUUCAGAUCUAAGGCUGAAAAAAUAAUUCAGAUUUUAGGAUGAAAAAACAUGCCAUAGUAUUGUCUGAUCAAAUUGCCAUAGAAUAGGAUGUUAAAAAUGUAAUAUUUUAGCGGGAAAAUGAAAAAUUCAUAUUUUGGUACGAAAAAAACGACAUAGUAUACUAUGUCGAAAAUUUCGUAUUUUAGAGUGAAAAUAAAAUUCAGAUUUUAGGAUGACAAAACAUGUCAUAGUAUUGUCUGAUCAAAUUGCCAUAGAAUAGGAUGUUAAAAAUGUAAUAUUUUAGCGGGAAAAUGAAAAAUUCAUAUUUUGGUCCGAAAAAAAAACGACAUAGUAUACUAGGUCGAAAAUUUCAGAUUUUAGGCUGAAAAAAGAAUUCAGAUUUUAGGAUGAAAAAACAUGCCAUAGUAUUGUCUGAUCAAAUUGCCAUAGAAUCGGAUUUUAAAAAUGUAAUAUUUUAGCGGGAAAAUAAAAAAUUCAUAUUUUGGUCCGAAAAAAAAACCCACAUAGUAUACUAUGUCGAAAAUUUCGGAUUUUAGAGUGAAAAUAAAAUUCAGAUUUUAGGAUGAAAAAACAUGUCAUAGUAUUGUCUGAUCAAAUUGCCAUAGAUUAGGAUGUUAAAAAUGUAAUAUUUUAGCGGGAAAAAUGAAAAAUUCAUAUUUUGGUCCGAAAUAAAAAACGACAUAGUAUACUAUGUCGAAAAUUUCAGAUUUUAGGCUGAAAAAAAAAUUCAGAUUUUAGGAUGAAAAAACAUGCCAUAGUAUUGUCUGAUCAAAUUGCCAUAGAAUAGGAUGUUAAAAAUGUAAUAUUUUAGCGGGAAAAUGAAAAAUUCAUAUUUUGGUACGAAAAAAAAAACGACAUAGUAUACUAUGUCGAAAAGUUCAGAUUUUAGGCUGAAAAAAAAAUUCAGAUUUUAGGAUGAAAAAACAUGCCAUAGUAUUGUCUGAUCAAAUUGCCAUAGAAUAGGAUGUUAAAAAUGUAAUAUUUUAGCGGGAAAAUGAAAAAUUCAUAUUUUGGUCCGAAAAAAAAAAACGACAUAGUAUACUAUGUCGAAAAUUUCAGAUUUUAGAGUGAAAAUAAAAUUCAGAUUUUAGGAUGAAAAAACGUGCCAUAGUAUUGUCUGAUCAAAUUGCCAUAGAAUAGGAUGUUAAAAAUGUAAUAUUUUAGCGGCAAAAUAAAAAAUUCAUAUUUUGGUCGGAAAAAAAACGACAUGGUAUACUAUGUCGAAAAUUUCGGAUUUUAGAGUGAAAAUAAAAUUCAGAUUUUAGGAAGACAAAACAUGCCAUAGUAUUGUCUGAUCAAAUUGUCAUAGAAUAGGAUGUUAAAAAUGUAAUAUUUUAGCGGGAAAAUGAAAAAUUCAUAUUUUGGUCCGAAAUAAAAAACGACAUAGUAUACUAUGUCCAAAAUUUCAGAUUUUAGGCUGAAAAAAGAAUUCAGAUUUUAGGAUGAAAAAACAUGCCAUAGUAUUGUCUGAUCAAAUUGCCAUAGAAUAGGAUGCUAAAAAUGUAAUAUUUUAGUGGGAAAAUGAAAAAUUCAUAUUUUGGUCCGAAAAAAAAAAACGACAUGGUAUACUAUGUCGAAAAUUUCAGAUUUUAGAGUGAAAAUAAAAUUCAGAUUUUAGGAUGAAAAAACGUGCCAUAGUAUUGUCUGAUCAAAUUGCCAUAGAAUAGGAUGUUAAAAAUGUAAUAUUUUAGCGGCAAAAUAAAAAAUUCAUAUUUUGGUCGGAAAAAAAACGACAUGGUAUACUAUGUCGAAAAUUUCGGAUUUUAGAGUGAAAAUAAAAUUCAGAUUUUAGGAAGACAAAACAUGCCAUAGUAUUGUCUGAUCAAAUUGCCAUAGAACAGGAUGUUAAAAAUGUAAUAUUUUAGCGGGAAAAUGAAAAAUUCAUAUUUUGGUCCGAAAAAAAACGACAUAGUAUACUAUGUCGAAAAUUUCAGAUUUUAGAGUGAAAAUAAAAUUCAGAUUUUAGGAUGACAAAACAUGUCAUAGUAUUGUCUGAUCAAAUUGCCAUAGAAUAGGAUGUUAAAAAUGUAAUAUUUUAGCGGGAAAAUGAAAAAUUCAUAUUUUGGUCCGAAAUAAAAAACGACAUAGUAUACUAUGUCGAAAAUUUCUGAUUUUAGGCUGAAAAUAAAAUUCAGAUUUUAGGAUGAAAAAACAUGCCAUAGUAUUGUCUGAUCAAAUUGCCAUAGAAUAGGAUGUUAAAAAUGUAAUAUUUUAGCGGGAAAAUGAAAAAUUCAUAUUUUGGUUCGAAAAAAAAAAACGACAUAGUAUACUAUGUCGAAAAUUUCAGAUUUUAGAGUGAAAAUAAAAUUCAGAUUUUAGGAUGAAAAAACAUGCCAUAGUAUUGUCUGAUCAAAUUGCCAUAGAAUAGGAUGCUAAAAAUGUAAUAUUUUAGCGGGAAAAUGAAAAAUUCAUAUUUUGGUCCGAAAAAAAACGACAUAGUAUACUAUGUUGAAAAUUUCAGAUUUUAGGCUGAAAAAAUAAUUCAGAUUUUAGGAUGAAAAAACAUGCCAUAGUAUUGUCUGAUCAAAUUGCCAUAGAAUAGGAUGUUAAAAAUGUAAUAUUUUAGCGGGAAAAUGAAAAAUUCAUAUUUUGGUCCGAAAAAAAAACGACAUAGUAUACUAUGUCGAAAAUUUCAGAUUUUAGGCUGAAAAAAGAAUUCAGAUCUUAGGAUGAAAAAACAUGCCAUAGUAUUGUCUGAUCAAAUUGCCAUAGAAUAGGAUGUUAAAAAUGUAAUAUUUUAGCGGGAAAAUGAAAAAUUCAUAUUUCCGUCCGGAAAAAAAAAAACAAAAUAGUAUACUAUGUCGAAAAUUUCAGAUUUUAGAGUGAAAAUAAAAUUCUGAUUUUAGGAUGAAAAAACAUGCCAUAGUAUUGUCUGAUCAAAUUGCCAUAGAAUAGGAUGUUAAAAAUGUAAUAUUUUAGCGGGAAAAUGAAAAAUUCAUAUAACCCCCCUGUUUUACCUCUCAGGAAACACCUGUGUCAAUAUCACUGUCGGCCCAUUCAUCUCCUGCGUGCUUUGUGGGUAUUGAACUAGGGCUGCACGCCUGACCAGCAUUUGGUAUUUGGGUGUCAGUUGCAUACCCCCUGUGCCACGGGAUACCUUCUGCACUUUGGGACGAACGUCGCGCCCUUUUAUCCUGGUACUUUGGCUCCUGGACUUUAAAAACUUGUCAGGGAUAAGGUUUGAACCCAUGACUUUCUGAGUGCAAGGCCAGCGUCCUUAUCCUCUGCGCCACACAAACAUACAGGUGCUUUGUGUUUUUUUCCUAUUUGAGUAUCCUCUGUAGACACUAGACUUUAAAAUUCACCUCAGCCCUGAUAAGGGCUUGAACCGGCAACCUCAGGAGCCCUAGUCUGUCUUCUUACCCUCUGAGCCAUGUGGACAGUGAGCAGUUUAGCAUUUUUUUCCUCUUUCACUCUACUUUUUAGACACAAGACUUUAAAAUUCACUUUGCCCCUGAUAAGGCUUGAACCCCCAACCUUAGGAGUGCCAGCCUGUCUUCUUUUCCUCUGAGCUAUGUGGACACAUUAGAGAACACUGUUUGUUUCCUAUUUAUAUCUUCUUUUUACACACAAGACUUGGGACCUGGACCUGGCCCUGGCUUGAACCCACGACCUUAGGAGUGCCAGUCAGUCUCCUUACCCACUGAGCUAUGUGGAGACACAGGAGUAUUUUGUUUGUUUCCUCUUUCACGCUCCAUUCUAGACACUCGACUUAAAAUUUUCCCUGUACUCAGAGGAUAAGAAAACUGACUGAGGAAUAAAGAACAAAGAAUGUGAUUUCUGAGCAUCGACCGCAUGUACACAAAGUAAAUAAUCAAUUGUAAAAUAUUUGCACCACUACAAUAACAAAAGCAAUGAAUGUAUUAAGUCAUGUAAAUAAAACUCUUUCUCUCUUGUUUAUGCACUUCUCAAACUUGUUAAUAUUUUCCGACAAAACAGGCCAGGUGUCAUGACUUUAAAAAAAAAUGUAGGAUCCAACAAGAGACACUUAGUUAAGUCCAUUUAAAACAUGGUUUUUAUUAGAGAUGUCAAAAAGUGAAAGUAAACCCACAUAAUCAUUAGUACUUUUAAAAUCGAACCCCUGAUAUCAUGCUUCGAGUCACCUUAAUCUGCUCUCAGAAACAUAAUCCAGAUUAAAAUAACUUUCAAACACUUUCAAGAAAGAGAGAAAGUUUAAUUCGGUUCAAACUUUACUCCUGUCUCACCAGAUUUCCACCUCAUGACCUUAGAUCUCCAUCUUUACAGAAACAUGUAGCUGUUGUUCUGAAUCUAAAUCAGUUUUCUAGAGGUCUUAUUUUCCUGAUGAGCAGCAGAAUCAACGGCAGAAGUCUGACAGAUGCAGAUUUGAGAUUUGUUUGGGAUUUUCCUGAGCCGAGUUGCUCUACCAGGCCUUUCUCUUUGUGCCGCUCUCUCUGCUGACCCGUCGCUCUCCGUCUCUCUCGUGGUUUAUCUGCGUCCGCCGGACAAAAGGCCGCCACAGGAAACUGCUGAUGCUGUUCUGGUCGAUGCAAACAAACAGCGUCCAGAUCCGUCCACCGGCUGAGUGCUCAGUCCUCUCGUCUCUGCUCCAAUUUGACUCUUUUCUGUCUGAAAUAUUCAAAAUAAAACACUCAGGAGUGUGUGGAGGCUCCUGCAGUGUGCACUUUUGUGUGUGUUUGGUUGUAACAAGAGCUGCUUGGUGUGUGCUGCCACUGUCACUACGCCUGUUUGUUUAGGUGUGUGCGUGUUUGCAUACAUGUGUACAGCGUGUGUGUUUGGAUGCUGCUAUUUGUUCAGCUUGGCCUCUUUUCUCAAGGCUGCCUCAUCGCUGCCAGGAGAGGAGGAUAAUAGAGCUCAGUGUGUGUGUGUGUGUGUGUAUGUGUGUGUGUGUGUCUCAGGGAAUAGAAUCCAGAGUAAACACACAUGUCCGUCUCUCCCCCAGGUGGAGUUCGUUGAAUGAAUGGGCCGACAGUGAUAUUGACAAGCUAACCACAGCUCAUGAGAAUGUCUGUGCAUGUGUGAGUGUGUGCAUGUGUGAGUGUGAGUGUGAGUGUAUGUUUUGCUCUAUAACAAUGACAGAAGUAGGAGAGGUUUGAGCUAAGUGACCUUUUUUUUAAUCAGAUGAGAGGAAACUAGGGACUCACAUUAGAGUUAUUAAAGCAAAUCCUGAUUUAAACGUCGGUAAAUUUUAGAUUGAGCUGCUGAGUUUAACCGUAAGUGAUCUGGAUAACCUCUGAGUUCUCUACUGAAUAGUUACCUCUGCCAAGGAGGUUAUGUUUUCAGUAGCGUUGGUUUGUUUGUUUGUCUGUUAGCAACUUUACGGAGAAAGUUACAGACGGAUUGACCUGAAAUUUUCACCAUCAUUUAUCAUUGUGAGAUAGGGCAAAUUUUUGAGUUUUUGCAUUUAACUCUAUAAAAAUGUCCAGAGUCUUUAGUAAAAAAUGACACAAAAGGAUCUCAAUGAGUUUUAUGAGGUCAAAGGUUGAUCCUGAUCCAGACAAAAUUCUGGAUACUGUGAUCCAGAACACACAAAAAUAAGGGUGUCGUUGGAAUUUUCAAUGCUGAAAGAUAACCAAUAGGCGGCACAGUGGUGUAGAUGGGCGGUACAGUGGUGUAGUAGUUAGCACUGUCGCCUCACAGCAAGAGGGUCCUGGGUUUGAAUCAGGGUCAGGGCAUUUCUUGUUUUAGGAACAUUAUGAACAGUGAACAUACCAGUUUAAACACAAAUAAACGUUAAUAAAAGACACUUAACAGUAAAAGUUUUGCUGUGAAUCACAAUAGGGCUCCGUCCUUCCCUCUCCCCCAACACCGCCUCCAUCCUCGUCCACAGUCUCGUCACCUCCCGUCUGGACUACUGCAACUCCCUCCUCUUCGGUCUCCCUCACACGUCUCUCUAUAAACUUCAACUGGUCCACAACUCUGCUGCCCGGAUCAUCACCAAAACCCCUUUGCCCCACCACAUCUCCCCCAUCCUGCAGCAGCUCCACUGGCUCCCGGUCCCACUAAGAAUCCAGUUCAAAAUCCUCCUGUAUACCUUUAAAGCCAUCCGCAGCCUCGCCCCUCCUUACCUGUCUGACCUCCUCCACAUCGCCACUCCAUCACGCCGCCUCCGAUCCUCUUCCUCUCUCCACCUCACUGUGCCCCCUGUUCACCUCAGUCCAAACUCAAGACACACCUGUUUAAACUGGCCUAUCCAUCCCACCACCCCUAACUCACUCUUUUUAUUUAUUUUAAUUGGUAUUAUUUAUUUCUUCAUUUAUUCCUUUGCUGUUGUUUAUGUUGCUUUGUUGAUUUUAACUGUUUUGAUGAUUGAUGACUUUAAUUGUUAGUAGUGUUUUAUUAUUGUUUUAUAUGUUCUGUAAAGUGUCCUUGAGUGACGUGAAAGGCGCUUCAAAUAAAAUGUAUGAUUAUUAUUAUUAUAAUUAUUAGUAUUAUUAUUAUCAUCAUCAUGAUUAUAAUAAUUAUUAUUAUUAUUAUUAUUAUCAUGAUUAUUAUUAUUAUUAUUAUUAUUAUUAUUAUUAUCAUCAUUAUCAUUAUUAUUAUCACGAUUAUUACUAUUAUUAUUAUCAUUAUUAUCAUUAUUAUCAUUAUUAUUAUUAUUAUUAAUUAUUAUUAUUAUCAUUAUCAUGAUUAUUAUUAUUAUUAUUAUUAUUAUUAUUAUUAUUAUCAUUAUUAUCAUGAUUAUUAUUAUUAUUAUCAUCAUCAUGAUUAUUAUUAUUAUUAUUAUCAUUAUUAUCAUGAUUAUUAUUAUUAUUAUCAUCAUCAUGAUUAUUAUUAUUAUUAUUAUCAUCAUGAUAAUUAUUAUUAUUAUCAUGAUUAUUAUUAUUAUCAUUAUCAUUAUCAUUAUCAUUAUCAUAACCAGUGAUCACUGGUGGUGGAUUUCCCUCUGUGGAUGUCCCAUCAUCAACAUUGAACAGCGUGAACAGGGACAGGACUGUCCCGUCACGUGACGCGUCGAGCUGCUGUGAUAACGUCUCUGUAAAAAGACAGAGAUAAAGAGCCUUUUCUCUGCUCCACAUGCCAGCCAGCUCCCAGCGGCCUCUUUGUUGACACAGUCGCCACAAUGGGAGCUAAAGGCCUCCCAUUAUGAGGCUAACCCCAGGCCCGGCCGCUGUGCUGCAGGGUUAUCCAGUACAGGCCGGCCAGCAUUGGCCAAAGCCCCCUUGAAUAUUAGGCUGGAUAUAUAAGACUGCCCCCCUGCCCCCUGCUGCAUUGUUCAGCCUUAUUCUGCUCCCACAAUGGGACAUCACAGUUUGGAAGUAAUUUUCAAAAAGGGGAAGCCAAUCAAAAAUAAUGGCACUUAUUGUUUCUCUUUUGACACACAUUGCUGAGCGGCCUGCCCCUCCCUCUGCCGCAGCUUUCUCUGCCUGUGUCGCCCUAAACCCCGGGGUGCAUUCAUGUCCAUUAUACGGACAAAUUAAAUAAAACCCCGAAUGGGUCGGAGGGGAGCAGAGAGCCACACUGGCCGUCGUCUGCAGCGGUGUUAGGGUUAGGAGAGUUGGAGUCCGGGGAAAGGCUGGGGAGGGAAGAGGAAAGAGUGAAUUUAAGGGUAAAACUACAGAAAAGGAUUCAAAGAGAGUCAGGAGGGAAACAACUCUGAUGGAGGGGGUUGUGCAAGCAGUCUUGUUGCAGGAGGUCUUCUCUAAUUGGAUUCUUGGAGUACUGAAAAAUGUAGACCUGAUGUCGCAGCUCAUUAGCGGCAUUUAGCUUCUUGAUGGGAUAAAACAUACAUCUUGGGGAUCAUAACUGCAGAAGCAACAGAUCCUCUUUCAUCCUGGACUGUCUCAUAAACGUGCGGAUGUAUACUCUGUCACCUUGUUUGUUGGCUGUUCCUCUCCUUGGAUUGCUUGAGGCCUGCUCAAAGAGAGAAAGGUAUGUUACCGUUUACCAAAGAGGGAGGGUCUUCUCCUGGCAGGUGGUUGAGGCUCAUUGGCUCGCAGGAAUCAGCCAGAAUGUUUCACAUUUAACCGUAAAACUGGCCUCUUCUGAGUGUAGAAAAAUCAAAUUUACUUUUGCAUGGAGAAAUAAAAAAAAAAACGCUCACCAAGUCAUUCAAGAGUCGGUUAAAAACGAGAGAAGUGCAUCCAGGUCCAACCAAAGACAUGUCUGUGUAAUGGAGCUCUGUGGAUGAAGAAGUCAGGAGUGGAACAGGAAAAAAAAGAAAAAACAUCUUCAGUUUGAUAUUUUUUUAAAGGCAGGAGCUCCUGAGUACGACUGGUCUCACUGUUGGUCGUCUUAGUCUGAUAGAGUGGGGAUUCAUGCAUUGAUGUACGAUAAAAUAAACACGGCUGCAGAGAGAAUAAGUUUGCUGAUUAUACGGUUAAUAUCAUGAUUUUGAUGGUGAAACCAGACGUGUUUCAUUCAGAGCUGACUCAGUUAUUAUGAAAGUUAUCAAUCUCUAAAAGGUCAAAUUAACUGUGACGAAGAAACACAGUCUGGUGUUGCAGAAAUAAUGAGCAGGAGUGAUCUGAAACAGUUCGAGGAGACCUGCUCAUCAAUGAAAUGUUCACUUUCAUGUGAAAAUAGUAAAUAAGCAGGCUUCAAAUGUUCACGUCUUGUCCUGGUGUUUCCUGUGGUGUCCACUCCAUCAGGCUUCACCGUGGAUUCAGUGGAUUUUAGUCACUAAUUUUGAGCCCUGGGCCUGUUGCUGUAUUGUUUAUUUUUGUUUUUGGCCAAAGGAUAAUUCAGGAUUAUUAAGGUAAAAAAAUAAAUAAAACUUGCAUGCUUGAUAAGAUUUGGUGGGAUGGGUCUGAUUUGAGAGCUCUCAUGUGGAAGGGAGGGGUGGAGGCUGAGAGAGCAGCAGCAAAGUGUCGGCAGGCCAAAGCAGACAUUUGCCAAUUGGAUUUAGACCAACAAUCACUUAAUUCUUAGGCCCGGACUACACGUAUAUAGAUAUUUAUUUAUCCGGAUAUUUUUGUACUCCCGUCUAAAUAAAUGUAUCUGUCCACACGUGUUAGUUCUCAAAAAUAUCUGCGUCCACAAGUAGCCUUCAAACUCAAUCCUAUCUGGUGCCGCUUAAAAAAAAAUCAGGAACAAAGCUAACUGAUUGGCCGAUGAAUCGUAACAGCGUGAUGCGUCAUGCAUUGUUUGUGGAAGCUACGCUAGUGCGUCGGGUCCAUGUGACGGUGUGGCGGCUUUGACCCAAAACUUAGGCUUCUGGCGAACUUUAAAACGCCUAACGUUAACGUUACGAUUGAUCUCCAAUAAAAGUAUUGGGCGCAGCAGACGCCUCUGUGAGCUGGCUGACUGGUGGAUGUAAUUGUAUAAACCAAGGUUCACUUGAGAGGCUGAAAUUAGCCCCAAAAGGGCAAAACAAACGUAAAGAAUACCCUGUGUGUCCGCCAUCGUUGUUGUUGUUUUUCUUUUUAAUUCACAAGCUGCGGUUUGACGUCAUCGAUCCCUAAAAGUUCAACCACAUGAAUCCACUUAUACGGAUAUUUUUUUAUUUCUCCACUUGUUUUUCCGGAUUCAGAUUUAUCCGGUUUGAGUGUUCCAAACUCCCGUUUUGGUGUGGUAGGGAGGCCUAAUCGGACAUAAAUAUGUGCGGUUUGAAACAUAUCCACAUUCGUCUUGUUAACAGGAUUAGCUCGUCUUCCGCUGUCUAAAUCAUGAUGUUUAUUUAUGUGUCGUCGUUUGAUUUUGUAUUUCAGUGUUACAGACAUAUUUUAGUAGCCCUCUGGCUCACCAGAGUCCACACUAAAAAAAUUUGCAGAGGGGCGGAGCGAACCUUCCAGACAUUAAGCGAGAUAGAGUUUAAGAGGAACUCGAGGUUGAAGAAGAAAAGGUUGCUGAAGGAGGGAGAAAGGGCAGGUGGAGGAGGGUUCGCUCUUUGGGCUCUUUGAAAGCAGCAGAUCCUGACCGAGAGCUCGACCCCAUUUAGGAAGAGCGAGAGACAUGGAGCAGAAUGGGGAGAGAGAGAGAGAGAGAGAGAGACUCUUCACUUAAAGGUCCUCCACAGGACGUCCUCAUUCUUCCCAGAGCGCCACCUCCCCACAAACCCCCCAACUCUGGCCCAGGGGAUGAGGAAAAGCAGGGAAAAGGCCUCAUUUAGGACGAGUGGGGAGAGAGGGAGAGGGAGGACCCCCAUCAUCCUCUGAGGGGGGUCCUGAUAUCAAAACUUCCUCUCAGCAGGACGCAGAGAAAUGUCAGCAGAAGGAGAGCUUCGGUGUCUUUUAUGGUUGGAUUUGGGUAUCGAUUUAUGCUAGUAGAGGUUAUAAUCAAAACAUGUAACCUUUUCUGGAUUUUAAGAGCUGAAUUUAAAAGUGAGGGACCUCGUUUAACGGGAAGAAGAGAAGGAAGUGGAUUUUUCUUGAUCUUCAAAAUAUUCUCUAGCUAAUCUGAGUCACUUGAGUCGCGGCAGAAUUAAGCCCAUUUUUGAUUUGUAGUGUUUUUCACCAGCUUCUGUAUAAAGUCAGAUGUCAGACUGAUGAUCGAAUCACUAUCAUGAAACAAAGAGAAACUCUCUGGUUGUUGUUUUCUGGUUCGUGCUCCACAGACUUAUUUCUGAGGCGACAGCUGAAUCAGGACGCUGCUGGUCAGGCUGCGGCAGCGUCGGCUGUUUUGCACACACAGGUGUCAGCUCAGUGUGUUUAACCUCUCUAGUUGACAGUCAGCUGUUUUCUCUGCUGUUGUGCAAAAUCGGCAGAGUUGUGUGUUUGAGUGCGAGCAACACGAACUACAAGCCUGGAAAAUGACACAAAAAUAGAUGUGAACUAAAACAGAAUUAAAUAAAAUGUGAGUGUAUGUGAUGUUGAUUCUUCUUCUUCACCUUAUUGCCAUGGCUGCUUUUAUUUUAGUUAUUUCAUUUAUCAAAGUGACGAUCAUGACAGAACAUGACCGGCUUUUGAGUGAUUGUUUAAUGUGCUUAUCUGGUACUGGCCCUGGUUGUUGGUUUAUUUUCAGUUGUGUUUUGGAGUUGGUUUGUCUUUAUUUUUGCCUGUGAGGUGAUCUGAAGGGUCUUUUAUUCCUUAUUUGUAUAAUUUUCAGCAGAUAUUUUGAAACUGGACCUUUAUUCAGGUAAAGCUGUUGAGCUGUUACUGUGUGUAAAACUAAAGUCUGCAGCUCCAGAUGACUUUUACUUCAUUUAAACGCUCUUCUUAUUUGCAGAUAUCAUGUCUGAGAGGUUUAGUGUGAUACUGGGGUAUGUGUGUGUGUGCCUGUGUGCAUGUUUGUGUGUGUGUGUGUGUUUGAUCUGGCUGGGGCUGACUCUGUUCCCUCAGAGGGACUAUCAUUGCUGGUAAUCCUCUUCAUGGUCCACUAAUCUGUUUUUCCUGGGGUCACUCCAUCCCACUUCCCCCUCCCUCCUUUCCUUUCCUUUCCUUCUCUUCCUACCUCACCUCAGUUUCUUGUUCCCCUCCCUUUGCUCUGCAGUCACUCCUUUAUUGUUUCCUCCUGUCUUCGUCCGUCCCUCCCCUCAGUCUUCAGCUGUUUUAUCCCUCUUUAUCAGAACCCUUUGCUGUUUAUUAGACUAAGAAUCAAAGGUGUCAAAGGUUGAUCCUGAUCCAGACAAAAUUCCGGAUACUGUGAUCCAGAACACACAAAAUUAAGGGUGUUGUUGGAAUUUUCAAUGCUGAAAGAUAACCAAUGGGCGGCACAGUGGUGUAGAUGGGCAGCACAGUGGUGUAGUGGUUAGCACUGUCGCCUUACAGCAAGAAGGUCUUGGGUUCGAAUCCUGGUCAGGGCAUUUCUUGUUUUAGGAACAUUAUGAACAGUGAACAUACCAGUUUAAACACAAAUAAAAGUUAGUAAAAGACACGUAACAGUAAAAGUUUUGCUGUGAAUCACAAUAUAAGGGGGGACAUGAGCUGCUUGGCGGAGGUCUGCGCUCUCCGAGUGCUUUUCUAGUCGUCACUGAAGUUCUGAUAGAUGGUAUAACUGUUUUUGCAAAAACGCACGCUGUGGUCAGAGCUGACUGUAAGCAAGCAAACACAGCUGUUAAGAGUUCAGUGCGAUAAAUAAUGUCUCUGCAAGUGUUUGAAAAAAGCAGGCAGAGCAUCCAUCCAUUAGGACCUUAGGAUGUCUCUGCUCUGUUUUGAAGACAUAAAGCCUGUCUGUCUCGCACUAAUUUCAGAGCCGAACUGCCGGCUUCUUUCAGUGAUGAGAAAAUUGGUCUGUAAUUGUGAAAGUGCUCUGAGAGAGAUGCCGUUGAAAAUGACUGGCAGCCUUGUUUACAUUAUGCGCUGGAUGCUGGAUUGUCUUUUUCAUGAACUUGGAACAGAUCUGAAUGUGUAAGUGCCGUCCAGCUCAGAGAGAGUGUCUCGAGGUCGGUUCAGUCAGUGAGGGGCGCUGUCAGGACGCCGUAGCUGUGUUCGAAAUGAUGGAAUAAAUGCUCUUAAGGCUCCGGUGUGAGUGCAGGCUCGUCUGCCUGCAGCCCGGUCUGUCUAACAGACAGGAGAAACCCAUUAGCAGGGCUGUGUUAGCGAUCGUCUUGUAAACCGAGGCCCCGGGCAUUCAUUAGGCAUCAAUCAAAGGACGAGGUGUGAUGAUUAAAUGAUGAGUGCGAAUGCUUCACAGUGUUCGCUACACCAGGCCACUUUACUCUGACACUUGAAAAUGGAUGAGAGAAAGAUGUUGUUGGCCGUGUGUGCGGCUGCAGCUGGUUAAUUUAUUCAUGCAGUUAUUAAAGAAAGUGAAUCGUGGAACCUUGAAGUCAAAGCUCCAGGAUACCUUCAGCGCCGGUGCAGCAGCAGGAAUGCAGAGAGCUCACGUUGGCUUUCAGUGCUUAUUGUUUAACUGCUCUCCAUUUAGGAAUUUGCAGAUUCAAGGCUCAGAAAGGAUCAGUCGGUACGUUGCAGGUUGUGUCUUUUAGAAAAAUGUGACACCAGAAGUGAGUUUUAGAUUUGUACUGUUCGAGAAAUGUUAACAAUCCUGGAGGAAUCCACCUGUGAGAAAGUGGUUCACCGGGUUCAGGGUCAGAGGAAUGAAGAGGGAACUUUACAUGCUUUAAGUUUGAACAGCAACACUCGCACUCAGAGCCUGCAGCAGUCAAACCGGAACAUUAGCUCAAAAUCUUUAAAAGGACAGUAUCAGCCUGGUUUUUCACUAACGUUAGACCUUAUUUUACUCCUUCUGUCUUCAUCACACACAGUGGUCUAAACUAUCAGGCAGCCACAGGUGGAGAGAGGAGAGCUGGGAGGACACAGGUGUGAGUAUUAAUGUGUGUCUGUGUCUGUGUGCUCCUGCAGACAGCCUGAAGUAGGAACUCAGGGAGCUGCAGUUUCCAGCACUCCCACAUCAGCUUCAUUUCUCAAGUCUGGAGGCUGCUGGAGAUCUCUGGGAGAUAUAUGAAGAGGCGAGGGUCUCCUGUUUAAAAGAGUUUGGCUCUGUGGAAGGUCAGCACUCUUUGUUGGCUCUUUUGAGAUGUCUGUGUUUGAUGAGGCUGUCCUCCGAUCAUGACGCUCAUCCCUGAUCUUUGACUCCCAUCUUCUCUUUUUGGGUCCAGUCUUUUAAUCAUUUCGAUAGAAUCAGUGGAUGUCUGGGGGGGGCUUUUCUUUUCUACUGACACCUUUCAGAAAAUGUUAACCUGCACCGAGGACUGAUGACUGAGGGUACUUAGAUUAUUACUUAUGUUGUUGCUCUACAAACAGACAUGAAAUCCUUCUAUUUAAGGUCACCAGAUUACAAAGACAAAACCGUGUUUUAUGGCUGGGCGAUAAAACGAUAAAAUUAAUUCCACUCAGUAUCAAUAUAAAACCUGGUCAAUAUGCUUUCCAAUAGGUGGCAUUCUGACAUGUUUUGGUAGACUGUAUGAAUAGCCAAUGAAAAGGGGAGUCGCUCCAGGUCUCCGCCAGACCUCCGCCAAGCAGCUCAUGUCCCCCCUUAUAUUGUGAUUCACAGCAAAACUUUUACUGUUACGUGUCUUUUAUUAACUUUUAUUUGUGUUUAAACUGGUAUGUUCACUGUUCAUAAUGUUCCUAAAACAAGAAAUACCCUGACCAAGAUUCGAACCCAGGACCUUUUUGCUGUGAGGCGACAGUGCUAACCACUACACCACUGUGCCGCCUAUCUACACCACUGUGCCGCCCAUUGGUUAUUUUUCAACAUUGAAAAUUCCAACAACACCCUUAUUUUUGUGUGUUCUGGAUCCCAGUAUCCAGAAUUUUGUCUGGAUGUAAACAGCGAGCGCUACUGCCCCCAGCACAUCCUGUAGUGCACUGCAGUUAUAGAUGAGCAUGAGGCGCCAGCAUGUGAUUUUCAACAACAAUAACACGAUGCGUCGACGCUUGAGUUUUCUUGUCGAUGAAUUUUUCGUGUCGACGUGAUCGAUUACAUCGACUAAUUGUUGCAGCCCUACUUUGAGGUCUGUUUUCUCAGAUGUAAAGCGCAUUAUAAAUAAAAUGUGUUAUCAUUAUUAUUGUUAUUAUUAGUGUGUGAAAGGGUUGUUGGAGUGCGGUAUUAUGGUGCUUUAACCUUUAAAUAUUUACACUGAACAGUUACACACUGAGGCUCAUAAACAAUGUAAAUAGUGUUGAUUACUGUUUCAUUAUCAGCCAUGUGAAACUGCAGUCGUAUGUACUUGUUUUCUGAGCCCUCAGUGUGACACAUGUCAUAGCAUGCUGUUGUAUGUAUGUACUGUAUGAGCGCAUGUGUGUGUUGGAGCUCUGUGAGCGAGCCUGAACUCCAGUGGAGCUGACAGCUUGCUGUGACAGACAGCCUUAAACAAACCCGCUGUGUUGGCCGCUGCACAGGAGAAAUGCCUUUGAUUCUAUUAGGCCUCAGUGUGUGUGUGUGUGUGUGAGUGUGUGUGAGUGUACGAAUGUGUAAGUUGGCUUUGAAACCUCAGGACUAAUAACCCGGGGUGCUUUAAUCUGUUUCGUUAAUUUUUAAAAGAUUUAGGUUUGCUUUUAAAAUCAAUUAGAAGUCAUGAUUUAAUGCAUAAAAAUGUAUUUGGGGUCAAAUGUAAGUUUGACAAAGAGCGACUCGGUCCGUGAUGCAACAUCGACUUCCAAAAUGUACGUCAAAACUAAAGAACCAGGGAUCGUUAAGGUAAACCAAAUGGAUGCUAUGAAAAUGAAGUUUACAUUUGUGGCUAGAGAAGUUAUCAAAACUAAGCUAAAGCCAUGAUCUUAAAAUAUAGAAACUUCCAACGAAAAAUCGAGGGGGUGUCUUCCAUGUUUUUUGCUAAUGCUGGGAGAAACGCGGCAGUCACGUGAGCUAAAGUCCUCCCACAGAAAAGACUGGGCAGUCCCCAUGUUACAAUCUCAAGGCUGUUUUUGUAAAAUGUAGGUAUCACAUGUUUUGGGGUAAAACUGCGCUGGAAAGUGCACCAAUGAUUGACUGGUAGGUGACCAUGUUCUCUAACAACGCCAUUGUUUUGCUUAAUUUCUAACAGGUGCUGCUCUGCUGAAGAAACUUUGGGGACACAACCGAAAGAAGACAUUUCUUCUACGAAAGACACUCAAAACAUGCAGACAUGCAAAAUCUGCACGGCUGGUCUCUUUUCAGGCACAGGAUGUUUUGCAAAAACCACCACAUUAUAAACUAGAAAAGCACUCGGAGAGCGCAGACCUCCGCCAAGCAGCUCAUGUCCCACCUUAUAUUGUGAUUCACACCAAAACUUUUACUGUUACGUGUCUUUUAUGAACUUUUAUUUGUGUUUAAACUGGUAUGUUCACUGUUCAUAAAACAAGAAAUACCUUGACCAGGAUUCGAACCCAGGACCUUCUUGCUCUUCCACAGUGAUAAUCACUACACCACUGUACUGCCUAUCUACACCACUGUGCCGCCCAUUGGUUAUAUUUCAGCAUUGAAAAUUCCAACGACACCCUUAUUUUUGUGUGGAUCUCCAUGAUCCCAAUCAGCUGUACUACGAAGCCGGUUAUCAACUCGAUAACUGAAUCCAGGUGUGGCCACUUCAGAUCUGUGCCCGCACAUGUAAAAGAGGCGGGGUAAGCGGCACUGGACCAUUUUCCACAAUGGACAAAACGGCGAGAGCAUCGUAUUUCACAGCUGAGGAACAGGAUAUUAUCCUGCAUAAAUACGAGGAUCCAUGAUACAAUCACAGCGAGGCCGCCAGAGGGACUGCUGGCAAAAAAUCGCAGAUUGUGUCAAAGGUUAAGUCACUAUGAUGAAGAUAUGAAUGUGUCAUCACGAUGGCACGGAUAGAUGUCGCUACAUUUGUGCAUUCAGUAAUUUAUGGUCCCCAAAUGUGUUGUCAUUCACUGUUUGAUCACCAUCAUCAUCAUCGACCUCAUGAUUUCAGAUACAGAACGUCAUCUGGUAAAUCAAAUGGAUUUGAGCGAUCACGAAAAUAACAAUCCGAGCACCGACGUCCACAGGAUCCGGCCAAAGUGGGCAGGCCAUUUUCCAAGAGAACCGAUUGGUCAGUGGGCGGUCUUUAAUACCCGCUGAGCUCUUAUCCUCAAACAUAACCUGCUCCGGAGCAGGUUUGGCGUUCCGCGUAAGUUACCGGGGCAACGGACCCGGAUAAAAAGAGAUCCACCUUCAUAGUACGGAAAAUCCAGAAGUCAUCCAGAAGUUAUCUCGCUAAGACCAAAUCCAGGACAGGACAGUGGGCCUCGAGGACUGGACUUGAGAACCACGGCUUUAGACAGUGACGAAAUCCCUGUAUCGCCAUCAAAUCAAGAGAUGGGAAUAUUAUGUACCAACGCAGUGAUUUGCUCUUCAGUCCUCCUGAUCACUCCAGUCAACUUCUGGAGCUAAAACUGAUCCUGUUUCUAUUCACACCAACUGCAGAGAAAGAGGCGAGAGUGUCACAGUCUGAGCUAAAACAGAAUCUACAAGCCACUCAACCGCACAGCAUCCACCUGGUACACAGCAGCGAGAGGAAAAUCCAGUCCCUGCCAGCGUGCCAGGACAGUUUUCAACUCUCUGAGAGGGAAACACCUGACAGCUGCCACUCUGGGAGAAAAAUCCCAGAGGGCUGAAAAGAUCCUCCACAUGACGGGAAGCCAGCCGAGCGGGAGCAGAGCGGAAUACCAAACGACCAAAAAGCAUCUGGGGAAGGAGUAUGUGUCUGUUUUAGUGACUUCAACUCAUGGUCUAAAGGUCUUUGACCAUCACCUGAUCAUGUGACCAGAAGAAGAAGGGAUCACUGCUCAAACUCAGAAAAUCAAAUCAUCACAUCAGACAUCUUAAGCCUUUUUAGGUGACAGAGACCAAAUUUCUAAAGGUUUUUAUGCAACUCAUGCUCUUAUAUGAUAGUUGAAUAUUUUUACUUUUAAAGCUAAAUGAGGGAUUUCAGUUUUAUUAAAGCUCUAAACGAGAUAAAGAUUGGGUUCACUGUAACGAGUAUUUAUCAUCUUUAAAGCAUUAGAUCAUAAUGAAUUAACAUUAGAGUCAAUUUAAGUUUUGUUUUUGGUUUCCUAAUUAAAAUGUAGUUUCUGUUUUAUAGAAAUAAGGACAUGUAUUAUUAUUGUUGUUUUAAUUUGGCUGUUAUUCAUGUAUAAUAUAUCUUACACAAUUGUGAUAAGUUAAUACUGAGCUUAAACCAUUUAGAUUUACUGAACAAAUUAAAAAAGACAGCACACACACCUAAACAAACCAUAACCAAUACUACAGGGUAUAAAUAUAUACAAGUAUGAUUUGUUUGAUCUUAUCACUUAAAUGUUUUGCCAUUUGUACUUGUUCUGAUUUUAUUUCAUGUAUUGUUUAUUGACUUUUUCAAUUGGAUUAGGGCUGUCUGCAUGAACGCAUUAAUUCUGUUGUGAUACAGUCUAUAACAGCAGUUUUAAAUCAUGUGCCGUGUUUGCUCCCUCACAAAUGUAGCUUUAUCUAACAGAUAUCCUCAGGUUAGCCUGUGCUGACCUGUCUUAUGACUUAAUGUCACAUGGAACAAACUUUCACACAUGCAGGACCAAACUAGAACUCCUGACAAGUGUAAAUAAUGUCGCAUUAACCAGGAAUUACUGGACAUCAGUGACCGAGGCCCGGACUACACGUAUACAGAUAUUUAUUUAUCAGGAUAUUUUUGUUCUCCCGUCUAAAUAAAUGUAUCUGUCCACACGUGUUAGUUCUCAAAAAUAUCUGCGUCCACACGUAGCCUUCAAACUCAAUCCUAUCUGGUGCCGCUUAAAAAAUUCAGGAACAAAGCUACCUGAUUGGCCGAUGAAUCGUAACAGCAUGAUGCGUCAUGCAUUGGUUGCGAAAGCUACGCUAGUGCGUCGGGUCCAUGUGACGGUGUGGCGGCUAUAACGAAGCAGAUGCCUCUGUGAGCUGGCUGACUGGUGGAUGUAAGUGCAUAAAACAAGGUUCCCUUGAGAGGCUGAAAUUAGCCCCAAAAGGGCAAAACAAACGUAAAGAAUACCCUGUAUGUCCGCCAUCGUCGUUGUUGUUUCUUAUAUAUUUUUUUAUUUCUCCACUUGUUUUUCCGGAUUCAGAUUUAUCCGGUUUGAGUGUUCCAAACUUCCGUUUUGGUGAGGUAGGGAGGCCUAAUCGGACAUAAAUAUGUGCGGUUUGAAAUAUACCCGCAUUCGUGUAGUUGGGGCCUGAUUGGUCAUUUUCCUGUUCCUGAAUGUUUCUCAGUGUGUAACAAUCAUGAAAACAUUUGAUCCCUCUUAAGUUAAAUAUGUUUUAUGUUCAAUAAUAAGAUUAUUUCUGUUUGUUUUCUCUUAAAGCUCCUGUGAUUCACUUUCAGUCCAUGUUAAUUUUACAGACACUUCUUGCUUAUGUGCUGAUUUUGGACAGUCAAAUGUGUCAUUUAAUGUAAAUUCUUUGUGUGGAUAUUGUAAAAUAAGGCCUCUUUGUUCAGCUUCCUGGUUGACACCUACCCCCCCUUAGUACCCAUUUCAGAUACAAUAACGUACAUCAUAAAAAUGGUCAAUCUUGUAACAAAUAGUUUUAUUUGCUUUUGGAUAUAAUAAAGAUUGAUUUAUAUGAAUUUUAGCCUUUUUCAUUAAUGUCAAAAAACUUCCCACAGGAGCUUUAACUGGUUAUCCAGCGUAGUUUUCAAUGUUUAACAGCAUUAUCCUGUGAAAAUAAUAUAAUAAAGCAGCAUUUUUUUUUUGACAAAAUACAUAUUUUGAG
RNAcentral lists this long non-coding RNA (98325 nucleotides) under Xyrichtys novacula (pearly razorfish). Lineage: Eukaryota; Metazoa; Chordata; Actinopteri; Labriformes; Labridae. The record is from RNAcentral.